UUUGAUUUUCUGCAUUACUUUGUUUACUUGUUCUGCCCUGAAUCUUCAUCAGAACCAUUAAUCUCACAAGCUGUUGAACAUGUUCUGGAUAUCCUAAAAGGUAAAAUUCUUUCCUAAAUAUGUGAUCAAUCCGGGGUUAAGGAUGAAUUAAUAAAGAUUCCUAUUAUUCAUCUUAUUAAAAACUCUAAAACUCUAUUUUUCUUUUUAUCUAGAUGUUAAUUUGAUGGAUCUUAGGCCAUCUGUUAUUGCAUUGGCUGCCACAUUGAUGGUAACUUUUGAUGCUACAUUAACAAGAGAGAUCAUGGAUUUGCACAUAGGUGAUAUCUUAUUGCAGCUAAAUUUAGAUACUGUGAGUUUUCCUAGCAGUUCAUUAUCUAGUUUUUGUUUCAUGUGUGUGAUCGUAAAUAAACACAGUUUUAUUAUGCUUUUCAUUUUGUAUUCAACACAGGAAGGUGUGUUUUACUGUUACCAUCUAAUGAAGGAAAAAAGUAAAGAGAAGGGAAAGUUAAACACUUCUGUCUCAACUUUGACUUCCCAAUGGAGCUAUACAUCUGUUCUUGACCAUUCUGUCUCUUCUUCUAUAGCCAGGAGAAAAUUUGGUUUUGACAACAAAGAAAAUUGUCCUAGGCAAAGAUCACAUUGGUCUUAGCUUGCAGAGUUUGUGAUCAAUGAGUAUAGGAAAAGAUCAAUUGGUGUGUUGUAAUGAACUCAACUGUUUGAAAAUUUUCAACCUAGUAUGCGACUUGUAUUUCUGUUAGUAAAAUUCGCGCUAAACAAAUAGAGAUUGACGACGAAGACUAAAAGGAGUCCUACGAAAAAUCAAAUAUCAAUAAAGAAAACAAAAUUUUUGCAGGGAGUCGGAGACUAAAAGCAGAAUCAUCUAUGUUUAUCGGGACGAAAAUCAUAUUUGAGUGUACUAGAAAUAACAAUUUUAGUACACAAAUUUGAUUUUCUAUUCAUGACAAAAUUAAAUUGGUACAUUUCUGCUUCUGAAUGAAAAAUGCUACAAUACUUGGAAGAAUUCUUGUACAAACUCACUUUGAAUCUAACAAUGAUAAGAGAAAUCAUUAUCCACUACAAAAGUUCAGGCCUCAUUUUUUUUUUUUUAUCUUUUUUCAACCGACCUUUCUGUUGGCCUUGAAAAGUAAACAAAUGUAUAAAAAUAUAUAGUAUGGUUUAUGUGGUGAUUUGAUAGUAACUUAGUUAUAUAUUUGACUAACCAUAAUGUCUAUGAGACUCCAGUUUUCCACUUUCCUUCUUAACUUCUGGUUCCAACCCAAGAAAGCCUCUAAAAAUACCAGACCUGUCAUUGAAUGUACAAAGAAUAUAUGGAACCUUGAAACACUGUAACCACAGUAAAACCUUAAGCUUCUGUUUAAAAAAUAGAUGCUCCCAAGAAUCAGACUGGUAUCUGCUUUAAGCGAACUGCGAUUGGCAUGCCCAUAUAUCCAACCCCUAAGCAAAAGAUCCAUUGUACCAAAGAUAGAGGUGUUGUAUUUGCAAAGGUUCCCAAGUACUCAACUAUUAUGAUUUGGAAGACCACAGUUGCACUGAUGACAGCCACGAACACAUGAUUAUCCCAUAUGCCUUUAAAAACGUCUAUUUCCUCCAUUUCGCGAGAGUUUAUCUCAUUGAAAACCUGUCGGAACAAAAUAUAUGCCAAGGAAAAUUUAUCUUGCAAGCAAUGUUAUAAUCAUGGUUAUCGGUCUAUAAUCAUGGUUUACCUUUUUCCGAAUCGUAUUGUAUGAUACAUGAUUAAUAAAUGAACCGAGAUAUGACUUGCAUGUAUCGUAAAAUACUGAUAACUAUCGUUAUAAUACAAUAUAAUUUGAUUUUCGCUCAUUUUUCUAUUCAUUUUUUCCAUACAUGGCAAAUUGGUUAUGGGAACUUAUGUCUGUUCAGAAAAAGAGAUUGAAGAGGAGUUAUUCAGAAGGUUUUCUUUUACCUGACAGAAGACAAAUGUGUUGAAAAUGAGUGUGUUUAAGACAAUAUCAGCAUUGGGACCCCUGAGAAAAAAGACCCAUUUUCCUACUGACUGAAGAAACCAUAUGACCACAAACUGAUAUAAUGCUUGUCCUAAGAUAUUCCUCCACAUGACAUUGUUGAUGAAAUCUCCUUUCCUUCCCACUGGUUCACGCUUCAUCAAAUCAUCGGUUGGAGGUUCGGUCGCAAGCGCAAGUGCUCCCAGUGUGUCCAUUAUCAUGUUCACCCACAAAAGUUGAACAGCUGUGAGUGGUGCACUGCCUGAAGAUCAAAUACACAUAAACAAAAUCAUUACCAAAUAAAAAUGAACUUCCCCAUCUUGUAAAAUCUAUAUAAACAUAUUAUCUCAUCUUAUUAGUAUAAUUUUCUAACCUGUCAUGCAGGCUGAUGUGAAGUUCACUAGCAAUGCAACCACAUUUACAGUAAGCUGAAACUGCACGAAUUUCUGGAUAUUGAUGUAAACGGAACGUCCCCAUCUCGCCACCGUCACAAUUGUGGAGAAAUUAUCAUCCAGAAUUAUAACAUCAGCACUUUCUUUAGCAACCUGCAUAUUAAUAAUAAAAUUAGCAAAAUUUUAUGUUCCUCAAUUCAUAGUUUUCAAGAAUGCUAUAUGGACAAAGCUAGGCGAUUCAUAUGAAUUGCAUUUCACUCACCUCAGUUCCAGCAAUUCCCAUUGCAAGUCCGAUAUCAGCUUCAUGAAGGGCUGGAGCAUCAUUUGUUCCAUCACCAGUUACAGCCACAACUUCCCCGAACGUUGUUCGAAGCUGUUUCACCAAUGUAUGUUUGUCUAAAGGAGAUGAUCUAGCCAUAACCUAAAACAAUAUAAACAUUUUGUUAUUUAAAGCACUGACAAAUCAACCAUUUCCCUCAUUAUAUUAGACAAACAGAAUCAUAGCAGAAUGCAGAAACAGAAACAGUUUCAAUUGAAGAUGUUAUUUUGCAUAUAGGAAAUAUGAAGCACCUGAAUCUUGGGAAUGAGUUCAAACAAUUCCUCUUGAGUCUUCUCUCUGAAGUCAGGACCUUCAAUAGCUAUGCCAUCAUCUGUUAAAAUUCCACAUUCCCUAGCUAUAGCCUUUGCAGUAUUAAUAUUAUCUCCUGUAACCAUUCUCACCACGAUUCCAGCCGAACGACACUCUGCAACAGACUGCUUAACACCGGGGCGAACAGGAUCUUUGAUACCAACAAUUCCAAUACAAGUAUAACCAGAAGCAGGAAUCGGAUCUUCAGCAGCAAACCCGUUUUCCAAUUCCAUAUAGGCAAGGCAAAGAGUUCUAAGUGCCUCAUUAGCAAACUGGUUGAUAAUACUGUUAAGAUAAUUAGUUGAUUCUCCAUCAAGAGCAACAACAUCGCCGUUCAAGUCAAUAACUUUGUCACAAGCUGCCAGAAUUAUUUCAGAAGCACCUUUGCAAUGAGCUCUUACACUUCCAUCAGGUUGCUCCACAACUACUCCCAUUCUUUUCUUCUCAGAGUUGAAUGGCUCAACUUUAACAAUUUUGCAAGCUUCUCUCUCAGCCUUAGAAUCUCCACCUAGUGACAAACCAAAUUCUAAUAUUGCUGUUUCGGUUGGUGUCCCCAAUAUCUCGCGUUUGCCUUUUUUGUUAUACACAACCUCGCCUCCAGUGUUAUUAAAUAUCGACUGUAGCAACAAUUUCGCAGCAGAAUCUGGUAUGUCAGACGACGAACUAGAAUUGCUAACUUCUUUGCUAUUCAUACAAAUGCAUGUUUUCACAACCGUCAUUCGGUUGGUUGUUAGUGUACCGGUUUUGUCGCUACAUAUAGUUGUUGCUGAUCCCAUAGUUUCACAAGCUGCUAAAUGCCUAACCAAGGCUUUAUCAUUCAUCAUUUUCUUCAUUGCAAAUGCAAGACUCAAUGUUACAGCUAAUGGUAAACCCUCGGGAACAGCAACGACGACGAUUGUAACCGCAAUAGCAAAGUAUUCCAACAUCUCCAUUGCAUUGUCACCAGUCCAUCUCCAGAAGUUUCCUUCUCGGAUUUUGUGGCUCAAGUGUCCUUUAACCAAAACAGUAAAGGUUAUCACGGCAAAGACUAGUCCUAUUUUUCCAAUAAUGGUUGCCACUCCAUUCAGUUUCACCUGCAAAGGUGUUUCAUCGUCUCCACCUUCGCUAAGAGUUGCCAUCAAUUUACCCCAUUGAGUCCUCAUUCCAACAGUGGUAACCAACAUAGUGCACGAUCCAUCUUGGACUUUUGUUCCUGAGAGAAGAAAUGGAUUUUGUGUAGUCACCAUUAUUGGCUCACUCUCGCCGGUUAAACUUGAUUCAUCAAUCAACACUGAAAAUCCGGAAACAAACAGUCCAUCUGCAGGUACUUGGUCUCCAAUGUUAAGAUGAACAAUAUCACCGGGAAGUAAAUUGUAUAUCGACAUUUUCUGCCUGUAGCCGUUUCUCGUAACUUGAAUAGAAAUCUUUUUCUUCUCCUUGUCUAAAUCCUUAAACUGUAACGAUUGGCGAUAAUCACUUGUUGCUGUCACAAAGACAACAAGUAAGAUACUUGCAACUAUUCCAAGACCAUCAUGAGCUCCUUUCGGCCAUCCUUCAGUCAAUACGCCCACUAUCAGAGAAACAAAAGCACACACUCCAAGGAUCAUGAGGGUCAUGUCUUGAAGAGCUUCAUAAACAUAAAUCCAGAAGCUUCGAAGUUCAGUUUCGGCAAAUUUGUUGAUGCCAAAAAGCUCUUGUCUCCUAUGUCGCGAUUCAGAAUCGCCACCUAGUCCCGUGGUGGUUGAUGUUGAAAUCUUUUCUGCAAUGCCAUCAACUCCACCAUGAAACUUGAGUUUCUUUACAUCGUGGCCUUCCACAAUAGACCCCAAUUCUUCAGCACAGAUUUGGAAACCUGCAGCUUUAACAUCAUCUGGUACAACGUAGUCGCUCGGUUGAACACCUGCAGGGUGUAAAAUCAAUUAGAGUAAACAAAUUGAUUCAUAAAGUAAACCUUUUAGAAUGAUUCUUAUGAAUCUUGCCUUGUAUAAAUUGAAAUGCGGCUUUGGAAACCAACACCGCAACCCUUAGCUUCUCCUGCAUUAAGGAUAAUAAGAAAUUGAGAAUCCAUAAGAUCACAACCUUUCCUUCUAUGAGGUAUUAUUGUAAGGACACAAUAGAAGAAUCACAUUGUUUACAAGUAUUGUCUAAACAAAAAUGGUCCUUUUAUUCUAACACUAAGCAACAUUUACUACCAAAAAAAAAAAAAAAGAGAAAACACAAUUAGAGUAAUCUGGAACUAUGCUUUGAAAUUCACCAACCAAUCAUGAAAUCAAUGAAACAAGGGAGGCAAUGCAAUGAUCAAGUAACAUCAUUUUUCAAAAGAAAUAUUUCUUUUUUCAAAAACAUAUUGUCCUAAUAUCUUAAUUAUACUCCCUUUCUUAUCCAAAUUUUAGAAACUAAAGGCAUAUCAAUUUCAAUUUAAUACUAAUCAGAGUUUAAUACAUCCAGGACAAAAAUUAGGAAACAAAGAAACCCGACUUAGUGCAUCUUUGAAUUAAUGGCAAGUUUGGCGGAAAUCACAUUAUAUAAUUGUGAUUUCACAAAAGUUACACUUUUGAGCUUCCAUAAAAUCACAAUGUCAUCAUAAUUUCAUAAACUAAGUGUAUGUUCAGAUGACAAAUUUGACCAAAUGUCGGUGAUAAUGUGAUUUCGUCAAAGCUCCAAAAUGUAACUUCUUCCAAAAUCAUGGUGGCUCACCGUGAUUCUGCUGUCAUUCUCACCGUGAAUCCAAACAUGCAUAUAUAUUCUACGGUACAAAUAAAGAGUUAUUUACCGGUACAAAUUGAGGUGUACCGGUACUUCUGCUUCAAAUAUUUACAAUUUAACGAUUAUUUUAUGAAAUAAAGAGUUAUUUAUCAAUAUUUAUAUUUUAUAAGACAUCAUUUUAUAAGAGUAAACAUCAUUUCUUUGUUUAUAAGAAUCAUAUUAAAUUUUUAACAUUUUUUCAUAAAAAAUAAUAAAUAUUCUUUGUUAUAUGUAACAAAAAUUCAAAAAUGUAAAUUUUAUUUCGUCGACACUUUCGGUAACUAAGAUCUAAUUAUUGUAAUUGUUAAUGAUUGAAAACAAUUCUUUUUCUUCGAAAAAAUAAUUUGUUUCAAUAUGAAUUUGAUGAUUUGGUGUACCGGUACAUUCAAAUUUUUGCCAUAGAAUUUGCCAUAUAUAUAUAUAUAUAUAUAAUUUAUGAGAGACCUGAUUGGUGCGACGCAUAGCAGCAGCUUCGUAACGUUUGGAGAUGUUGGCAGUGAAACGAAAUCGUCUCUUGGGAUUCUUUACAACACCGCAUAGUUUCCUCCAUUUUUCAAGAGCUUCGUCGGUAGAAUUCUUGGACUUUACACCUCCAAAAUUCUCAUUUAAAUAACUCUCCAUAACGCUUUUGAUAAACUUUCCUCUCUUUAAUGUUUGUUAUUAUUAUAUAAGUGUUUCAAUUCUCAUGUUAAGUAACGGUGUAACAACAAUCAGUAGUAACAUUCUUAGAAAUUGUUACUAUUAAGGUUAUGGUUUUUUUGUUGGUUUGAAAGAAAAAGAAGUGAGUGACGUGUGAACCUCGUAAAAGACAGAAGGAAUAGGUUAGUUAGUUAGUUAGAGUAAAAGGAAGAGAAAUGAGUGUGGAUCCGAAAUUUAGUUUGUGUUGUGUUUGAGAAUAAAUAACGGUCUUUUAUUUCGGGAAACAAGUACGGAUGAACGAAAUUGGCGGGGUCAACGAACCAACAACACCUAAACCUAUAGUAUUUUUUUAAGUUAAUUAAAUUAAAAAAUUGUCAAAUAUUGAUUUUUGACAUAUUUCCAAUUCUUUUAGAUAAUAUAUAUUAUUCAAAACAUUGUUCACGUUAAAUGUAUUGAUAAAUGUACAUUUUUAAUUAUUCACUUUGUGUUGGCUAAUUCUUAUUUUAUAAUGGAAUGAGCCGUAAAAAAAGCAUGAAAAAAAUUAUUUAGGUUUUUUGGCUCAAUGAAAUUGGCCUAUCAAAAAAUGGAUUGCAUUUAGAGAUUAAGAACAAUCCCUGUGUUGGAAAUUUAUGGAAUAUACACACACAUACAAUUGUACACAACUAUUUUCUAUAUCUUUUUUUUGAAUAAUCUAUUUUUUUUGGUACAUAAUAAUCUUAUUUUCUAUAUUUAAAUGUUAAAGAAUACAACAUGAAUAUGAAAACUAAAAUUAGAAUAAACAUAAAUUCCAUAAAUAUAAAAGUUAAUUCUAUAAUUGAUAUAUCUAUGGAGCAGCAUAUGGAGUUCCCAAGACCUUAUCAAGUUGGGUUAUAGACGAAAAAUAGACAAUGGUUCCCAAAUAAAUGUUUGGUCGUCACCUUCGAUUCAAUCCCUUCCUGCACUAAAACCAUCAAUCAUUCCUCUUGCUCAUUUGAACUCACUGCUGGUAUAUAUAUGACUUAUUGAACCCGAAUUUGAAUCAAUGGAACAAUGAUAUUAUCAAUCUCGUUUCCUCUGUUACAGAAGUUGUUGUCAUCACUUCUAUCCCUCUCCACACACGUAAUAUGCAAGACACUCGCAUUUGGGCUCGCUCCCUGGACGGUUUAUACACUGUUAAAUCGGUGUACAUGUUAUGAAUUUAGAAGCAAAUUCAACAACGCAACCAUCAUACACAUCUCACAAUUGGACUCGGUUUUUGAAGUAGUGGAUUCCACCCAAGAAUUCGAACACAUCUUUGGCGUUUGGCUCACAAUUGCCUUCCCACUUGUUCUAGCCCAAUUCAAAAGGAGUUACUUAUUGAUGAUUCAUGUGUGCACUAUGAAGAGCAAGCUGAAACACAUUCACAUUUUCUUCGUUUGUCCAAAAGCGAUGAAAUAUUGGGAGUUACUUCGGUUGGAUAGUAUGUUCGAGACAUAUUAUGUAAUAUUGAUGACUUUAUUAGUCUAUAAUUUGAUUUUUUUGACAUGUUACAAGUUCAUCAACAAGCAACAACAUCAAUGAUUUUAUGGAGCUUUUGGGAAAGCCGUAAUUCUAAGUUUUGGGAAGGCGUUGACACGUUCCCCUCUCACAUUAUCUAGCAUGUCAACAACACACACUUCACGAAUGGUGUUGUAUGCAAAAAGCAAGGCAAUCAACUCGGAGUACACACCAAUAAGUCUCGUGGAUAAAACGGCCCAAUUCUACGGUUAAAUGUAACGUGGAUUGCACACUCUAUAGUAACAAUUCUAUUACAGGAUUUGGCUCUUAUAUUCGAGACUCAUCGGGAGCACUACUAAUAGGUGUCUCAAAUUGCACUGUUUUUACCUCUACUUCUUCAAGAGCUGAGGCAUCAGGUUUAUUUGAGGCUAUAAAGUUUUCUAUUAACCAAGACAUACCUUCUGAUGUUUGAAUUUGAUUGUAAAUUUGUUGUCGAUAAUAUUAACUCUCAUUCUACUCCAAAUAACAAGAUAAUUGAUAUCAUUACUAGAUGUAAGGAUCUAUUAUCAUCUCACAAUACCUUUAUUGUGAGUUAUGUCAGAAGACAAACAAAUAAAGUUAUUCAUAAUAUAGCUAGAUCCUCCUUAUCUCAUCCUGACCCUCAUAUUUUCUAUGUUGUACCCUCUUAUUUAUACCAGUUAAUUAUUAAUGAAAUGAUCUAGCUUACUUUUGCUAUAAAAAAAAAAAAGACAAUUGAUAUAUCACUUAGAAAACAGAAUCCUUUCAAUUAUAUUUAUAUAUUGUAUAAAUGUAUAUAUCUAUAAAAGAUAAUUGAUAUAUCACUUAAAAGAUAUAUCACUUAUAUUAUAUUAAUAUAUUUUAUAAAGAAGAAUCUUUUCAAUAUUUAUAAAGAAGACAUCAGAAAGCAUUGACUAAUGACAUUUUAUCACGCAUUUUAUAUUGAUAAAUGUACUUUUUGUAUGAAUGGAUGCAGUUUACCUCUUGAGCAACGGCGUUGUGGCUUGAUGUCAGGGUUGUAUUUAAAAUAGGGUGAAGAGGGUGACUAUUCUAGACCCCAAAAAUUAAGUAUGAAAUUGGGGCCUAAAAAAAUAGUUUAGGGGUUUAAUAAGCAAAAAAAUCAAAAACAAAAAAACUUAAAUUCUAAAGGAUGGUGUUGUUGUUAGUAAUGAGAUUAGUCCUUUAUUUUCCCAUUUAGAAUUUAUCAUAUGAUGUUACUAAAGGGAGUUCAAAUUCCUAAUUUACAACAGCAAAGUAGCAGCAUAUAACAAAAAAGAAAGGCACCCGAAACAGAGUUGCAACAACAUCGUAAAGAGAAAGAAGAAAAAGAGUUCGAACGACAACUUUGUCGGCGAGCAUGGUUAUGUUAUUUUAUUUGUUUUGUUUUAUUAUUUUAUUGUAUAAUAUUGCGGCGAAAAGGUACAUCUCGUAAUUAUAAAAGGAAAAAAAAAAUAAAAUGUCUGCUGGAUUUAAAUUUGUUUCUAAAGAAGUAGAAGAGCAUUCAAAUAAUGAUGAAAUGAUCGUAAAAAAAGAUAAUCUUGAACAAUCUAAUCAUAUAACAUAUUGAUGUGGACACAAUUAUUAAUGAAUAUAUAAAAGUACUCAUGAGAAUUGUUUUGUACGAACAUUGAAUAUUAAAUAAAACUUCGAUGUUUUUUGUAUGAAAUCUGAUGAUUUUAUUAGAUCAUUUUUUAACGCAAUAAAAGUUAUCAUUUUCAAACAAAUAAUUUUUACACUAUAAGAAUUCAAUUUUUUUAUACUCAUUAGCUAACACCCAAUUUUUAGAUUCGCCUUGGGCAACCAAAAUAUACGAAACGGAUGUUUGAUACGAGUUGCUAGAGGAAUUAAAAGGUCACCUGCCAUUAGAAGUCAUUAAAUUUAUUUAGUUUAAUGGUUGAAAUAAAUAACCUGUAAAGCCCCGAUACUUUAAAAUGGAUGAUGUUCCGAUACUUCUCGAUACGUAUCCGGAGAGUAUCCGAAUAUUAAAUUUUAUUUUUUUAAAAAAUAAUUAUCCGAUACUUUCCGAUACGUCCCGGAUACGCGAAGGAUACUUCUAUUUGUUACGAUACGCACAGAUAAGUGUGUUUUUUUAUAUUAUUUUGAUUUCUGUUUUUUUUGUAAUUGAGCUAAUAGAGUUGUCUUUGGAUGAACCAGAUUUGGAAGCUAGUUUGUAUCUUGUUGAUGGAAAUGGAGGAGAGGAUAUUGAGACGAUUAAUGUUAACUAAAAUAACUUAAUUCUUGAAUACUGAUGUGUUCUUUUUUCGAUAUAGUGCUUCUUUUUUAGAUCGAUAUAGUAUAGCACUAACAAUGUUCUUUUUAGAUAUAGUAUAACACCGAUGAUGCUCUUUUUGGUAUAUAUUGUGUAUGUAAUUGACUAAUCACCACUCUCUUAAUCGUCAAUAUUAUUUAUAUUUAUGUCGAUGUGUUACGAGCCUAUGAUUGAUUUCUUGUGUUUGUUAAUAUAUUUGCAUAUUAAAAAAUGGUUGUAAUACGACACCUAGUCUAGCAUUCCUUGUGCUGAUUAGGAUUCACUGUGAUUUUAAUAAAUUUCAUUUUAGUUUCUUAAAAAAAAAAAGGCUAUAAUUAUAUUGUGCAUUUAAUUAUAUAUUUUUUUUAUUAACGUAUCCCAGCCGUAUCGUAUCUUGAUUUUUGAAAUUUUUUCGUAUCAGCGUAUCGGUGCAGUAUCGUAUCCGUAUCGUAUCUCGUAUUCGGACUUCACAGAAUGAAAUUUGAAUAAAGUCAAAAGAGUUACCCUCAAAGUCAAAAAGACUAAAACAUAAUACAUGAAAGUGUCAAGGCAAACAUCUAAUUUUAUAAAGAAAUUACAUGAAUGCGUCACCUAAAUUAGGCAAGCAUUUAAUUUCAUUCAUAAAAUAAUUUUACUUUUACACAAUUACACAUGAAAUUUUACUAUCUUUGUCAAAAAAAAUAAUAUUGGAUUAACCGAAAUUAUUAUUAAAAAAAAUUAUUCUUUAUGUAUCUAAUUUUAAUUAUUAAAUGAAAUUAUUAGAUUAAAAGAUAUAGACUGUUAGUGUUUGCUUAGACUAACAUCCUAUUGUGCUUGUGAGCUUAGUUUAGUUGGUGGAAAAAAUACAUAAUAUAUAUGCAAGGUUCGAGAUUCAAACUCUGAUCCCCACAACAAAAAAUGACUAACAUCCUAUCACAAUUUUUUCAAUUUUUUACUCGUCUAGUCUUCUGUCUCAAUUCUUACAUGUCUUCACAAGGAUCUCAUCAAAAUAAAAUAUAAAAGUAAAAUUUUAAUUAUAUCAAUAUUUGUACGCUAUUGAAAUUGAUUUAAAUAACUAUAUUAAAUAAAAGCUUAAAUUUGGUCCUCAUUUUUUUAAAAACAAAUAAAGUCUUUUUUCUAAAGGAACAAAUAAAGUCUUUGACCACCACUUUAAAAAAACCGGUUUAUGUUGUUUCUUUCGUUGUUUUCUUGUUUAUGUUUCCCUUUUCUAUACAUAUUUUUGUAACUCUUUGUUCUUUUCUGGUAUACCUUGUGUUAGGAAGGACAUUUUGAUUGAGUAAUAUAUUUCAUUUUAACCUCUUUAAAAAAAAUGUGUUCUACUCUAUCCAUCUCAAAUAUAAAUUGUUUUGAACAUUUCAUAAUAUUAUGAAAUGUAAUCAAUUGUAUAAAUAUUGUGAGUUUUUUUACCAAAUUGUCCUUAAUAAAUGAUAUUAAUAAGAUAAAUUAAAGAAUUAAAAAAAUAAAAUAAAUGACUAACAUUAUAAUAGAAAAAAGUAACAUCAAUGUUUCAUCUGUAUUAUAAAACGACUUAUAAUUUAAUUUUUUUUUUCCUUUUCAAAACAACUUAUAUUUUGAUAUGAAAAAGUAUGAUUUAUGGUAUUUAAUUCCUCAAAUAGAUAAAUGACAAAAUUCAUAAUAUCUUGUUCAACUGCUAAUAAAUGACGAAAUUAAUUUUUUUUUAAGAAGAAAUGACGAAAUUAUUUGGUGGACGUGGUUGGAAUUAAAAAAAAAUUCUUAUGGCACCAACCAAAUAUCAAUGAAAACUCAAUAACAGAAAACGGUUACGGAAUCAAAAACUCAAUAGUCAAAUCUUCCUCACCAUUUCCUUCAAACUCUUAAUUCUUCAAUCACUAUAAACAUUUUGCCGCCUAAUUCUUCUUCCUCCGCCGUAAAUGACCACCGUGAAAUCACUUCCACCGUCACGUAGCACCGCCGUAUACCGUACGGUCCAAUGCCGACAAUUGCCGACGGAAAACCUAGGGUUUCCUACACUCUUCCCACUCAAUGCCGGUAGAUCGUGCCGCAGUCAGAGAAGCCUAGCACUCUUCUACGACCGUGCGAGAUUGAAGGCAUACACAUUGAAGCCAAUUCAGGCUAAGAACGAUUCUGAAUCGUCUUGCUCGGAUAAUAACAGUACUUCGUUUUCUGGUACUUUUUUUUCAAUUUCAGAUUCUUUUUCUUUUCGUAGGAUUGAAAAGCUUUCGAGAUCUGGAAUCUCGAAUCUUCAAUGUCUUUUUGUGAAAUGCUUUUUUUGCUCUGUAUUUGUAUUCGUAUUUUGUAUUUGUACUAUAUAUGUUUAGAGUCAUCAAGUAAUUUCAAUUUCAAUUCAUUUUAAACGAGCUUCAUUAUACAAUCGUAUUAGGUGAAUUGUCUCAUUCAAGAAUCUAGAACAUUAUUAUUAUUAUUAUUUUUUUAUGAUUUUAAUCAAAUUAAAUUAAAAUAAAUGUCAUUUGUUCCCACUGGUUACAUGCAAUGAUAUUAUAAUAAUAAUUAUUAGGAAAGAAAGAUGGAGUAGUAAGAGAUUCCUAUUGAACCAUAUAAAAUAAAAUAUGUACAGCUAUGUGGGUCACACAUUCACAAUUCAGUAACGUGUAGCUACAGAAACUUUGUAAUUUAUACUGUGGCAAUUGGCCAAAUAAUCAACUUAAGAUGGAUGCAUCUGUUUGCAGAUUGAAAAAACAGAUUCUCAAUUAGUUCUCAGGAGUUAAUAAGUGCUACCGUUUUGAUUAUUGAUUUCUCAGGUAAGAGUCAUGAAUCAUAAUCACAAGUAAUAGGAUGAGUGAUGAUUAGUGUUGUAUAGUUGUUUCUGUUUAUCGUUUAUCUUUUCCUACGUUUUCGUCCUCAUCUAUUAAGAUAAGAUUUGAGUGUUUCUGAGUCAUUUGGUUUCAGCUGUCAAUGAAACUGGAAAUCUGGUCAGCUUGGUUGAAUUGUAUUUUUAAAGCAAGCAUUGAAUUUUGAUGCAUAUGUACAAACAGUUGACUUUUUUUGGUCAUUCUUAGAGUAGCGAUAGGGUAAAUGAUGAUUACAAUUUUUGACUGAUUUAUUAUCUAACUAAGGUAAAAAUCUCCGCCAGAUGUCAAAUAUUGGGAAACUCGACGAACAUUUUGUGGCAUGAUUGUCCAGUUCAAAAAUGUGAUAGACAGCAGCUGCUUCAGCAAAAAGGAUGUGUUAUAUGGCUAACUGGUCUCAGUGGUUCAGGUUUGUGAUUUUUUAGGUAGUUAGUGUCCACAAUUGUCUGCUUUGUUUCAUGAAAUCAAGCGAAAAUAAAGCACAAUUGUGCAGCUAUAUAAGGUAGUGAAACUUUGCAAAAAUAAAGCACAAUAUAAGGAAGAUUCUUGUCCAACUAUGCUUACUUCUUGCAGCGCUUUAAGUCAUUUUUAAGUUGGAUUUAUCUUAUAUUUUGUUUAUUUUCAGUCAUAUUUGCGCCAUUUUAUCCAUUUAGUUUUUCUGUUUUGGCACUUGCUGAGUUGGUAUGAGUAUAGUGGUAAUAUUCCUUUGCAAAUGGCUGUAUCUUCUCAUGCAUUUAUCAUGACCAAGUGGUCAAGCAAGAAAAUCAUCUCAACAUUUCAGAAACAACUGUUCUUUCUACUCUACACUCAAUUCUCUCAACUUUAUCAGAAUUCAUUCUUAAUUAUGAGUUCCCUGCCUAAUGAGCUUUUAAUGUAGUCCUCCUUAAAAUCCAAAUUCUCAUCUCAAUUGUUAUUAGACCAUCAGGCUGGUGCUUACCCGUGGAUAAGGCAUAAUUGUCCUUGAAAUGCAGACAAAACUGCCAUACAGCUGAAUCUGCUAGAAUGAGAGCAGUCUAUUCAAAAAAGCGCAAUGAAUCUAACAUAAUGAAGGAAUUGGGUUUUGAUCAACUCAUGAAAAGCUUAUUGGCAAUGAGCGCUAUGCUCAGAACUCGAUUGAAAUCACUUCAAUGAAUUCCUAGGAAUUUUCAGCGACUACCGCAUUAUACUCGGAGGAUCUUGAUCUCAACCUAGAACUGUUUGUUAUUCAUCAAGGGCUCAAAAACUGACUUCUACAGAUUUGAUGGGUUUACCUAGAUUCAUCUGGAAGGAACAACCGCAAGCAAAUUAGGGAACCCACAAGCUGAAGUCCGAACGUGAGCCUGAUAAAUACAAGAAAUGCUUAGGGAAACUAUAAUUCGACCCAAAACCAGUCUUCUACCCGUACUUCGAAGAUCAAGUUUCCUCGAUUUGACGGAGUGGUUAUACAAGUGUGAACAUUUCUUCUCCAAGGACAACACCCACCUGAAUCCAAGGUACAGUUGACUUCAAUUCAUCUUGAUGGUAAGGUUUGGUGAUGGAGGCACCUUAAUUAUGUGAGGACUAGGUUUAAUAUCAUCCCAAACUGGCGACACUAUACCUCUGAUGUUAUGUAGUAUUUUGGAGACACACAGGAAGUGUGUGCAGUUUCCCUGAUAGCAGCAAGCAACACAUCACAUUGUCCUGUGCCCCGGGUCCAAUAAAUCUAUGAUGAAUAUCAAUACCAAUGUGCAAGUCCACAAAAUUAAGUCUAAAACACAAAGGACUGGGAGUUUCAAUGCAUCAGAAAUGGCUGACAAGAUGGAAAAAGUUGUAUUAUGUAUGUUAUGUGACGAACCUUUUACUAUUGUCACAAUUUUAAGCAUAAAAACACUCAAUUCUUAGUGAUAGAGAUGGAUAAGGAGGAGCUAAAGUGUAAAAGCAGUCCAUCGAGUUUGGAGACUGCAGAAAGAACAGUUGCUACUUGCUAGUGUCCAUAAAGACUUUGAUUAGAGUCUCAAAUUAUUGAACAAAGAUUGUAAGUGGCCCCUAUAGGUUGAAGAUUUGCUACCAUUAGUAGAUGAUAGUGGCAUUGCAAAUUAUCUCUUGGACCUUCAUCUAGUUAAGAUAUUAAGUUGUAAAUUAGAGAACAUUAGGCUAUUGACAGUCCAUGUGAUUGAUAAAAUGUUGGCAGAUGCCUCAUAUAGCUAUAGAAGGUUUUCUUGGCAGCUUCAACAACCUAAAUUUACGUCUGAGGUGAUGGUGUUGCGUUGGAGGUGCAGUGAGUUGGUUUUGGGAGCACAGUGGUUACCCAAGAUUGACGCAAUCAUAUGGAAUUUUUCAACGCUCCAAUUGAUUUUUUUUUUCUAGGGAGGGAGCUAAAUGCCUAACUCUGUUUUGAAGAUUUCCAAACCUUCCGGCAGCAAUUUAAUCAAUACAGAAAGCUUCUAUUUUAGAUGAUGCACAGUUAGUGCUUUGUCUGCAUAACUACAUCAGCAACCGAGUCAUUCUGGCUGCCAAUGAUAGUGGCAACUCAAUCAGCAUGGUCGUAUAGUAGUUACUAGUUAUAUGGAUCCAGACUUUAGGGUCAAAUAUGUUUUUAGUACCUAUAAAAUGAUCAACUUUCGUGUUUAGUUCCCAUAAAGUUUUGUUGACUUAAAUCCCCAGAAUAUUUUUCGUCAAUAAUUUUGGUCCCCAAAUUCCAUCACGUAUUGGUUGUGUUACUCCCAAAACCAUCAUAUAUAGUUUUUAAGAUCUUGGGUUCGCUCUUUGUUCUCCUUGGGACUAUGUUCAUGUGUGUGAUUUGGAGAAUUUGAGGAUUUUUUUUAAUCUUAAAAACCCUAAAUUCCAAUAUUUAAUAUUAUUUCAAUUAUAACUAAUAAUAAUAUGUGUUAAUAAAUCAGAAACCUUCUACAUCAUUACAAAAGUUCACGUGGCAAGUGUCGCGUGGACUUUUGUUAGCCACAUAGGCUGGGAAUUAAUAGAAGGAUCAAAAGUGUUGAUGAAAAAUAUUUAGGGGACUAAAAUUCGGGAAAAAUUUAUAUUAUAAGGACUAAAAAUGGAAGUUGAUGAUUUUAUAAAGAAUAAAAACAUAAUUAACCCCAGACUUUAUUAGCAAGGCUUGAAUUAACUAUCUCAGCUCUAAGGGCCAUCAAUGAUCAAUUCCGAUGCAUGCCCUCAUAAUUGAGAUGUUCUCAGCUUGCUCCUAGUCCCCAAGCUGAUUUUAUUUCAAAAGCCACACUCUGAUGUUGUCCACCUGUCACAGUUCUGAGUUCCCUGCCUCAGAGUAUUGGGUUUUAUUGGAAUCCUCCCUAAAAUUGAAAUUCUUGUCUCACACUGUUACUUAUCCCUGAUAUGUUAAAGUAAAUACAACAAUUGGCAAAUGGAUUUCCUGUUUCUAAAUUUUUCUCUUUUUGAUAUUGUAUGAAAAUUGAAAUCCGUGAGUUUAAUUUAUUGAGAGAUGUCAGGCUAUUCGAUUACUUCUCAUUCUUUUAGAUACCAUAUGCACACCCUUGAGUUCUGCACUCACUAGUAAUUUUUUUUUUUGAAGAAGACUCAUUAGUCAUUAAUUUCAGGAAAAAGUACUCUUGCAUGUGCUUUGAGUCAAAGCUUGCACUCCAGAGGAAAACUGACUUACAUCCUUGACGGUGACAAUAUUCGGCAUGGUCUAAACCGUGAUCUUAGUUUUAGAGCAGAAGAUCGUUCAGAAAACAUACGAAGGAUUGGUGAGGUUCUAUUUUCUUCAAUAAAUAUAUGUACACUGGAUUUCUUGGCUUCAUAAAUGUUUCCCCUAUAUGUUCCAAUUAUAUCGUGUUUUGAAAAUUUCAGGUGAGGUUGCAAAACUCUUUGCAGAUGCUGGUCUUAUUUGCAUCACUAGUUUGAUAUCACCCUAUCAAAAGGAUAGAGAUGCUUGCAGAGCACUACUGCCAGAAGGGGAUUUCAUUGAGGUAUGUUCUCGUUAUUGUGGUGAUCAAAAUAAUGCAGAUAGUUUGGCAGGUACUGUACAAUUAUAAAACAAAUAGGGGUUCUUCAUAGCUAAUACAAUUGCUCACUUGUUGCAGGUUUUCAUAGACGUGCCACUACAUGUGUGCGAAGCUAGGGACCCAAAGGGCCUAUACAAGCUUGCUCGUGCAGGAAAGAUCAAAGGUAUAUUGGUAAAACUUUUCGUAUUGGUACUUGCAAUCUAAUUUGGUAUCAUCUUCCAAUAAGGUGCUAUGAUCUCGUACUGCUGUAUUUGUUAUUUUAUAAUAUUAGCAUCAGCAGUUCAGCUAUAUAUGCCAUGCUUAACUUUUUUUAUUUCUAAUCAACAUUGCGGAGUACCUGUUCCUGUAUUGGGGUUGAAUUGUGUAUUUGUAUGCUGUAGGUUUCACUGGUAUAGAUGAUCCAUAUGAACCACCUUGUUGCUGUGAGGUUUGUAUUUUGUAUUUUUCAUCUUAGUUAUGUCAAAGAUGAAGAGAAUAGCAAUAGGAAAGAAUUGUUACACUAAUUUUUUUCAAUACCAUUUUGACAUGGUCAAUAGUGCCUCAUUAUUACCGUAAAAAAAUAAAAAAAAAUAAAAAAAAAACUGAGUCAUCAUUUACUGGUUUAAAGAUGGUGUUUAAAUAAUAUUGCCAAAUAAGAAAAUAAAUAACUGACUGACUCAUUAUUGAAAUGUUUUAGUUCUACUUGCUUUAAUCCAACUUUGAAGGGAAAACUGUUGUCUUUUGCUGAACUUUCGCCUCUGGGAUUCUAUUCAAUGUCUUUUUUCUUCCAUUUAAUUGAUUUCGCUUUUUGUUUUCAUUUGUAAAGUUUGCUUCCCUUAUUUUGCAGAUAAUAUUACAACAGAAAGGAAGUGACUGUAAGUCCCCUAAAGAUAUGGCAGAAACAGUGAUAUCCUAUUUGGAGAAGAGUGGACAUCUGCAGGCCUGACUUUUCUUUAGAGGGGCCUUUCUUUUUUGUUUGCUAUAAUGGGGUUUUAAAGGGUCCUUUCUCGUAGCCUGUAGUUAAAUUGUGUUGUAGAUUUUGGCACAUAAAAAGUUGUUCCUUCCAGCUGCAAGGAAAUCAUCGUUUCCUGCACAUCUGCUUCUGUACUAAAUCAUAAGAUGGAGAGCCAUGGGGAAGGAUUUAUAAGUUGGUGCUGAUUGACAUAAGCACAUAGGAAGAAAGGAUUUAGUAUAUGUGAUUUGUGUCUUUUAGCCAAUAUUGGAUGUUUGGAAUGUAUAGCGCUGUGUAGGUAUGCAACUAGGGAGUUCUUAUGAUUUCUGUGUGGUACCGAUGCCUGGUACUGCAUAGGGAUUGAGAUUAUAUUGAGAUACAUGAAAUGUACUAGUAAAUUAUUCUUCAAAGUUAACUAGCAUUGGUUGACUACUCUUAAAAAAAAAAAACUUUGAGUUGACUUUUACACCUUUGAAAAUUGUCUAGCUAAUAAUUCAAAAUGCUAUAGUGGAUAGGAAGUUAGUUUUUAACAAAAAAAUAAAAUAUUGUUCUUAGAGGAGAUCCCGAGUUUGGGGUGCUGUUGAAAUGGUGAACAAAAGUACUUAUGCUUUGGUAAGCCUUACUACUUUCUUGGUUCUUGUUUAUUGGCAUUGAAGUUUGAACAACACAGUAAUAACCUGUUUGUUUGUACCAUGACAAGAGUGUGGGCGUGCGUUGUAUGCGAAGAUACACUUUGCAACUUCUAUUUUCACAUCAAAAUUUGUCUUGAAACAUGAAAAUCAAAACAUGGCCAUAGUUCCAAACCAUACAAAGACAGUCAGGAAGUGCAGAAUCAAUAGUUAUGAAAUCAAGAUCAGUAAAGAAAAUUAAUAAAUUAGAAUGCAUUCAUUGCUAAGAGCGUUAUGUUCUCAAAAGGGCAUGAAUGAAAAAAUUCAAGGAUGAUAUAUGUUGUUUUAAAGCCUUGCCUAUCGUGAGCAUUGAACAUGUUACGUCACUCAACAAAUUUUCCCAGUGUUUGACUGUUUGGUUUGAAAAAAUGACUGACUCGUAGGUUGAACUGGUUGAUGGUCUGCCAUCUUCACUUAUCUAGUCUAGAAGAAGAAAAGAAAAUUGGGUGUAGUAUUAACAAGAAAAGCUUCCGUAACAAUUCAUCUCAUACCAUAUCACUUAUAAAUAAAAAUUUAAUAAGAUUUGCUAAAUGAUUAAGAGUGAGUUCCUGGAGUACUAGUUUACAUCAGAAAGAGGCAAAAAAUACAAUAUCACCUCGUCUUUGCAUAUGAUUAUAAGCAGACAAAAAGCAGAGAACAAAUGGCAUGGUUACAGACACGGUAGCAGACAUGACAAUAUGAAAAGUAUUAGACCAUCUCCUUUCUUGAAGAGCCCAACGUGUAUUGACAAAGUGAGUAACACUAUCCACCAUCAUUGCUACCACAUUUUUUAUCAUCAUUGAACAUCAAUGUGUGCUUGUUGAAGAGGAAUAAGGAAUAUUGUUGUGAUGAUGAUUGAGAAAAGUUAAGUAUAAUAAAGGAAGAGAAUCGAUUCUAGGUUUGUGCUUACGGGAACUGGCAGUUUAUAAAGAGACGUUGUUUCCGGGAUGUUUCCUCAAUUUUAUCUUUUGUUUUUGAGGGAAACGGUUUUUUUUUUUAGAGUAACUUAUACAAGGGGAGGUUAUUUAUUAUCAAUAAUUUCAUGUAAGUGACGAGGAUGCUUGUUGGAUAAAUCAAAGCAGAAACAAUUUCAGUACAAUUUGUUUUCAAAUUUUAGGAAAAAUUUGUUUUAAAUUCGGCUACGGUUUAAAUUUAAAAAGAAUUUGUUUCAAGUUUACUAGAUUUAUCCAAUUAAUUGUUUUGAUUCAAGAGGAUGAGGAUGAGAGUUUUAUUCUAAAAUAUUUAAAAAACAUGUUUUUUUUUUGACAGAAUUUUAAAAACAUGUUUGUUUCGUUAACAUUAUAAUAUCCUCGUAAACAUUAUUGUAGGAAGGUUAAUUCCAGUAGUUGUUACACUUAAAAUUAUUCUCAUCUUUAUGAGAACCUUAUUCCCAGCUUUAUAUUUAGGAAAGUUUUCUUAUUGUCAAGAAUAUUUUAUACUAAGGAAUCAAAUUUAAUAAACUUAUGACAAACAUUUUUUUUAAGGAGAACUUAUAACAAACAUAAAAAUACAUAUUUAUAUCGUUUUAUUUUCAAGAAUUUACGAAAAUAACUUGAAAAAACCCCUCUAAAAUAUAAUAACUUGAAACAAGUGCACCUUAAUUAAUAUGAAUUCAGUAAAAUAAUAGAAACAUCACAUAUCCGCAUGUAUCGAUUUUCCACCGUCUAUUCCCGAUGUAUCUAAAAAGUACGGGACACUUGUUUUUUUUUAAAAAGUAAGAUUUAAUAUCCAAAUACUCUCCAAAUAUGUAUCGGAAAGUAUUCGGUGCAUGAUACGUAUCAAAUACCGAGAUACCAGUACGUUAUCCAUUUUUCACUUAUGAGAAAUGAAUUCUCUCGUCUAAUUCUCAUGUUCAUGUCAAUUGUCAAGUAUAGGUGCUCUAGCUUUAUUCAUUUAAAGUCUCGUAACUAUUGUUGGCGUGUAUAUUGUUUUUUUUUUUUUUUUUGAGUUGUGGUGCAUCUAGCUUAGUUAGCACCUCACUCCAGCUAAACUAUCUUGUAUGCACUAAACUAUUGAAAUACCAUUGUUUAUCCUACGGUAUUAAUUACAUUUUGGAGAUUUAAAAAUUUGGAGUUAACCUUAGACAAGCUGCAAUGCAAAUUUUUAAACUUGGACAAGCUGCAAUGCAAAUUUCAGCCUUUGAUGUUUGUUCUUGUCUAGGUGAAGUUGCAAGCAGUGACAGCCAAAUUAAAAGAAAAAAAAUAAAGAAAAGCUUCCAAUUGUUCUUGUAUGCGGUAGAGAAUGCAGAUUCUAAAAAUUCUUAGACAACCUACGGAAAUUACAUAGUUUUGGAUUUAGUGUGUUGAAAUUAAGUACUACAAAUCAAUCAGAAAGAUAUAGUAUUUCGGAUCAAACAUAAAACACAUACAAAAACAUGAUGUUUCCAAGAAAAAACAAAAUACUGAAAACAAAGGGUUACAAUGAAGGAAGGUGAUAGGUCGGAGGAUUCAAAACCAACGACAGGAAGACAAAGACUACAUACAGUGGGGAUAAAGGCCAAAAUCUGCAAGGGGAGGUGUUUGUCUUCAACUUCUUUCUGUAUGCAGGGGUUGAGUCUUUUCUUGUAAAAGGAAGGAGAGUGUGGGAGUAGGAGCUACAAAAUUCUGUAUGCUUAAAAGGAAGGAGAGCGGAGAGCGUGGCAGGGGCGAAACCACGCUGUAGGAUGGAGGUGCUCGAGCCUCCACAGCAACACACAUAAGAGUAUGAAAAACUUAUUGACACUCAUUUUAUGAUCAACAAUGCCUUGCACUAAUAAAACACUAAUAAAAACUAAUGUCACUGAUAAAAAUACAAGAUAUUUUUUUAUAGCUAAAUAAAUAAUUUAUAACUACAUUGUUUUGAGGUACAAAAAGCCACUAACAAAUCAACAAUUUUUAUCAUCAAGAUACACAUAAAUAGCAUUGAAGUAAAAACUAUAAUAAUUCAAAGCCAACGUCAGUAUUGAUGUUUGACCUGCAUCUCCGAAGACACUAUCAGUGUUUGAUUUUGAUCUUAGCCUGCAUCUCCUUGGCCAUGGACGGUAACCACCUUUCUCCCCUAAUUUUUUUCAAUUUCUCAAUUCUUUCCUCCUCUCUCUUGGCUUUAGCUUUUGCUGCUGCAUCUUUAGCUUCUAGUCUAGCCAAUGAUUUCUUGUAUGCAUCAUUUGCUGCAGCAAUUAAAUCAUUUCCAUCUACAGCAAUAGAUCGAAUCCGUCUUCUAAACUGUUGAGGUAGCAAAUAGUCAUUAAGAAAACAAACAAAAUACAUUAUAAUCAAGCAACACACACAGACAUCUAUGGAUUAACUAGUACACCUUCUUUGAUUUCUCAUCAAUAUCUUCUCCCGGAACUAGUUUAGGUCGUUUCAUUGGCGGUUGGGGUUCAUCUGCAGCCAUAUAGAUGUAAGCGUAAACAACAUAUGCAAAUGUGGUUCGGUAAAAUAGCAAUAUAAAUCACAAAAUUGAUAAUUUUCCAACCCCUUACACAAUAUUUAUUUAACUUAAAAGUAAAAAAUCAUCUCGAAUUUCCAUCAAACCCAUACUGUAACCAGUUUGUGUGAAUGUGAAAAAUAAAAAUCAGUUUGGAGUCUGGGUUGCACACCAUAUCAUGGCAACAUGUUGCAUCAAAUUUACGGUGUUUGUGUUUAGUUCCUCAAACCAUUAAUAUCUAAAAAUAUAUUACGACAAGUAAACUACUCCCUCCGUCCUAAUUUAUAAGCAAAAAACAGUAAUUCACACUUAUUAAGAAAACUAACACUUAGUGAUUUGAGGUAUAAUUUUUUGUGUUCUCCUUGGAAUAAGUUUCAUGGAAAGAUGUAAAAAUAAUUCUCAUUGGUUAAAAAUUAUGGAGAAAAUAAAAAGGAGAACAAAUUGAAUGCAAUUUGCAUUUAAUUUUACAUUGGAAAAGAUGAUUUGGUUGAAAAAACAUAAUAAUAGCAUAAAAAUUAGUCUUUUUUGCUUAUAUUUUGAGACAAAGAAUAUGAGAUUUUUUUGCUUAUAUUUUAGGACGGAGGGAGUAGUUGUUACGGCCUGUCAAAAAAAAAAAAAGUUGUUACGACUUAGCACCAACGACGGAAAAGCCUCCAUUCACUUCACUGAAAUGGGAUUUUGUAGAGAAUUUGACAUAUGGUUACUCCAAACCAAAAUCAAUUUUGUCUCUAAUAAAAUAAUGCUUUUGCUGUUUUGUUUGAGUUGAAAAUUCUAAACUAAGUUUUACUUCAAACUUAUUUUUGAGAAAAAAAAAAUUCUCAGCAUAUAUUGUUUAACUAAAUUAAUUUUUAAUCAUAAUCAACUAAUAUCAUCCCAAAUCAAUGUCACAAACACUGGUCCAGUCCAAGUAAUAGCUUGGACCAUUAUUCAGGGUUUAGUUGGCAAUUCAGUAGUAAGUUAUAGCAUAGGUCCCCAAAGCAUGCUUUUCUGGAGUGACUUAUGCACAAUGAUAACCUCUCAGAGUGGUUAACAAACUAGUCAACAGAUUAUAGAAAUGCAGUACCACAUUGCAAUAUAACAUGCAUAAAACAGUGUAAAACAAGUAUCAUCUUAUGAAUUCUGAUGACAACAAUCAAACAAAAGAUUCCAGAAUGAAUAAAGAGAUGCAUGGCAUGCUCAUCUGGGCUCCACUUCUUAACCACAGACAAAGGGCAGGGUGUGUAAGCAUAAGUACUAUUCUGAAAGAUAGAAGAAAAAAAAAAAAGCACUUCUGCUUUAGCUUACAGCCCAAUCAGUGGCUUUUACCCAAUUCAGCUUUUUUCUUGUUUCAGAGAAAUUUGUAUAUAAAUGUCAAAGAACAAUGGUGACUGGUUAGUGGUUUACCUGCUACCAGAAACACUACAAAAAGCCAACUUUUAACAAGAAAAAUAGGAACCAUUACCAACCAGCAAAGUCCAAAACUAUCCAAAAUCUAAAAUCAAUUUUUUUAUAGCUAUAUAUCAUAGAAUUGAAGCUGAUCUUAACAAGCCAAUUUACCUGCAUGAUCAAAAACUAUUCCUGGUUUAGAAUGUCUAAACAAGCGAAUACCGCAAUCAUCGACAUUAGGAUCCUCAUCUAGGACAGGAAUAGGUUCUUUCACUAUCUCAAUUGUAUUUUCCAAUAUGUCAUCCAAAAGCUUUAGUGCCUGUCAAUAAACAUAAAUCAUCUAAACCAAAAACCAGAAGAAAAAAAAAAGUACAAUACAGAACUAUUAAUGAUGAACAAUAAUUUGCAAAAGAAGAAAAAAACCUACAAACGUAAUUCAAAUUCCACUAAACAAAAAAACAUGAACUUGGUAAUAAAAACUGAAUUUUGUUUUGUGGGCAUUGGUAAUCACAAAAAAUACCAAAAUCCUAAUUAUUUUUUUUUGCAAAAAUUAAAUGAAUAAAUAGGAUCUUAAUUAGAAAUUUCAACUUAAUUAACAUAAAAAUGAGAAAUUUAGAAUUGGACCUUAAGUUGGUAGUGCUUAAUCUUUGGGGAUUUAGGGUUUUGAUUAUCAUUAUGCUUCUUCUUGGUGUCAUUGUUGUUGGUGGCGGAAAAUCCAUUCAUGAAGGAAGUGACAUAGGAGGAUGUUCCAGCAACGGAAUCAAUGGCUGCUUUCCAUGCUGCGUCACCGUCUUCAUCGCCACUGCUGCUACAGUAGCCAUUGUUGAGUUCUUCUUCUGCCAUUGUUUACUCUUUCAGGUUUCGUUUCAUGAGAACGUUGGUGAGUGAGAUGAUAGUGAAAGAAAAUUGGGCUUUCUUUGGGCUAUGGUUCGUUUUAGGCCCAAUUUGUAAACAAUUGAAUAGAGAAAGUUGCUCAAUAGGUACUUCAAUUUUACUUUUGACCGGGGUUGUAAGUUUUUGUGUGUAAGAUUUGAUCGGAUCAUAACUCUCGAUUGACUACUUUUAAUCAAGUGAGAAAUUCUGAGGUGAAAUAGUAGACUUUUACUAUGAGAAUUUAAACUACUUUUUUUUUUUUACACUUAUUAAAGUAAUUGUAAAAAACAACUGAAAGCUAGAAAAAAAAAAGGAAAAAAGCCAAUAAUUCUAAACAAAUUUAAGACCACUCCUAACUUUAGAGUAGUCUACUUUCAUAGAGAGUUUAAUAUAAUUUUUAAGUUAAUAUUAUAUCAGCAGUGUUAUAUGUCCCAAAUAAUGUUUCGGGAAAUUUCAGAGUGUGUGUAUUUUCUAGUUUUAUAAGAGAAACUUCAUAAGUCUUGUGGAAAACAUGUGGGAGAGGGGUGAAUGCAUGUGGACCAGGGGUGAUAAUCAGUCAAUCAAAAUUAUUCGCAAACAAUUUUUGAUGGAAUGUUUCGCUUUACUUAACAAUAUCAAGAAUUGCUCGCGAAUAAUUUUGAUUGGCUGAUUAUCACCCCUGAUCCACAUGUAUUCACCCCUAGCCCACAUGUUUUUUACAAGACUUAUAAUUUCACUUAUAAAACUAGAAAAUACACACACUCAUAAAAUUUCCCAAACCAUUAUUCGGCACAUGCACCGCUGGAUUAUAUAUUUAUGGUUUGGAUGUAAUCAAAGUAAAAGUCAUAUUCAGUUGCAAUAACUAUGACCAAGAUAUUGUCUUUAUCUGAAUCGAACUUAUUGUCUCCUGAAAUUUUAGCAUCAAAUGAACUGACUUUGUGUUGGUUUGGUUUCACACGUUCAUCUGAUUUUUCACCGUGAUUUCCACAAGAUACAAAGUAUAGCUUCCAUGUUGGUGUGGUUUUCAAACUUGGUUUUAAGGGAUGCCGAACGAAACACGUUAUUGGUUUCAUCACUUACAUUGCCUACAUUAUGCACAUUAUCUUCUUAAUAUCAAAUACCAAACACCUUCCCUAAGACGUCUUUGGUAUUUGCAGACUGGAUAAAGUUAGAAUAAAAGGUACAAUAGUUUUGUGAUGUUGCAAUACGGGACCUAGUGGCGGGUGUAACAUUUUGUGCAACAUUUUUUCCUUCUUCUUAUGUCUUUUUUUUUUUUUUGACAGUGACCGGGGUUUAAACACCGAACAUUACAUAUAUUAUGCAUUAUCUGAACUAACUGAGCUAAGCUCACGAGAACCUUCUUAUAUUUCAUGAUUAUUCUCAAGGACCUCAUUUGGUGCAUCACAUUUUUGUGUAUCACAGGGUUUAUCAUAUAAAAUAAGUAUUGGCAACUCUUUUAAAAAGAAAAAAAAAGUUGGGCCAUGCAUUUAUAUAUCAAUCAAUUCAAACUCCUUAAUUUGGUUUUUUUAUUAUUAUUACUGACAAUAAUUUUCUUGUUAAGAAGAUCCUAUAUUAUCAAUUCAAAAGCUUCAUAUUCAUACUAGAACCAUGAUGAUAUUCAAAAAAACAUUUAAUCCAAGUCCAAAAAUUCCUUGAUUAAGAGUUUUUUAUUUUCUUUUUCUUCUUUGCGUCUUAAAGAUAUUGAAUAGAAAGAACUAUUUUUCUUUCCAUUAAAAUUUUGAAAGUGAACAUUUAAAUAUCCUUCAAAACACAAGUAAAUAGAUUUGAAACAUAUAAAAUGCAGUUAAUCUUUUUGAAAGAUAAACAAAUGAAAAUCCAAAUUGUAUUCUUUGGGUUUAUAAUGCCAAAAUUUCAAGUCGGCUCACUCGUCUUACCCCAAUAAAAUGAAUUCAGAAUUUGUUUGACUCCAUAAGAUAAAGAUAUCAAAAAUAAAGGAUUUCUCCAUAAUGGCCAUGUAUGGUUGACGGGUAUUUUAAAAAAAGGAUUGGCUUAUUUUGGUAAAUACAUCUAACCAACUCCAAUCCUUUUACCGAUUAACAUCUUAGAAGACAUAAAAAAAAAAAUAUAUGUUUUAAAUAUAAGUAAAAAAAAAGUUAAAUAAAGUAGAAGUAUUUGGUUCAAAUUUUUAAUCAAAUACAUUAAUUUUAUUAACUUUUUUGCUUAUAUUUGAGAUCGAAGUAAUAUAUUAAAAAAAAAUUGUUAUACUUUUAGAACAUUUACCACACCUUUCAAAACAUAGUAACUAUUAUUUCAUCAGCUCCUAUUUACAUAUCGUUUUUAGACUCUUUUACACAUAUCAGAACAAUCAAUAAGCUUUGUUACUUUUAAAUCCCAUUAUUUCUCUUUUAAAAUAGACAUAAUUUAUUUUUUUGAAGAAGUUAAAAUAGAAAUAGAUAUAAUUUAUUAUUUCACUUCAUCUAUUUCCCUUUGUAAUAAUAUUAUAUAUGAUUAUCGAUAUUAAUAUUAUUGAUAAUUCUAUAACUAAUAUUGUAUUGAACUAUAAAAAUGAUCGAAAAAUAUUUGUAUACUAGUUUGAACACCCGUGCCAAGCACGGGCUAGAAUUUCGGCAUAUCUAAUGGAGAGAAUAUUGUGAUGUAUCAAGUGUCAAUUAAAAUUCCCGUGACUUAGUUCAACUGGUAUGGACAAUGCAUAAUAUAUGGAAGGUCUGGGGUUCAAACCUCGGACACCACAAAAAAAUAGUGUCAUUUAAAUCUCAUUGGAUAAAAUAUUGGAGGUCGAAGAACAAAUAAGUGGAAAAAAAAACUCAUACUAAAGCCUUAAAAUUUUGGAAGAAGAUGCGACAUCAUUCUCACCUGUGUGGUUGUUUUUUCUGCAAUGUGUCGAAUCACACAAGUGUUGUCUCCCCCGUAAGUUCCAAUGGUGAUAUCAUAUACGCUUCAACAUUUUUGGGGAGUGGAAGUGCUUCGUGGUGGUGGAUCGCGGACACAAAGAGUAUCGUAUUUAAUUGAGAGAUGGUAAUGUGUCAAGUGUGGGUUAAAAUAACAUAUUGAAUGCCAUAUAAUAGAUAUUGAAUAACAUAUCAGUGGAAUGACUCAUAAUCUCUUAAGAUUUUGAAUGUAACUGUGAUGUCAAUCUCACUUGUGUGCUUGCUUUUAGUCUAAUGUUAUGAUACAAUCCAAUACAGGUUCCCACAAAAGUCUCAACAUUAUUAUGAUUUGUUUUGUUAGUGUUGUGGUGUCAUUUGUUAAAUUUUGUAUCUUAAAUUUUAGUUUUGAGAUGUCAUUCGCUUCCAUGCAAUUUUUUUAUUCAACCUCUAUUAUUUUAAAUUUCUUUAGUUUUAGUCUUUGGUCUGAUUUGACAAUGGGAAAAUGUAGACGUGUUCUACUAAGUUGACAAAAUACACUUAUUAGAUAUUUUAAAUUGAUGUGACAUUUUUUGAAUGAAUCUAUUAUUUUGGUAGCAUGAUUACCCAUUAAUUUUCAACACCUUCAACAAAUUCAUAAAAUUAUCAGCAUCUCAUUCUAUUCCCUAUACUCUCACGAAUAAAGCACACACUCCUAAGUUUUUCCCUUAUUAUUUCUCUCUUGUACACAUUUCUUUUUCAUCUUCUUUCUUUUUCUAAUUUACUUUCUCUUUUCUCUUGAAAGAAAGGAACAAAGACAUCCUCUAUGAAACUAUCACCAACCACAUUUUUUACCAUGUUGUGCCUUUGAGCUUAUUUGAUUAUCACAUCAUAUCACAAAUACAUACGGUCUCACACCUGAGGGGUAGACGUUAAUGUGUCAUGUAUGAUUUAAACUUCUACAUUAUAUGUAAGAGUAGACAAUAAGCAAACAUAUAAAUGAGAUGACUAAUAUAUCCAAUGUCUUAAGAUUUUAGGUUUAAAUGUGAUGUGAAUUUCACAUGUGGGAUUUCUCUUAGUCAAAUGUGAUGAUCAAACUCAUUGUAGGCACUCUAAGAACUCCAAACAUCAUGAUGAACUGUUUUGAUAGUUUUUGGAUUUCAUUUGCAUAAGUUUUUUGAUAUUAAAUAUACAUUUUUGGAUGUCAUUCACUUUCAUUCAAAUGUUUUUAUUCAACCUCUAUUAUUUAAAAUUCUUUCACUUUUGCUCUUUGGGAGAUCUAACAAUAAAAAAAUGCAUGUGUUUUGCCGAGUUGACAAAACGAUAUUUUAAAAUUAUGUGACAUUUUUCAAUUGAGUCUUUUUUUUUUUCUGUUGGUGAAAUAACUACUCAUAAAUUUUUAACUCCUUCAACUAAACCAUAAAAUUACCAAUAACUCACUUUAUUUUCAAUACUUUCACGGACGAAACACACACUAUUUUUUUCUUCCAAUCAUUUAUCUCAUUUUCAAAUUACUUUUUCGUAUUCUUUCUUUUUACAAUUUCCUUUCUCUCUUUUCAUGAAAUUUAGAAUCAUAAACCUCUCUCGAUGAAAUCACCAUGAAUCCACCUUUUUAAUCAUGUUAUACUCCCUUCGUCCCGGAUUAACUGAGUCAUUUGUUCAUUUCAUACAUAUUAAGAAGAACGUAUAAAUGAAGGAGAGAGAAGGUUUUAAGUGCUCUUGUUAAGUAUUGGUGCAUUCUCCACUGUUAGAAAUGCAAAGUGGAAUAUAUUGAAUUGAGAGUGAUGAAAGUAGUAUUAAUCAGUGUUAUAAAGAGAAAAAAAGUAAUUAAUAUUGCAUUGAAAAAUGAAAUGACUCAGAUAUUUUGGGACACUUUGUUUUUGCAAAUGACUCAGUUAUUAUGAGACGGAGUGAGUACCUCCGCCCGACCUUAUUUGGUUGUGUCACCGGAUCAUAGACGCAUAGUCUCACAAUUAAGAGAGAUAUGUUAUUGUGUCAAUUGUAAUUUAAAUUUUCACAUUAGAUGCAAGAGUAGAUGUUGAGACACUUAUAAAUGAGAUGACCAAUAUAAGUAGAUGUUUAAUUUUUAUAUUGAAUUUAAAUUUUUUGUUGUUGUUCACUUCCGUGUAAUUUAUUUUUUUUAUCAAUCCCUAUUAUUUUAAAUUUCUGUACCUUUUGUCUUUGGUGAGAUUUAACCAUAGAAAAACUCUAAUGUGUUAUGCUGAAUUAACAAAAUGUGUGCUUAUUAGAAUUUUUUAAAUGUUAUCGUGUUUUUUUUAAUUAAGUAUAAUUUUUGGGUAAAUUAAUUACUCAAAAAUCUUGAACUUCUUCGACUCGCUUUAUUCUUUAUAAUAUCGUGGACAAAACACAACUUUUUUACAGGUAUCAUUUAUCUCAAUCUAAAAAUAAUAUCUAAUUUUCUUUCUCACUUCUCAUGAAAGAAAGGAACCUCUGUUUGACCCUAUUUGACUAUGUCAUAUAUUUACGGACGCGGGAGUCACACAAUUGGGGGAGAAAUGCUAAUAUAUCAAAUAUGAGUUAAAGUUCUACAAUUGAUGGAAUAGUAGAUGUUGAAUAACAUAUAAGUGAGAUGACACACAUAUAUGUCCCAAGAUAAUUUGAAUGAAGAUAUAAUAUUAAUCUCACGUGUGUCAUUUCUCAUAGUCUAAUAGGAUGAUACAACCCAAUGCAAGCUCUAUGGGAAGCACAAACAUUAUAAUGAUUUUUUUUUUUUGACAAAACAUUACAAUGAUUUGCUUUGUUAGUUCAUUUGUUUAUUAUUUUAUCUUUGAUACUUUGAAUGUCAUUCGUUUUCAUGCAAUUUUUUUUUAUUCAGCCUUUAUUAUUUCAAAUUUCUUCACCCUUUUUAGAGUUUGGGCAAAUGAGAAAGCUAGUUAUGAGAUAUCAACAUAGAUGAGAAGUCGUAACUUUCUCUUGAUGCCCUUGCAUUUUAUUCCUUUAUUAAAAAAAUAAUCAUCUUUGGUCAUUUGUGGGAUCUCACAAAAGGAAAACAUAGAUGUAUUAUACUAAGUUAACAAAGUACAUGUUUAUUAGACAUUUUAAAUUGAUAUAUUUUGAAUAACUCGAAUAUUUUGGUAGUAUAAUUACUCAAAAAUCUACAACUUCUUCAACAAACCCAUAAAAUUAACAUCAACUUAUUAUUUUACCUUAUUACUUCUCUAUGUUCAAAUUUCUUUUUCUAAUUUACUUUCUCUCUUCUCGUGAAAGAAAGAAAAAAAACAUCCCUCUUUGAAACUGCCACCAACCCACCUUUUUUACCAUGUUGUGCCUCUGACCUUAUUAGGCUAUCACACCAAGUCACAAAUAUAAAGAGUCUCACACUUAAAAAGAGAUGUUAAUGUGUCAUGUGAGAGUAGGUUGGAUGCAAGAGUAGAUUUUAAGCAACGUGUUAGCGAGAUAACCCGUAUACAUAAUGUCUUAAGGUUUUGGAUCAAAAUAUGAUGUCGGUCUCAUUUGUGAGGUUUCUCUUAGCCAAAUGUGGUGCUCCAACCUAUUGUAUACUUCCGCUGAACUCUGAAUAUUAUGAUGAAUUGUCUUCUUAGCUUUUUUUAUGUCAUUUGCUUGGAUUUUUUUAUUAAAUAAAAAAAUAUUUAUGUUUUAAAUAUAAGUAAAAAAAAAGUUAAAUAAAGUAGAAGUAUUUGGUUCAAAUUUUUAAUCAAAUACAUUAAUUUUAUUAACUUUUUUGCUUAUAUUCGAGAUCGAAGUAAUAUAUUAAAAAAAAAAAAUUGUUAUACUUUUAGAACAUUUACCACACCUUUCAAAACAUAGUAACUAUUAUUUCAUCGGCUCCUAUUUGCAUAUCAUUUUUAGACUCUUUUACACAUAUCAGAACAAUCAAUAGGCUUUGUUACUUUUAAAUCCCAUUAUUUCUCUUUUAAAAUAGACAUAAUUUAUUUUUUUGAAGAAAUUAAAAUAAAAAUAGAUAUAAUUUAUUAUUUCACUUCAUCUAUUUCCCUCGGUAAUAAUAUUAUAUAUGAUUAUCGAUAUUAAUAUUAUUGAUAAUUCUAUAACUAAUAUUGUAUUGAACUAUAAAAAUGAUCGAUAAAUAUUUGUAUAUAUUUGCUAAGUGCAGCGAAUAAAAUUUCCCGAAUUUAUCAGGAUGUAUAUAUUUGUAUUACAUAGCAUUAUUGCCACAUGAAUUCCACUAAUUCAGCCUUUUAUUCGGUUGGACAAUUAUAACUAGGAAACAGUUUCGUGAGUGCCUCGUGAUAAUUUCUGUUGCGAUGAAUAGCAUCACUAAUAAAUACUCCAUCCGUUUUUAAAUAUAAGCAAAAAAAUAAAUUUUGCUUACAUUUAAAGACGGAGGGAGUAUAAUACAAAAUUUGCAUAAAUUAAAAAGGAACGAGAGUAUAUAUUAUUCCUUAGCAUUUUCCAAAAAGUUUUAUGGAUUGAAAACUUUUCUGAAUGGUAAGAAUCUAGAACACCAUUGACUAUUCUUUGCAUUGGGAAAAAAUGCACAGGAACCAUAGGUACAAGUAUGUUCAAUCUGUGAGAAAGCAUAGGUUUCGCAGGAAUCAUUUUGUCUAAAGUGUGGCUAUCUCCUCUUAUCCUCUCUUCAGGAAGAACAUGUUGCAAUCAUACACUACUAUGUUUUGUAGAGCUCAUCAGAAUUUUCACAAUUUAGUCGAUGAUGGACUAGCAUGGCUUCACAAAUCACAAUGGCAUUAGAAAAUGGCAAAUUCACAACUUUAUUGGUUUAAUGGCAGAGAUUACAAUUUACUAGAAUGUUCUGUUCUGCUCCUCGCUUUCUGGGACGUUAACUAUCCAAUCGAUUUAUGCCACUCAUGGAAUUUUAUUCCUGUUCUGUUGUCUUGUCUGGCGUGAGUACUAAAUUCCGGCAAGGUUUGUCAACAAUUCAACUAACCUACAUCUAGCUUGAUCAUUAUGUUGUUAUAGUGUUACAACCUACUCGUAUCCACAACCACAAGCAGUCUUUGCUUAGAUAAAAAAAAAAAAAAAAAACUUAUAAUUAUCGGGGGAUAUAACUGAGUCAUUUGUAAAAAACAAAAUUUUUUUUUAAAAUAAUUGAGUUAUUUCACUUUUCAAUACAAUAUUAAUUACUUUUUCCCCUUUAUAACUCUAAUUAAUAUUACUUUCAUCAUUUCCAAUUCAAUAUAUUCCACUUUACAUUUAUGAUAGUGGAGAAUGCACCGAUACUUAACAAGUGCACUUAAAACUAUUUUUCUUUCUACUUCAUUUAUACAUUUUUCUUAAUACGUGUGAAAUAAGCUUUUGGCUCAGUUAAUCCAGGAUGGAGGGAAUAAUAAACUACUGAUUUAAUACUUUUUAAAUUAUCACAUUUUUUCUAUAAAGCAUAUGAAUAUAAUAAUUAAUUCUUAGAAAAAAAUUCGUCGAUUCAAUUUCUAAAUAUAUGAAAAUUCAUCGAUUUAGUCUUUAGUUUCUUAAUACUAGAAACCAAAUUGAUGGAUAUGAAGUUCGAAGGUUGACUCUUAUAUAUUAUUAUAUUUACAUAGUUUAAUUUAAUGAUUAAAUUGAAGAUGAGAUGAAAUAAUUUAGAGACUAAGUUGAUUGUUUUUUAUUCUACAAAAUAAAUGGUUUUGUAGAUAUAUAAUUUGUUAAGGAUGAGAAUGGAAAUUUGUUAGUAGUGCAAUUCAUAUGAUACUUUAAUUUCAGCGUCCAAAUUCAUAUUACUAUACUACUUCAAGGUCACGAUAAUGGUUUUAUUCAUUCUACAUGGAUGGAAGAUGAGCAAAAUGGAUGAAAGAUGAUCAAAUUUACCAAUAGGAUGAGUAAGUACUUCUUUUUUUUUGAAGGAAGGACAAGUAAGUACUUCUACAAUGAUGAUUUUGUGCUUAAUAUGAAGGAACUACACAGAAAAAGUAGGGAAAAUUAGGAAAGACAACAAGUCGGCACUAGAGAAAACUAUAAAAAUUAUUCUUGAGCUUAUUGUUGUUGUUUUUUGUUUUACGAUGAGUCAAUUGUUUAGGAGAGAUUAGGUUGAAUUUUAAAAGAUGCCACAUCACAUUGAGGGGCAUGUACAUGUCACAAUGGUGAGGUAAACGUGUUUGUAUACGGUGCAACCUUCCAAAUGAAAAUAAUAUAUUGUAAAUUUGUAAAGAUCAAUUGCAAGUGAGGCAUUGACACUUCAACCACUUAUUCCUAUAUAAAAAAAAGUAAAAACUAAUCUUGUAUAGUCCACAGUAUCAAGUUUAUAUUUUAGAAAUUCUAAGGAAUUUAUUCAUUUGUUCAGUUUACACUAUCGUUGUUAAAUCUAAUGUAAGAAUAAAUUAACUUGUUUGCAGUUGUGCAAACAUUUUAGAAAGUCUCUCGCCUGCGUGCUUGAGCAUAUAAGUAUCUUGGUGAAACAUUGAGCACUUAGGAAGUCUCAGUCAGUUCUGAUUGAGCAAGGGAAAGUCUUAAGCAGUUAUGCUUAAGCAAUGGGAAGUUUCUUGGAGUUGUCUUUGGGCAGGAAGUCUUUAGGUAAAGUCCUAGAGCAUAAAAGUGUCUUGCAGUUGUGCUUGAGCAAAGAGAAGUCUCUUGAAAAUGUCCUUGAGCAUUUUGUAAUCCUUUAUGAUUAUAGUGAAAUUCCUUGGAAGUGCAAGUGGACUGGACUACUCCUGGAUUGUAGAAGGAGUCAGUAUAAAAUUGUUUUAUGUCUACUUUCUUUUUCUCUAUCUCUUUAUCUGCGUGUUUUGUACUCUAUAUGUUGUAUUCAUACUUUAUAUCAGAAUUUGUAUACCUUAGAUUCUGAUCAAGUCUUAACACUCAGAAAAAGAAACCAUUAAAAGGCAACACAAUUCAACCUCCCCCGCCCCCUCUUCUGUGUUUUUCUCACAUUCACAAAUGUGUAAUCUUGGGCAUGCAUGGUUGUGUUAACAAUUACACAUUGGAUGAGAUAUGACUUGAGUAUAAGUUUAUAAAUAGUGGAUAGUUUUCAGGGGAUGAGUUAGGUUUAUCGGUAGUCCUCACGUUACACGCUGAUAUUGAAAAGGGGUGAGUUAGGCCAACGACUUAUAAAUACAUUGUAAGGACACAUGUCAUUAAAUGUCAAACUCUUAACAUACCUUCUCACGCCAAAACUGAACAUCUGAAGCGUAAUUUGAGCGAUUCAAUAGUGAUAUUUGAGUAGCCUAAUAGCAAGUGACCAAUAUAUCUUAAAUAUUAUCUAAUGCCAUCAAGAGUUUCUUGUUAUGAUAUUCAAGAAACUCAUGCAAUGCUGAAAUUGGUACACACAUCCUCUUAAUCUUUGGAGGAGGGUUUGUAGGUCAUGGUUCUAUGCCAUUUCUUUGAGGGCUAUUUGUGUCGAGUGGUAUUUUUUUUUUUAGUUUUUAAUGUAAGUAAAUGUUAACAAAUGCCUUUAAAAAAUUGUUUAAGCAACUAAAAAUAGUAUUCCCUCCGUUUUAAAAUGAGUGUCGUUUUAGCAAAAAAAAAAAAAAAUCAAAAUGAAUGUCACUUUCAGUUUCCAAUGCAAUAAUAACUUUUUCUUUUCAAUUGUACCCUUCAAUACAAAAUUUUUCCAUGGAGUGAUGUCAAACUGCCGUCGUCAAAAUGCUAUUAAUUUGGUGUUUGUUGAUGGUGUUAAUGUCGAAGGCGUUCAAAAUAUCAGGGCUGCGGUUUACAACCACUUUUCUUCUCAUUUCAAAAAAGUAACAACAUUUCGGCCUAGUGUGGAAGCACUUCCAUUUCGUAAAUUAUCACUUCGGGAGGCUGGCAAUUUAACUAAACCUUUUUCUCAUGAAGAGGUUAAGCAAGCGGUCUGGGAUUGUGAUAGUUUCAAGAGCCCGGGACCAAACGGUAUUAGCUUUAAUUUUAUCAAAAGAUUUUGGGACUUGGUAAAGGAUGAUUUUAUGCAAUUCUUGGUUGAUUUUCAUCGAAACGGAAAGUUGAUUAAAGGGGUAAAUUCUACUUUUAUCGCCUUGAUUCCGAAGGUUAACAACCCUCAACGCCUCAAUGAUUACAUGCCUAUUUCAUUGGUGGGUUGCUUGUAUAAGGUGUUAGCGAAGGUUUUAGCUAACAGGUUACGUAAUGUCAUUGGGAGUGUGGUUUCUGACUCUCAGUCAGCUUUUAUUAAAGGGAACUAAAUUUUAGAUGGUAUCCUGAUAGCUAAUGAAGUGGUAGAUGAUGCAAGACGUAUGGAUAAAGAACUUCUACUGUUCAGAGUAGAUUUUGAAAAAGCAUAUGACUCGGUGGACCUAAAAUAUCUCGAUAUGGUGAUGGUAACCAUGAAUUUUCCAACUCUUUGGCAGAAAUGGAUUUCAGAAUGUAUUGGGACAGCGAAGGCGGCGGUUUUGGUGAAUGGGUGUCCAAUGGAAGAAUUCUCUAUUGAGAGGGGGCUUCGUCAAGGGGACCCUCUCUCCCCUUUUUUAUUUUUGUUGGCAGCUGAAGGUUUUAAUGUCUUAAUGAAACAAAUGGCGGGCGCACAAUUGUUUAAUGGGUUCCUAGUUGGUCGAGUUGGUGAGGUGAAUUUGACACACCUUCAGUUCGCUGAUGACACUUUAAUCAUUGGUGAGAAGAGCUGGUUGAAUGUCCGUUCCAUGAGGGCGGUGCUUAUGCUAUUUGAGGAAGUGUCGGGAUUGAAAGUGAAUUUUCACAAGAGCAUGUUGACCGGGUGAAUAUAUCUGAGUCUUGGCUGCGGCAUCUGUAUUGAAUUGUCGAAGAGGGAAGCUUCCUUUUGUCUAUUUGGGCUUACCUAUUGGCGGGGAUUCUCGAAAAUUGAGUUUUUGGAAACCUGUUGUCGACCGUAUUGUGGCACGUUUGUCGUCUUGGAGUAAUAAGUUCCUUUCUUUUGAUGUUUGACUGGUUCUUCUGAAGUCUGUCUUGUCCUCUCUUUCGGUUUACUUUCUUUCCUUUUUCAAAGCCCCUGCAGGUAUAAUUUUCUCUAUUGAAUCUAUUUUAAAAAAAAAAAAAAAUUGGGGGGGGGGGGGGGGGUGGUGAGGAUCAUAGGAAAAUGGCUUGGAUUGAUUGGAAUUCGAUUUGUUUACCAAAGGAAGAAGGGGGGUUGGGGGUUAGGAGGGUGAGAGCUUUUAAUUUGGCAUUGUUAGGAAAAUGGUGUUGGACGAUGUUAGUGAAUAAAGAGGGGUUGUGGUAUCGAGUGUUAAAAGCUCAGUAUGGGGAGGUUGGAGGGCGGAUUAGGGAAGGGGAUAGAUACGCCUCAGUGCGGUGGAAUAUGAUUUGUAGAGUGCGUGACGGUGCAGGUGAAGGAGUUGGGAGGUGGUUUGAUGAGAAUGUUCGUAGGGUGAUUGGCGAUGGGAGGAACACUUUAUUCUGGUAUGACACUUGGAUAGGGGAGAUUCCGUUGCGGUUGAAGUUUCCUAGGUUAUUUGAGUUGGCGGUGGAGAAGGAGAGUAAGGUGGAGGAGAUGUGGCGGUUGGGGUGGGGCGGUAAUGGAAGGGAGUGGGUUUGGAGACGUCGUCUGUUUGCAUGGGAGGAGGAGAGUGUGUUGCUCUUUUAUGUAACAUUGUUUUGCAAGACACUGUUCAUGAUUCUUGGAGGUGGAUGUUAGACCCGGUUCAAGGAUACUCAGUGAAAGCAGCAUACCACUUUAUUACAGACACAGGCGUCAUGGCUGACAGGUCUCAGGUUGAUGAUGUUUGGUUUAAGUAUAUUCCGUUAAAGGUGUCUUUAUUGGUGUGUCGUCUCCUUCGCAAUCGGCUUCCUACUAAAGAUAACCUGGUUCAACGUGGGAUUCUCAAUCCAACAGAUGGUAUGUGUGUGGCUGGUUGUAAUGUUUUAGAAUCAGCUACUCACCUUUUUUUACAUUGUAAUAUUUUUGGUGUUUUGUGGUUCAAUUUUCGGUCCCUCUUGGUGAGCUUCGACAACAUUUUAUUCAAUUUACUAGGAUGUCAGGUUUGCCUAGAUCUGCUCAUUUAUUCCUGACAGUUAUUUGGUUUGCUACUAUUUGGUGACUUGGAAAGAACGGAAUACUCGUGUGUUCCAAAACACGACAUCUACUUCAUUUACCCUCAUUGAAAAAGUUAAGUUGCACUCGUAUUUAUGGUUAAAAUCUAAACAGACAUCAUUAGCUUAUUCUUAUUAUGAUUGGUGGAAACAUCUGCUUCAUUGUAUGGGUGUGUUCUUGUAAUUUUGUUUCUUGAUUGACCAUUUAAAAGGCAAUCUGACUCUGUAUUUUUGUAACGUUGGUGGUGUUUCUUUUUUGCGUACCUUGCGCGAGUGGAAAUACAUUUGAGUAUAUAUAUACCAUUUUGAUUUGUUCAAAAAAAAAAAUUAUGUUACACUACUUCCAAAGUAUAAUUGUUUCUUUAAUGAAAAACAAAUCAAUAGUUGAUUAGAAUAAUUUGAUAAAAUUGCUAUGACAUUUGACUAUUUUAUUCAAUUCCUUAAUAUGUAUGCAAUUGGCUAAAGCGACACUCAUUUUGAAACGGAGGGAGUAUAAUUUUUGUAUAGAAAUGUGUAAUUAUUACUUUUACAUGUAUUUGAUUUAUGCUUUUAAGAUAAAAUUCCAUUUAAUGUAAAAUAAUGUCUUUAAAUGUAUCUGUUUUUAGGGCAAUCGUUAGCCUAACUCUUUAACGUAAAAUAAAUUUAUAUUGAUUAUGCAUAUCUCAACUUGCCUGAAUAUAAUGUCUUUAAAAUGAUUAAAUUAAAAGUUUUUGAAUUAUGUAAAAUAAAUUGAAAAAAAGUUGGUUAAUAAUUUGGUAGAGUUUGGAAAGGCAUUAGGAGGCAGGGAACGUGAGUGGGUUAAGUUUGUGCUACUGCUGCAGCUAUGAAAUGAUGAUGAUAGUGGGUUUGUUUGAUGAUAUGAUGACUCACGCCGGCAGCUUUUACUCUCUCAAACCUCAAUUGGCAGUUGGGCACGCCUGCUCCCACUCAUCCAAUGACUUCUAUUGUAUAGUUUUCUCAAUCACUAAUUCUUUUUUAUUUUCUUCUUUAAUUUUAUAUUUAUCUCUAAAAAAAGAAUGAAAAGCUAAUCCACUAAGAUCUCUUCCCUGCUAGCUUUUCCUCAUGCUUUUUUAUUUUUCAUCUUUUUGUCAGAGAAUUCUUCUAUUUCAAAAAUAAAGCAUCAACUAGCUAGGUCAUGCAUCCUAUUCUAUUUUUCAAGUUUUUAUUGACUGAGAUAGUAACCACUUAUCUCAGUCAAUUCCCCCUUCUCUCUUAGCCUUUUCUUUUUUUAACAAAAAGAAGCCCUCUCCCAAUAAAAGAAUAUAACCUAGAAAAGAAAACCCCACUUGCAUAUUCCCAGCACAUCAUCGAUUACGCAAAAAGGAAUGGAAAUAAAAUUAUUGAACGAGCUUGUGAAAUAUGCUAUGUAUAUGAUCUAGCUUAUAUGCAAUGAAUAUGAAUGCAAUAGAAUUAUGAUUCUCAAAAUUGUUGAGUUAAAAGAAGUUUUCAUAAUUGUAAAUAUCAAUCAAACUUGUCUCUAAUAUUCGCAAAUUAGUCAAUACAUCCGUAAAAUUGUAAAGUAUAUAUCACUGAAAAUAGUCAAGCUAACAAUUUUUAUUGUCGAUAGAAAUAUAAUGUGACACGUUAAUUAAAUCAAAUAUACGAUUGAUCUUGUACCUUGAUCUCACAUCAUCAAUAUCACCACAUCAAACGUUAAUAUUACUAAUAAAAUAAUCUUCACUCUCCAUAAUUAAAUUAUACGAGCUCUAGUCAUUAAACUACUUGACAAAAAAAAAAAAUCUUCACACAAUUGUAACUAAUAACGAAUUUCAUCAAUGAGAUUACCUACAUUUCUUAGGUCAAUUAAUCAUUAAUAAACUAUCAUCGAUGGCGAAUCAUUGUCCAAUGUAACAUCUAGUUAACAUGUAACAUAAUAAUACAAGUUAACAAAUGAACUACCAUUAUGAAUGACAAUUUACAAUUUCAACAAUGUGUUUGCCAAUUUGAAAAAAUAAGAACUAUUUUGAUUUAUGUUUACCAUUUUGAGAAUCAACUUACCUAUUUAUUAUUAUUUAAUAUAUGAUUUCCUAAAUUCAAACUUUAUUGCUUCCAUUAUAAAUACACACACUAUUUAACAAGGCUUUCUUUCACUUACAUAUUGUUUUUUACUAUAUAUUUAGAAAAAUGAAGCUAUUUUUGCAAGGUAAAAAGAAUCUAUCCAAAGUUUGAAUAAACUUCUAAUCAUGAUCUCCAACGUACAGUACCCCAACUCCCACAGUUAAAAUAAAAACACAUCACUAGGGCCAUCCAUUGCUUGUGCUUAGAAGCAACUAUAUUGCUGAUUUGGUGUAUGUAUCUCUUUGGUUAAAUGGAUACGCUGUUUAGGCUUGUCAAUUUUCAACAACAACAACAACAAUAUCAACCUGAUCCUUCCCUCAACUCCACCACCACCUUAACAACUUCUAGCAGCUCUAGAUCCUCAAGACAAACAACAUAUCAUUAUUACAACCAACAAGAAGAAGACGAAGAAUGCUUCAACAACUUUUAUUACAUGGAUCAUAAUAACAACAAUGAUGAAGAUUUAUCCUCAUCUUCUUCUAAACAACACUAUUAUACUUAUCCUUAUGCUUCCACUACUACUAUCACUACUCCAAACACUACUUAUAAUACUAUCAACACCCCCACCACAACUGAUAAUUACUCUUUCUCACCCUCCCAUGAUUACUUCAACUUUGAAUUCUCCGGUCACUCUUGGUCACAAAACAUCCUCCUUGAAACUGCACGUGCAUUUUCCGACAAUAACACAAACCGAAUCCAACAACUCAUGUGGAUGCUAAACGAGCUUAGUACCCCAUAUGGUGACACAGAUCAAAAACUUUCAUCUUAUUUUCUUCAAGCUUUGUUUAGUCGCAUGAACGACGCGGGAGAUAGAACCUACAAAACCUUAACAACCGCGUCGGAAAAAACAUGUUCCUUUGAUUCAACGAGGAAGAUGUUGUUGAAGUUCCAAGAAGUUAGUCCAUGGACAACGUUUGGACACGUGGCAGCUAACGGUGCUAUCUUAGAAGCAUUGGAAGGUAACCCUAAACUUCACAUAAUUGAUAUUAGCAACACUUAUUGCACUCAAUGGCCAACACUCCUCGAAGCGUUGGCCACCCGCUCUGAUGAUACGCCUCACCUUCGUUUAACCACUGUAGUCACUGCAAUCAGCGGUGGCUCGGUGCAAAAAGUCAUGAAGGAAAUUGGUUCAAGGAUGGAAAAAUUUGCUAGGCUUAUGGGAGUGCCGUUUAAAUUCAAAAUCAUUUUCAGUGAUUUAAGAGAGUUGAAUUUGUGUGAUUUAGAUAUUAAAGAAGAUGAAGCUUUGGCUAUAAACUGUGUAAACUCUUUACAUUCGAUAUCCGGAGCCGGAAACCACCGUGAUUUGUUUAUAUCUUUGCUUCGUGGGUUAGAACCUAGGGUUUUAACUAUUGUUGAAGAAGAAGCUGAUUUAGAAGUUUGUUUUGGUUCGGAUUUCGUGGAAGGUUUUAAAGAGUGUUUAAGAUGGUUUAGGGUUUAUUUUGAAGCACUUGAUGAAAGUUUUUCAAGAACAAGUAGUGAGAGGUUGAUGCUAGAAAGAGAAGCUGGGAGAGGUAUUGUUGAUUUGGUUGCUUGUGAUCCUUAUGAGUCAGUGGAGAGACGUGAAACGGCGGCGCGGUGGAGGAGGAGGUUGCAUGGUGGCGGGUUUAAUACGGUGUCGUUUAGUGAUGAAGUUUGUGAUGAUGUUAGGGCUUUAUUGAGAAGGUAUAAAGAAGGGUGGUCGAUGACAUCCUCCGAUGGUGAUACCGGAAUAUUCUUGUCGUGGAAGGAUAAGCCGGUGGUGUGGGCCAGUGUAUGGAGGCCUUGAGGUGGCGCUGACGUGGCAUGGGUGAUUCACACGUGCUCUAAAUUUUAUUGGCACGUGCGUUUGGGAUUCAUCAUUGGUUACUUGAGAGUAAUUUUCACUGUUAUAUGGGUUCCUUUUUCUUUGAUCAAAAUAUAUAAGUUUGGUAAUUAAUUUAGGGGAGUAUAAGAGGAUUGAUUAAAGGGAGUUUGCUUGUAUUAAAAAAGGAAUUAACGGAGUAAAAUAUUUUUUUGGGUUACAUUCUAUGAUUUAUUUUUAUUUUUGUUUACAUAAGCAUUCUAUGAUUUAUUUUUAUUUUUGUUUAGAUAAGAAUAGGGUGUGGAGUUUGAUAUUUAAUUUGUAUGGAUUAUGUAUAUUAUAAAUGAAUUUUGCAUCUUAAUUUUCCGCGUCAUAAAUAUUAAAUUUUAUUUUUUGAAGGUGAAUGUCAUGUCGAGGAAUGCUAAGAACAAUCUACACUCUCUCCUAUCUACUCUCUCAAUAUUAAUUUGGUGAGGAAUGUCAUGUCAUAAAUAUUAAUUUGUUUUUGUCAAUAAGAAAAAGUUUAUGUGAGUUGAGUUUGAUACUCGGUAGUAAAAAUGUUGUGUCAUGAAUGUUUGACUCACAUUCCUUAAAAAAAAAAUGAAUAUUUGACUCACAUGAUUAUCACGUAAUUUUUUUUUUUUAAUUUUUGCCAAGAUUAUCACGUAUUAACAUCCAAAAUCAAACUAACAAAUUAUAAGCACAUUAUCAAUUGAUCUGAAAUUAUAAGCACAUUAUCAAUUGAUCUGGCAUAUGAUAAGCUUAAAAUUUUGGAUGAAAUUCUAUCAUUUAGUAUUGUUACUUUGAUUUUAGUUAUUAUAUUUUUUAUUAAAAAUUGAAGUAAGAUUAAUCUAGUUUUGAUUUCUUCUAAAAAAAAUAUUUUUUUAUUUGUUAAGAUUGAAUUUAAGAAUCGGAUCUGAUUUGAAAUUUAAAUUAGAACUAUCAAAUAUGAAAUUAUAGGAUUAAAUUAAUUAUUUGAUCGGAUAAAAAAAUUGAAAUUUAAAAUAAAAGAUUUUAAAUGAAGGUUAACAUUUGAAGGAAAAAAACUACACCAAAACUUAAGAUUCACUUAAUUUAUUAGACCAACCUUCUUGAAUCUCUCAUAACCAUAAAUAUUAGUGCAUGCAACAUAUUAUUUCUUUUCAAAAUUUAGUCCAUGCAACACUUUUAACCUAAAACACUAUAUCCACCAACCUUGACAAAGUGUAUUUAUUUUCACACCAUGAUAAAAUACGAUUGAUUAUAUUAAUUUAAUUAUUUUCACAAUAGCAGUUAUUAAAUUAUAGUCCAUUCAAAAAAAAAAAGUUAUUAAAUUAUAGUAAAUAUGGUUUGAUUUUCAAUGUGUAGUAAAUAAAUAACAAAAAUAUAUGGAUAUACCCUCUCAAAAACCAAAAGAUAUACAGAAUACAUACAUAAAAUCUUAUCUUUAAGGUUAAUGUGAGUUUAAUAAAUAAAUAACAAAGUUUUGAUGAAAUAUUAAGGUUUUGAGUUUGAGCCUCACCUCACCACACGAAUCUUAGUACGGUAACCGAGUGGGUUUAUGAUUGUGGGGAAUCCAUAGAAAAGGCAUUAGUCCUUAGUGGGCAGCACGUUAUAUGUUUGAGAUGGACUGUUUUAUUAGUUGCCAAACCAAGAAAAAGUGAUGCUCUUUAAAAAAAAAAAAUCUUUCCUUUCUUUCUUUUCGAUUCUUCCCAUCCUCUCCAAGUCUAAAAGUCUAUCAUCUUUUAUAUAUUACCACAUAAUUUUAGUUACCCUCUUCAUGCCCCCACAAUAGGCCCUAACGUUUCAUUGAAGCAAGAAUUUUAUAUAUUAUAUAUGUUGGCCAUGGAGUCCCUUUUGCUCAUGAAAGCCAAACAAUUGUAAUUAAGUACAUACAAUUUUAAAAAAAUUAUUAAUAGUGGGUACAUCUUUUAAGGGGUUGUUGCAUAUCUAAAAAUUGUGAUGGUAUUUGCCUCCUCUAACAUAACAUAUCAACUCUUCACUUUUGCACCUUUUCCCACCCUCAAGUUAUAAAACAAUAUAAUUGCUUUGCUUUAGUGUAUUUUUAAAGUUAGUUUUAUGCAUGCUGGCCCAUACCUUCUACAUGUGUAAGCUUUAGUCUCUUUUUCCAUAAAAUUGACAACGACCAGCUUAUGCCUUUUAUGUUUCUAUGGGACCAUAUUCUUGUAGAAAGCUUACUCUAUGUGUUUAUUUUCCAACGCAUAAGUACUUCAGGGUUUUGUCUCUCUGUCUAUUUUUUCCAUUUUGAAACAAAAUCCCCACAUCCUCAAUCCGACAAUAAUAGAAUACUUUCAUUUUGUAAAUUUCUUUUUUACUUUUUAAUAACCCAUGGUAAUUAGGUUUUUAACACCCAAUAUGGUCUCACAUGUAUCCCCAUAACUUAAAUCACUUGAACUCGCUAUGAAACUAAUGAGCAAGUCGAACUCAAAUUAUUUUUGUGGAUGAAUGUCAUUUUACCAAUUCUCCCAACACUAUAUUGGUAGUUUCAUUUUAUUAUUUUAAUAAUAUAAAUUUAAGCAAUACUUGUAGUUAUUUGUUGAGGGAAGAGGUGGAACCUGGAGGGUGACACAAUUUUUGGGUCUAACAAUUGAAAUUAGGGCUAAUAUAUGAGGGACAUAUGUCGUGUAUGAUGCAUAAGGUUGUGUUGGAACACUAUAAGGGACAACAUAUUGUUUCGGAUCAUCGAGUAUAUACUAGUGUUUAUAUAGUGGAGGUAUUGUUUUUACGACCCGAAACAUUAAAUUUAAUUAUUAUUUCUUUUAAUUUUGUUUCGGUAUACGUCAUCGUCAUGUAAUAUAUUUGCACGCGUCAGCAUACACUUGGCACAGGCCAACGCAUGUUGACACACGCCUGUGUGCGUCCUCCCUAAGUCAACUCUCUCACUGAGUGCUCAUUUAUGAGACGAGAUCAGAUCGUUGAUUUUGUAACGGUCAAAUGAUCAUAGCCAUUGAAUUUGUAACUUAUCUGUAUGAUCCCUCGCCUAUAACUAGAGUUCAUCUCCCUCUUACUUCUACUCACACCAAAAGUUCUCUUUAGUUGUCAAAGAACUUUUCUCUCUUCUCCCUCCUCCAACUUGUGUUGAUGAGCUAUUUUUUUUCUCCUCCCUUUUUAUCUUCCAUCGGAUUUAAAGAGUGUUUUUAAGACCACAGUCCAUUCGUGAUAUAAUCUCCCUUCGAAAGUAAGAAUGGUCUUAAGAGCAUAGUCUCUUCGAUAAAUUAUCCCUUCGAAAAUAAGAGUAUUCUAUAGAUCAUAAUCACUUUCGAUAUAUAUUUUUCCUUCGAAAAUAAGAAUGAUCUUAAGAAUAUAGUCACUUUCAAUACUUUAUGCCCUUGAAGAAGUUGGAGGUUAAUCAUGGAAACACCAUGUUGAAGUGGUCUAGUACCAUAUUAGAGUGGUCUUAGCACCAUAUUUGAAGGUCUAUAUCUAGAACGGAUCCUACAAUGCAGUAAGACUAUAAUACAGUUGUAGUUGUACUGUUUAUCUUGGAGGCGUCGUAGUUUAUAGUCUGAUUGCACAAUUUUUGGGUAGUGCUACAAAAUAUCUUAAAGAGAACAACUUAAUAUGCGACUCAACCUAGUAAUCUCUUUGGUGACCAAAAAUAUUUUUGAACUAAUUUUAACUAUUCUUCAAAAAAACUAUUCUUCCAACAUGUUGUUUCUAUCAUUGGAUUAAUAAAAUAUUAAAUCAAAUAAAAUAUGCAUGAUAAGAUUUAAUGAUUCAAAUAAGUUUUUGCAUGGUGCAAUACUAAUUUAUUUGUGUAUAUUAGACAAAACCUUGAAAUUAAAAUAAAAUUGAUGUGAUAUUUACUCAUUUUGGAUCACACUUCUUGUUGUUGCUUUGUGUCAUUGAAAAGAACUAGCACCAUAUCUAGGGCCAUUAUUACUUGGAUAGCAAUUAACAACGCAUUGGCUUAGCCAAAACCAGGCCCGCUAUCAUGCCUUCCUACAAUCAGCUAAGCAAAUAUCCGUUUAACAUCCAAAUUUCCUUUUCAAAAUUAAGGGGAUGAACCAAACCAAGGGAGAAACUACGUUAGUUAAACUAAAAAAACGCUUCUCAUUACCAUAGUGAAAACACUAAUAAACAUCAUUAUACAGAAUGAAUAUAGAUUAAAAAUUUCUCCAAAAAGGAGAAAUUGGACUAAGAUUUCAAAUAUCUUAUAUGUUAAGAACACCAAAAAUAAGUGUUAUAAUUUAGUAUAAGUAUUUAAAUUCCCGUAAAAAAGAGAUGUAUUAACAUUUUAGGUGUGUUUUUUUACUCAAACACAACUACGUUAUGUCAUUCAGUAUAAUAGAUUCAAUACAAGGUGGACUAAAAUUAAAAGGGAAGAACUAGCAUAUAUCACUAACUUCUUGCUAAGCCUUGAUCAACGAAGUUUACUUUUUAGGCCGACCGACAAAAUUAGCUUGCUAUUGAAUUAAACUUAUCUUGUCUCGUGAGCAUAGCUCAGUUAUUAGGACAAUGCAUUAAUAUAUGCAGGGGCUGGGUUCGAAUUCUGGACACCCCACUUAUUCACCUUAUAAGGUGAAUUCUAGCCACUAGGCUACUUAACCAAAAAAAAAAAACUUACCCUAAGGUGUGGAAAAUGUAUAAAUAUAUUCUUAAAGUGUCUUAAAUGGCACCAUUGUAAAACAGGCUUACAAUCUACUCUCUUUGGUCGCAUUUAUAAAUAAAAAUGAACUUUUUAAAUUUAUUGAAUAACUAACGUAUCUUGUAAACUAAAUACAUUAAUUAUUCAAUGAAUCUAAAAAGUUAUUUUUUACUUAUAAAUGUGACCGGAGAAAGUAAUUUCAUGUUUGCAUAAAAUAAAAUAAAAACAAUCUAAUUAUAUGUACACUUUAUUCAAAUUCAACUAAGCAAGCCAUUAAGUGCUUGUUUGGUUUUAUGUUGAGAGGCUUCAAUCACACGCCCAUAUGGCUAAACGCAGUUCCAUAAGCUUGUAAAGAUGUCUCGGUAUCAAUGGUUAAAUAUGAUCAAAUUAUUGGAAUUGAUUUUAGUUGAAGCGCCACUUCAUAGCUUUUGCGUUUGAGAGAAAUCGAUUCUCUAAAAAUGUCAAUAUGCUUUAUAAGCAUUGCCCUUUCAAAUAGUUAUAUAAAAUAGAAAUAAAAUCCAAUUUUAUAAUAUUUAUUCUCAUUUUGGUAAUUAUGUAUCCAAAAUCGAUUUUGAUUCAAACUAUCUAAACAUAAAUCAAUUCACAUUUAACUCAUUUUUAAUCAAAAUCAAUUCUAUGAAAAUCAAUUCUCUUAUGAUCAAUUUUCUCCACCUUAAAAUCAAACACAUUAAAUUGCUUCAAUAAGUCUCUAAAUUGAAAACCAUUAUUUUUUAUGAGAUAAAUUAACCUUGAUGAUUACGAAUGCACAUGCAUGUGCCAAAGCAUUUUGUUCCUAAAAAACAUUUGCACUUUAAAUGCUUACUUGCAGCUUACUCCAACAUUAUGUUGCUGCGGAUUGCUCUCCCUGGGGCUCCUAUUAAGAGCUAACAACCAUGCAUGAAGCAUCUCUUGGGUUAGACAAAGGGAUAUAAGAAGAUAUUAAAUAAAAAGAGAAAAUUUAUAUUUUAAAAUUAAGUUAGCAUAGCAUUAUUUAUUAUAAGUAUAAUAAGAGUUUAGUUUUUAUAUAUGCACAUUUAGUAUAAACAAUAACAUCUUUAUAAUCAAUCACAUUUGAAAUUGUUGAGAUGUUUUAUAAGCUGAUUGAGUUAAUUGUUCAAAUUGAUUCUAUAAUAUACGCGGUGUUCGAAAAAUGACACUGUAAAUAUGAGAUUCUUCUUAUUUUUUUACCUUAUAAUAUAUUCGUAGUUUAAAAAAGUGAUCUAGAGGUUAAAUUUUUUCAUGAUUUUUUCCAAACAUGUUUAGGACGUUAAAAUAUGGUUUUAAAAAAAAAAAAGAUUUUUUUCGACUAGAGACAAAUUAUUAUGAAUUUUUAUUUCCCAUAAUUAUGAGUUAUUUAAAAACUCCAAAAUUUGAUAAUGAUGGUUCUUAUGAUGUCCUAACCAUUCCUACUAAAAUAGCUAGGGAAUGAAAUUUGACCCGUGAGUAUGCGUUUACUCGGGAAAAAAUUGCAGUUUUGCAUACUUUGGUUGAAAAAUAAAAAUAAAUUGAAACUUCUUUGAAAUGUCUAUGAAACUUUGAAGAUCCAUUUUUUUUAUAUUUUUAUAGAUGUCUCUGCAAACAAUCAUCUCAAAAUUCAAUUUCUAGGUCGAGAUUUUCAUUGUUUAGUUUUUCAAGUUUUUUAAGCUUUAAAAUUCAUAAUUAAUUUGUUCCUAGUCAAAAAUUUCAAAUUUUUUGUGUAAAGCCAUAUUUCACGUCAUUAACAUGCCUGGAAAAAUUCAUGAAAAAAUUCAAUCUCUAGAUUGAUUUAUUUGUUUUCUCCACUGCUAAUGAAAUGCUCUCUUUUUCCCAAGUCCAUCCUUAGAACUUCUAAGUUAGAAGAAUAGCAACCAACCCCUAUAAUAUCCACCUGAUGAAGAGAAAGUGAGGGAGUUUUUCUGUCACAAGGCUAAUCAUAUGGACAUUAUUGCAGAUAAGAAGGAGGAGGUAGAUGAAUCAUAUUGAAGGAUGAGUUGUUGGAAUAUAGAUGAAGCAAAAUAUGCAUCCUAAGAUUAACAAGGUUCAUAAUAUUACAAGAGGAAAAACAAGAUUGCAUUACAUGAUUAAGAAAUUAAUAUUGUUUUGGUCAAAUGCAUCUAAAGGUCCUUUAAGUUUUUUCGUUUUUCCCAAAGUGGUCCUUUAAGUUUUAAAAGUCUCAAACAAGUCUUUUUAGUUUUUGAAUCGUUUCAAACAAGUUCUAUUGUAGAUAACAUAGUUGGUAAUUGCUUCAUUGAACUCAUCUUUGGUACCAAAUCUGGCUCCUAAAACCCACUUAAAAUUAAUCAUCUUUUUAGGCAUGGCAAAUGGUGGAUAAUCCUCUUUGUUGCUAUCAUCUGAAUCAUUAUCAUCAUCCUCUAAAAGGACUUGUUUGAAACGAUUCAAAAACUAAAAGGAUUUGUUUGGGACUUUUGAAACUUAAAGGAUUUGAUUGGGACUUUUGAAACUUAAAGGACCAUUUUAAAAAAAACGAAAAACUUAAAAGACCUUUAAAUGCAUUUGACCUAUUGGUUUCUUCAUACCAACCUCAAUAGAGUAAAUUAUUCCCAUCCUUAUUUUGUAUAAGUUCCAUAAAUAAAAAGUACUUACUUAUAAAUUCUAGAAGUCAUCAAAACUUAUCUUUUGUUGUUGCAUGUGUGAUUCUCUUUCAAUCCAUCCAUGGAUCACACAAUGUCUUGAUAAAAAUGCUUCUUAAAGACAUCCAUAUGGAUCUCUUGUAGACAAAUAAUAACCAACAAAGAACCAUCAUCAUUGGGACUAGGAAGAAGCAAUGAAUCUCCAUCAAGUUCUUCAUGUGUUCCUAGCCCCAUAUAAACCUCCUUUCCCCACCCAAAAUCAAGUCCAUAAAUUGGCAAUGACAACCAACUAGUCACUCCUAAAUUAGGAUUCCAAUAAAAAGGCCCCUUCUCACCAUUCCCUACAACUUGAAGAUCUUGGAACUUAGUCAAAUCUUCUUGCUUCUUAAAGUACUCAUUCCCCAACCUAAUAUACUCAUCGUUCACUUUCUCAACCGCUUCCCUUAUCCUACUUGAAGCAUACCCUAAGGGUUUAGACAUUAAAUCACCUGCUAGACUAGUAGCCAAAACAUCUAAAAUGGCAUUCCCAAAAUACCCUUUAGGUAAAUUAGGUUCCACACGACGCCUCCAAUCAACACAAACACCAAGCGCGGUUGGUUGGUCAUUUUUAUGCUCUCUUGCUUUACAUGCACUUCUCCAAAUAUGACCGGUUACUGUUUCAUACCUCGAAUAACCUCGACCAUUACUAGGUUUAUUCCAACUCUCAUUUGCGGUUUUUCUCAACUUUUCAACUUGUGUUUUACUCAAGUUGAUUAUAGCCACCGUUGUUUUUUUCUUCCUUUCUUCAACAUUAUCCAAAUUUCCUAACAAUAAAGGAAGUUGAUCAGGCUCCCAUUUAUUAACACUGUUACAACGUUUUGGCGACAACAUGUUUGUAUCGAGAAACCUUGGCACCAUUUUCAAAGGCUCACCACGUGCAAUCCGAGCCCACUCAAAAAUGAAAUGCAACGCGCUUGGUCCAUCAGCAACUGCGUGUGAGAUUAACAAACUAAUACUAACUACACCGCAAUUAAAAUUUGUGAGUUGAAAGAUAACCAGUGGAAUAUCUUCCAUUGGGAGUGUGUAAUCAAUGUGUGGGAUAAGGUAACGGUAAUAUUCCGAAGAAGGUGAAAAGUCACCUAGUUCGGAUAAUGUUAACGAGGAUUGUGCUUCGAUGAAUUGAACACCCAAUGAGUUGCAUUCGAGAUCAAAACGACCAUUUCCUUUCGAGUGUAAACGACCGGCAAGUGGAUAAAACGGCACAAGGACUUUGCUUAAUGACUCUUUCAAAGUGGUGGCGAUUUUAGUGGGGGAGGUAAGCCAGUUUUUUGGGGGCUGGUAAAAGUAUAUUGUUGGCACGUGUGCUAUGAUUCCAAUCUGAUCCCAUUCGGAUAAUGGUAAACGGCCACACCAUGUUGGUUCCAUUGGUCUCACAUAGUAACAGCCUUUGAAUGCUACUGAUGUUGAUGUUGAAGAUGGCAUGUUUUAGAACACAAAGAUUGUCUCACCCUCUUUUUGACGUUCCACCCCAAAAAAGUGAUGACUUGUUUGCUUUAUUUAAUGUUGCUCUCACAAGUGUUUUCUAAAUUCAGUUUGUGAGAUUAAAAGUUCAUUAGAGAAAUCUUUAAAUAGUUGAAUUUGUAGGAAAAUAUGGAUAGAUUAAAUAAGAGUUUUGCUAACUAGUAGGACAUUGGUUAAGGAAUACAUUAAUAGAAUCUUUGCUUUGAAAAAUAUAAGUUUUUAGUUUUAUCUUAACAAUAAUUACACUUUCUUUUGAGACAAAUUUAUUUAGUUUUUUAACCAAUAUCUCAAGUACAUUCAUUGGUAUUCUCCAUAAAAUAAAAGAGGUCAUCCAUUACCACGUAAGAUGCAUGGAGUAUUUUAUAAUGGUACCAUUAUAAUGGAGUUUUCAAAAACAUAAAAAUGAUUUGCCUUAUUAUAAUGGUACCAUGAGGUAUUUUAAAAAAAAUUAUUCGGUACCACGAGGUGAUCAUGCAUGGAGUUUAAAAAACAAAUCGGUAUCAGGAGGUUAUGCAUGGAGUUUACCAUGACUUGCGCUUGACUCUUAGAUUCUUGGCAGUUGCAGAGUCUUAUAUUUAUAUCCAUGCACAUGCAAGAUGACACUUGACAGAUUAGAAUACAAGCUAGCUCCUAUAAAUAAUUCAGCAUGCAUAACACGAGAUAUGCCAAUCAAUGUAUUAAUUUUUAAGUAUUAUUAUUAUUUUUUUUUUUAUAGAUAGACGAAAUGGCAAAGUCAUUAUAAACUCACACACACAAGUGGAGGUACCGAGGUUCGAACCCCGGUCAUGGUAUCCGGCCUAACAAUUUCGACAUUUUAUCAGUUGAGCUAGGAGUUCUAGAUAAUUUUUAAGUAUUAUUAUUAUCAAUAAAUAAAUAACCGGUUGUAUAAUUCAAAUUAUACGUCCAGAGGAUUAUGUACCCCAUAAGAUAAUGCAUCCGAGAGGAUCACCAUAUAGAGGAUGCGAUGGUUCACUAGUUUAGUACAUAGUUGUUAUGAUGUAUAAUUUCAAAUUUAUUAUUUAUUUUUGUUAACAACCCUCUUUGAUUUCUAUUAUGAGAAAAAAAUUAUUUUUAGAUUCAUUGAACAACAAAAAAUUAUUUUCAGAUUCAUUGAACAAUUUAUGUAUCUAGGUUAUUAUAAUAUAGACUAAAUACAUAAGUUAUUCAAUGAAUCUGAGAUGACAACAACUUUUUUAAUGUUUGGAGUUUCCACUCGAUAAUAAUAAUUUAAUAAAUGAUUUUGCAUAUAAAAAGGCUCGAAAAAUAAAUUUACAUAAAAUUUGUUUUAGGAAAAAAAAUUAAAAUUUCUCAUUCUUAAAGUUUGUUUAGGCCUCAGUAUUGGAUGAGACGGAGUCCGAGAUUAACUCAAUCAUAUGGUUUACUUGUUAGUUAAGUAAUCAUAAUUAGUUAGCAUAACUGUCUCAAAAUAUAUGUAUAUGUUAUUGCAUUUGUAGAAUUACAACACUUACCACAUCUUCUUAUUAAUAGAUUUUACACAGUUUUAUUCAUUUUUAUCUCUCUCAUUCUUCGUCUAUUAUCAUCACCUCACAAAAUAGUAGUUAACUCUUCAAUCCAACAUAGUGGUGUCAUAGAGCUUAUACGAUCCAAGAAAGCGAAUCUUUCAUUGUGAGAAAGUUUCAGAGAUCAAGAAGAUAGCUGGAAGCGAAUUUGGGUUGGUCUGGUGAUGUUCGUUUGAAACUUUGAAGUGUGUUUUUUUUAAAGUGUCAUGUUCGAUUCUCUUCAAUGUCAAUACUAAUUAUCUGACCCAUACAUUUGUAAGUAGUUUUAUCAAAUAAAAAGGGGUUCUUGCAUUCCCUGUGUUUGUCUUCAAUAUUUCAGCCUGUGGAGAAGGUAUAAUGCUUGUAGGGUUGGUGACUUUUAGAAAUAUUUGUAUUGUUUGAUUGUGAUUAAGGUUGUUUCCGGAUAUCUAAUGUAUAGGGAAAUGGAAUGUGUUGUCUUUUUGUAAUUUGAAAAUAUACGAUGAAGCUUUUGAAACUAUUACCGGGAUGAGUCACGACCAGGUCGCUCUCUUUAAGACGUUUCGCGGCACUACCUGAAUUGUGCAAGGUAGACUAGCAACCGCGCCGUCUCCAGGAUAAAACAGCCCAGAUUCUUACUGUACGAUUAAAGGCUACACUGCCAGAAAUCGCUCGAGAAUGACACCUCGAUAUGGUACUUAGACCACUCUUCCGAAACCCACAAUAUGGUUCUUAGACCACUCUUCCGAAUCCCACAAUAUGGUUCUUAGACCACUCUUCCGAAGCCCACAAUUUUCCGAAGCCCACAGAAAGAGGAGGAGGAAAAGAACGAUUCGUCAACACAAAUCGCGGGAGAUGAGAAGGGGAGAAAACCAGAGAAGAGUAUUCGAUUCUCAGUUUUGGAGUGAAGAAUACUAUUCCCGAGCUCUCAAUUUAUAAGGAGGAUUUCUACUAGAGUGUGUGAUCUACCCGAUGUGGGACAUAAAAUUUUCAAUUCACACUUUACACUAGUUUCUCCAUCCUUAUGUUUACAUGCCAAAGGCUCCACAAACUCACUAGUAUACUCCAAGUUUUUUCAUUAUACACUAGUGUUCCAACAAUCCCCCACUUGAAUUCAAAAUUGGUUUCGAAAGUUACGUUUUAAACGUUUCUUAAAGAUUGCUAGUAAACAAAGGUGUCGCCAACAACUUGAACCUUUGCAUAGUGAGUAGUAUUCUGAUUAACAAGAGUUGCUUACAGCAUUGAACUCUAUCUCAGACAUAGGACCCACACACAACCUUUUCUUAGGUGUUUUCUAAAAAGUCCGUGCGUUAAUGGCCUUGCACGUCUAUCCCAGUUUUAACGAAUGCUCUAGGAAUUCUGCCUCGAAAUUCCAUAAGAACCGGCCUCAGUUCUACAUACGUAUAGGUGAGUCUAUCAGAAGUACUCCUGUAGCUAUGUACUUCACUCCAUAAGGAGUAUAGAUCUCAUUAAGAGUUUCUAUUAUCUCAACCUUCGGUCACUGCAGGAUCAUGCGUUCUCAUAGCAUGUUCUAUCACUUGUGAUUUGUUAUUACCCAUUGAACCUAGUUCUUGGGAUCUCCAGUCAUUUAGGUCGGGUUUCCAUCACUUAUGAUCAAUAGGCAUUAGUCCCAUCCUACUGGAUGUAUUUGCGACUUUCUCUCUGUUUAGUCCUUUCGUCAAAGGAUCAGCUAAGUUUUCAUUUGUUCGUACGAAAUCUACUCUUACCGUUCCGUUCGAAAGAUAUUCUCUUAUCGUGCUGUGUUUUCGUCUUAUCUGUCGUCUCUUACCAUUGUAAUAACGAUUCUCAAUCUUUGCGAUAGCCGCGGUACUAUCACAAUGAAUUAACACAGCUGGUAACGGUCUCUCCCACAAAGGGAUUUCAGAUAGCAAGCAUCUUAGCCAACUUGCUUCUUCACUAGCAGCAGCUAGUGCUAUCAUCUCAGAUUCCAUUGUGGACUGAGCCAGAAUGGUCUGUUUCUUGGAUUUCCAGGAAACAGCUCCUCCAGCAAUGCUAAAUAUAUAGCCACUGGUCGCUUUGGAAUCAUCUGAUAAGUUGUUCCAAUCUGCGUCACUGUAUCCUUCAAGCACUGCAGGAUAUCUCUGAUAAUGCAGUCCUAGAGUCAUGGUCUUCUUCAAGUAUCUCAUGACUCUUUCGAUAGCUUGCCAAUGCUCCAUGCUUGGCCUGCUCGUAAACUUGCAUAAUAGUCCCACGGCGUAGCUGAUGUCGGGUCUAGUACAAUCAGUGGCAUAUCUGAGACUGCCAAUGAUGCUCGCAUAUUCAGUUUGUCUAACACUAUCUCCAGUGUUCUUAAAUAGCUUCACACUUGGGUCACAAGGUGUGCUCGCAGGUUUACAAUAGAAGUAAUUAUAUUUCCUUAAGAUCUUCUCAACGUAGUGAGAUUGAUUCAAGGAAAUUCCAUUAUCAGUUCUAGUAAUCUUGAUUCCAAGAAUUACAUCUGCCUUUCCUAGGUCUUUCAUAUCAAAGUUGUGGCACAACAAUGAUUUCACAUCUUUAAUGGCAUUCAGGUUUGAACCAAAUAUGAGUAAGUCGUCUACGUAUAGACAUAUGAUCGUGCAAGUGUUAUUUUCGUACUUGGAAUAAAUACACUUGUCGCUUUCAUUCACCUUAAACUCAUUCUCAAUCAUAAGAUUGUCGAAUUUCUCAUGCCAUUGUUUCGGUGCUUGUUUUAGACCAUACAAAGAUUUGUCUAACUUACAAACUUUGUUCUCUUGUCCAUGGAUUACGAAACCUUCAGGUUGGUCCAUGUAGAUUUCUUCUUCUAAUUCACCGUUUAAAAAAGCAGUUUUUACAUCCAUUUGGUGUACUAUCAAAUUGUGGAUAGCCGCCAAUGAGAUUAGUACCCUAAUGGAAGUGAUUCUAGUUACAGGUGAAUAUGUGUCAAAGAAAUCUACAUUUUCUCUUUGUCUAAAACCUUUGGCUACAAGGCGUGCCUUGUAUUUGUCGAUUGACCCAUCAGGUUUUAGUUUCUUUUUCAAAAUCCACUUACAACCUAUAGUCUUACAUCCAGGAGGCAAGUCAGUUAGGUGCCAAGUUUCGUUGGACAUUAGAGAAUCCAUUUCAUCAUUUAUAGCUUCUUGCCAUAAAUCAGCGUCAAUUGAAGACAAAGCUUCCUUGAUGCUUGAUGGAUCCUCCUCUAUUGUAUAUGCCACAUAUUCGGGGCCAUAUUCUUUAGCAAUUCUUGCUCUCUUACCUCUACCAGGUUCUAUAACAUCUCUUUCGAUGUUUUCAUUGCUUGUUAUGAUUUCAGAAGGUUGAUCAAGAACUGAGUUAUCGGUGCCCCCACUAUUACCCCCACUGUCUCCUGACUUAAAGGGAAAUUUAUUUUCAUAGAAGUCAACAUCAUUUGAUUCUAUGAUCGUUUUAGAUUUCAGGUCGUAAAACCUAUAGGCUUUACUAUUUAAGGCAUACCCAAUGAAUGCACAUUCAUAGGCUCUACUUGCUAGUUUGACUCUUUUGGGGUCUGGUUUUCUUACAUAGGCUAGACAGCCCCAUGUUCUAAAAUAAGACAAGUUUGGUUGUCUUUUCUUCAAAAUUUCAUAUGGAGAAAUUUUGUUCUUUGUUUUGGGUACUCUGUUUAGCACAUAGCAAACAGUCAAUAAAAUUUCUCCCCACCAAUGAGGCGCUGCUCCGGAAUUAAGCAUUGUUGCAACUACUAAUUCGGUAAAGGUUCUAUUUUUUCUUUCCGCUUUACCGUUCAUUUCAGGAGAAUAAGGAGCAGUUGUUUCAUGAAUAAUUCCGAGUUCUUUAUAAUACUCAUUGAAUAUAUGUGAUCCAUAUUCAGUACCUCUGUCACUUCUAAAACGCUUGAUUCUAAUAUUGAAUUGAUUUUCAAUUUCUUUAACAUACUGUUUAAAUAUAUCAAGCGCUUCAUUUUUAUUUCUCAUUAAAUACACAUGUGUGUAAUCCGAGCAAUCAUCUAUAAAAGUGAUGAAAUAUCUUUUUCCAUUUCUAGUCAAGUUUCCAUCUAAUUCGCAUAAAUCAGAAUGAAUUAAUUCAAAAGGUUCAGUUAUUCUGGUUACUGAUUUAUGUGAUUCUUUAUUUAUUUUUGCUUGACUACAAAAUUGACAUUUUUCAAAAUCGUUUAAAGAUAUUUUAGGAAUUAAUCCUAAACCGCUCAUAUUUGAAAUAAUUCUUUUGUUAACGUGACAGAGUCUAGAAUGCCAAAUAUUAAAAUCACACAACAUAUAAGCAGAAGAAGAAAUUUUAUUCAUAUCAAUGUUCAACUUAAACAUGCCAUCAGUGGCGUACCCUUUCCCAACAAAAAUACCAUUCUUAGUGAUGGUGUACAAAUCAGCCCCUAUGCUUUGAGUAAACCCAGCCUUAUUUAAAAGAAAACCUGAAACUAAAUUCUUCCUAAUCUUAGGAGUGUGCAGCACAUCCUUCAGUAUCAGAGUCUUUUCAGAGGUGAACUUCAGCUCUAUAUCUCCGAUUCCAACAACAUCAGUGGAGUGGGAGUCUCCCAACAACACCUUCUGAUCAUCACAAGCAGUAUAUGUUUUGAACAUAUCUCUAUCAUAGCAGACAUGGCGAGAAGCACCAGUGUCCACCCACCAGCCAUCAGAACCUGCAAUCAUAUUGAUCUCAGUAAUCAUAGCCACGUAGGGCUCAUCAGGUGCAGCAUCAGUAGCCAUGUGAGCCUGUGCUGGUCGGUUGGUUCUGUUUCUGCACUUGCGUGCCAUAUGAUCUGCUUGCCCACAAUUGUAACAGUUGAAAGGUGGAGCAGCAUCAUUCUUUGGUGGCUGUUGAAUCUGGGGUCUUGAAUUGUUCCCAGUCUUAUUCCUGUUGGAAUUCUUAUUCAUAGGGCGGUUCUGAUUCUUAAAUGGUUUGCCAGCAGGCUUCAGAACAGCACCUACAAAUUUCUUUUUAGUGUUGUUGUUAGAAACAACAAACACCUCUUCAUUCUGUUCCUGCUUUCUCGCUUCUUCUUCAAUACGAAGGCGAGUGAUCAGACUUUCAAGAGAGAACUCCUUAGUUUUGUGUCUAAGAAGACUCUUGAAGUCCUUCCAGGCAGGAGGCAGCUUAUCAAUAAUCACAGCUAUUUGGAAUUGUUCGGGAAGUGCCAUCCCUUCAGCUAUGAUCUCGUGAGCAAUUUGUUGCAGCUCAUGUGAUUGUGCCUCAACGGACUUAUCAUCACUCAUUUUGAAAUCCAGAUAGCGGCUUACGGCGUAUUUCUUAACACCAGCCUCUUCAGUAUCAUACUUCUUCUGAAGUGCUUCCCAUAGUUGUUUAGCAGUAUCACAGAGUCUAUAAUAAUCAUAUAGAGGGUCUGUGAGUCUAUUAAGAAUAUAAUUCUUACAGAGGUAGUCAUUUUCCUUUCAUAGAGCAAUGGCUAGCUGUUUAUCUGGGUCAACUUUCUCAGGUUCAGCUUUCUCAGCAGCAGUAGGGUCUGCCGCCUUACCGUUUAUCUGGGUCAACUUUGUAAUUUGAAAAUAUACGAUGAAGCUUUUGAAACUAUUACCGGGAUGAGUCACGACCAGGUCGCUCUCUUUAAGACGUUUCGCGGCACUACCUGAAUUGUGCAAGGUAGACUAGCAACCGCGCCGUCUCCAGGAUAAAACAGCCCAGAUUCUUACUGUACGAUUAAAGGCUGCACUGCCAGAAAUCGCUCGAGAAUGACACCUCGAUAUGGUACUUAGACCACUCUUCCGAAACCCACAAUAUGGUUCUUAGACCACUCUUCCGAAUCCCACAAUAUGGUUCUUAGACCACUCUUCCGAAGCCCACAAUUUUCCGAAGCCCACAGAAAGAGGAGGAGGAAAAGAACGAUUCGUCAACACAAAUCGCGGGAGAUGAGAAGGGGAGAAAACCAGAGAAGAGUAUUCGAUUCUCAGUUUUGGAGUGAAGAAUACUAUUCCCGAGCUCUCAAUUUAUAAGGAGGAUUUCUACUAGAGUGUGUGAUCUACCCGAUGUGGGACAUAAAAUUUUCAAUUCACACUUUACACUAGUUUCUCCAUCCUUAUGUUUACAUGCCAAAGGCUCCACAAACUCACUAGUAUACUCCAAGUUUUUUCAUUAUACACUAGUGUUCCAACAGAAUGGUUUGUAGUAAAGUAACGUAGAGUGAAAAGUCAAAGCAUAAAAAACUCAUGAACUUCUUGAUUGACUUGCAAAUUUGGUGUCCUCUUUGAUUUUUACAUUGUUAGUUAAAUCUUCAAGCUUAAGAUUCGCUCUUUUUUCUCUUACAUUUUGGUUAGUAAUUUGCAAUAAUUGUUUAUUUGUUAGAAGUAUCAUAAUCAACAUCAACGGAGUCCACUGACUACUCUCAAUCUCUCAGGCAGUUCCCCCUUUGAUUUCCCAGUUCCCACACAUGUAACGAUCCACAAUCUACUAUCAAUUUAUCCAACAAAGAAGCCAGAAGACAAUAGUUCAACGGGUUACAUUCAAAAUUUAUUUUUUUAUUUUUUGAUCCAAACUAGAAAUACGGAUCCUUAGGAUAAGUUGCUAGAAACCUUGAUGUUUUAAAAAAUCCAUGUUUACAAUAUUUACAUUUCUUUUCCUAUGUGACAUGCAUAGAGGCACAGAUGGGAAGAAACACGAAAAUUGUUACAUCAACUACAAUGACAUGUUGGAAGAGCAAUAUGUUAUCCUCUCCUGGUCUACACUUUUGAAUAUUAUAGUUGCAGAUUUUGUUUUUAUACAAGAGCAUCGUAGAACUUGUAUAAAUCUUGAAAAUUAUGCUUAUGCAAUUUUGAAAGUAUUUGAUCAUUAUGGUUUCUAGAUCCAUGAAUGUCAUGUCUCCUAGAUAUAUCAAUGUUGUGUUUACAAGGAUUGGUUUUGCCAUCGAAAGCGGCGCAACUUGUGGCUCACUUGCUUUCUAUUCAUGUGUAAGUAAUAUUUGAUAUAUAAUAUAGGUUUAAAUGUGUCAUAUUGGUCCCUGCACUUUCAUCAGAUUUUGACAUUGGUCCCUGCAAUUUUUUUUAUUGGCAUUGGUCCCUGCACUUUGUAAAAAUAUUGGUAUUGGUCCCUCUGUUAACUUUCUGUUAAAAAAAAAACACAAAACCAACAGAGUGUCACGUGGCCCAAUCAUUUCACGCCACGUGGCACCAAUAUCAAUAUUUUUACAAAUGCAAGGACCAAUACCAAUAUUUUUACAAAGUGCAGGGACCAAUACCAAUAGUUUUGUGUUUUUUUUAACAGAAAGUUAAUAGAGGGACCAAUACCAAUAUUUUUACAAAGUGCAGGGACCAAUUCCAAACAAAAAAAAUGUAGGGACCAAUGCCAAAAUCUGAUGAAAGUGCAAGGACUAAAGGUAUAUUUAAACCUAUAAUAUAUUAUAUUCACUUCGGCAUAUUUCAAUGAAUAAUUUUCACUGUGUUUUCACAAAAAGUGUUUUCUAAAGAUAAUAUGCGAUAGCGCUUAUUUACAAAAGGUCCAUGAAGUACAAAUACGGACACAGACACCAGAUACGACAUCAAAUACAACACAUACGCUUACAUGCCGACACCACUAAUAAUCUGAUAUAAUCACAUAAUUUUAUGUAAUUAUAUAUGUCGAUAUCGAACACGACACAUGUCCGAUACCGAGACACGCCUAAUCCGUGUUUCAUAGCAAAAAAAUGUUGUCUAUAAGGAAGGAUAAAACGACGCUUAUGUUAUGAUGAAAGUGUGUCGAAUGUUUAUCUAUAACAAUGCUUUUCAAAGGAAGAGUUGUUGAAAAGGGGUCCAUAACACUGUUUUUCACUUUAAAAAGUGAUGUCUAAACUGAUAACAGUGUAGGAAUAGCGCUUAAAAAAAAUAUUUAAGGCCAAAAAAAUGUGUUAUCUAAGGUCAUUUUUGGCGUAGUGAGGGAAAUGAAGAUUAGAUUGGUUAAGUGGUUUGGGAGAGAGAUGUGAGGACAGUCAACUUAAACCUUACUGACGCAGGGGAUUGUUUGUGUGGGGGGAGAGUAUUUUUUGACAAAAACAAAACGAUAAUCAUUUAUUCAAAUUAAUAGAAUAUAUCAAAUAUAAUCACAUAUUUAACAUCAUUAAAAAUAUAAAGGAUGAAUCUGCGAACAAACUCGAAACAUCCAAGUUAAUAACAACGAUAAAAUGCCUAUAAAUAAAAUGAUAAAAUAAAAAUAAUUGAAAUACAUGUACAUCCGGUUCUCCACGAUUACAUGACACAUGUAUAUUCAAUCACAUUUCACCACUUAGAUAACUGUUUAGAUGUUUUAUGAACUAAUUUAACAAAGUGGCAUAAUAGUAGGAUAUGAUUGAUUGUGUGUAAAUUUUUUACAGUGUAUACUAUCAUUUAAUUAAUUGUGACAUUUAUGUUUGUAUUAAUAUAAAGUUCAAAAUUUUAUCUCGUAAGUAUAGCUCGUAUGGUAAAAGGUUAUAAGGAUAUUUGAUGUGUUGGGGCGAGUUCGAAUCGCAAUAUCCCUCUCCUCCAUUCUUAAUGUGUGAUUUUCCACUCAAUAAUUUGAAACGAAAAAAAAAAUAAAAACUCAAACUUUAAAAAGUACAUAUCUAUAAACAUCUUCCAUAAGGUCUCUUCUGACGACACUGUUGCAUGGAUACACCUCUUAAGGAUUUAUGCUUCCUCGAUGAAAUUGCAAAUUAAACAAAUGUACAACAACAAAAACCCAUCAUUAGAAUGUGUUCCAACCCAAAGGCAGUUUCCAUUUUUUGUGCCAAUAGAUAGAAACUCUUGGCCACAAUUUGUUAUCAAAACCAUAUUGAAAUGCUUGAUCUUCAUGUCCAUCAACAAUUAAAGGCAACCAAACAUAUCUAGAAUCUCUUAACUCACUUGGAUUCCAUCUAUCCGCCAUGAAGAUAAACAAACCAGGAAACCUAGUUAAUGGAAGCACAAAAGUACUUUGUGCAAGAAAAGUCGAAACUCUAAACAUUUUGUUUCCAGCAACACAUGGAUUUCCAAUUGUUUCCCAUGUCCCUAAGAUUGUCUCAGCUGAAUGAACAAGUGCUUCAUUUGGUGCCCAUCCAGUGCAACCUGAUGUAACCAUGUAAUAUGUUCCCUUGUGUUUGAACAUAGCCGGCGCUUCUCUUCGCUGACCGACGAAAAUUCUUUUCAUAACAGAUGUCACAUUGAGAUAAUCUUCAGUCAAGGGUCCAAUGUGCAUUACAUUGUUUUCUUCAGAUGAGUAUAUUAGAUAUGCAACAUUGUCUUCAUCUUUGAAAAGUGUCAUGUCCCUGCUUUGAUAUCGAUGAGGUCUUUGGCUCCCGAGGUAUUUGAAUGGACCGGUAGGAGUAUCACUGAAUGCUAUGCCAACGGUAGCUUUGGCGUAAUUGGCGUUGUCGAUAUGCAUCCACAUCACAUACUUUCUUGUUUUUUCAUUGUAAAUAACUUUUGGUCUCUCAAGCACAUUGGACUUGUGUAGAUCAUGUGUUUUAUCUGUUUUCUCUGCUGCUAAUGCAAUGCCCUCUUUUUUCCAAGUCCAUAGAUCCUUAGAAGAAUAGCAACCAACUCCUAUAAUGUCCACCUAAUGGGGAGACAUUGUAAGAUAUAUACUAGAGUUUUGGCCAAAACAGUAUUUGCAUUUGAUACAACCUGAAAUGACUCUUACAUUUGCUAAUUUAUGUUCUCAUUUCAAGAACCACAUUAGUCAUAUGAAACAAGUACAAUUUCUCUGCCAAGACAUAGGAAUUGCUCGAUUGGAAUGGAUUAGAAGCAUAACUAAGGCAUCUCAUCAGGAAUAGUAAAAAGAUGAAUUAAACAUGUCUAGAUCAUAGCUAGCUUGGGGCACAGAAGGGUUCAAUGCAGAUAACAAAUAAAAUUGUGCAUCUAUAUUCUAGUGGAUUUUUUCUUAUAUAGAAAACAUAUUAUUGCUUAGUAAAAGAUUCAACAAUGAGAAACUUUGACUUGGAUGAAAAGAACAUUUAAUAUGGGAAAAAGCUAUUAGACUCCUACAGCCAACUGGUAGGAAUGGAUACUUAGCCCUGAUUGAAUAAACAACUUAAUUAAGCACUUGCGCUAUAACCAUUUAUCAUAAGAGCUUAUGUAUAACCUAUUUCUGUAACAAAAGGUAAAAUGUAAGUUAUAAGGAAUUUUCAUAAACUAUCCUGAAGAGCUUAUAAAAAUAAGUAAGAUUAAAAAGCUUAUAGACAUGUCAUGGCUAUUUCCAUGAGUUCUCUCGAGUAGGCUGACUAGUACUUAUGUCAACAGAUAAGUUCAAAUAAGUCAAUUUCGACAAAAACUUACUUAAUACAGUUAAAACAACAAAUCAUUCAUUGUUCAGUUAAUGAAAGUGACUUACCCGAGCAGGUCCUUUGUUAUUAUGAAGGUAAGUAGGGCCAUCUUUAUAUUCACCAUACCAAUAAUAAGUACUUGAAUUUUCAUCAUAUAGAAUGCACCCUCCAUGAGCUUGAAUAGGAUUUCCAUCAGUAUCCAACCAAAUUUUCCCAGGGUAGUAGUAAUUAUAACUAUCAUUCUUUCCUUUCCCUAUAGUCUUCAUUGGAUCAAUUGUUUUAUGAGGAAAGAAAACAUGUCUAAGUGAUGAAUCUUGAUCCAAGAAUUCAUCAACCAAUGGUGUUAUUGAUUUGCUUUGAGGUGACCUCUUUUUGUUUGGUGGGGGGAUUUGGAAGUUCUCCUUUUCAACAUGUUGGAGUUGAUGGAAAUGAGAAGGAAGAGGAGGAGGAUGAAUGAUAUUCAAGGAGGUGUUAUUAUUGGAAUAUAGAUGAAGCAAAAGUAUGCAUCCUAAGAUUAACAAGGUCCAUAAUAUUACAAGUGAUAUAGAACAAUAUCUACUCCAACUACUGCAACGUAAAUUAGUAAUUGGUUUCUUGUAUAGAUUCUUCAUCCUCAUUUUUCUCAAGCUCUACUCUAUAUGUUCAAAAUAAUGAUGAAAAUUGUAAGUAAUGAAUGUAAGCAAAGCUAUAUGUGUAGCGUAUACUUGAUUGAAAAAUGAAAUAAUCAUUAGAAGACACACUCACCUGGAACUAUAUUGGAGAGAAUGAAUGAGUUGGUGGGGUAGUCAACUAUGGUUGCAAUUUGGAUUGCGGAUUGAUCUGCCCUCGGGUUUGAUGACAUUCACUUUGUAAUGAAAUAAAAGUAAUGUCCUUAUGAAGGGACCCUUUCGUCUUUUACUACUAUCGAAUCUGCUGAACUUUCCUUAGACUCACUUAGUUGCACAUUUUUGAGGGCAUGAGCGCAAUAUUCGUGUCCGUGGGUAUUUACUACUUUGAUUGAGUUUUGGUAUAAGUUUGAGCUUUCUCUGAUUUUAAAACACUGAUACAAGAUGCAUAACUGAGAUAUAGAUAUUAAUCAGAAUUCAUACUCAAACAUGUUCCGAAUGAAAAUUGAUAUUUUGGCUAUAUGUUAAGAUGCCAUUUUGUCAAAGGUUGAUAUGCAUGUUAUUUAGUUUGAUAAUUGUCAUGUUGUAAAAUAUGUCUUUGAUAUUUGAAGGAGCAAAUAAAUCAUUUGAUCGAGGUUGAGGAUAUGUAAAAGUGAGCAAAUGCAAUACAACAUUGCCCCCAAAGUUGGAAAAAACUUCUUUUUUUAUAAAAAUAUUAUUGACCGUAGGGACGGAGAUGUGUGGGGAGAUACCUGAAUCCGUCGAGGAUGGAAAUAAGAUUCAAUUUCUUAUACAUGUUCAGUAUGAAUAUGUAAUGAGCAUAUGAGAGUCGGGGACAAAGACGAGAAAAGUAAAACUCAUCUCCACCCCUCCACAUUAUCAUACCUAUAUUAUAGUUGUUUUUAUAAGCUAAUUCAAAUAGUUUAUAACUUAAAGUUUAUAAAUUAUCAUUUUUUUUUAUCUCAAUUCUCCAUUAUACUUCAAUAGUUAAUUUUAUGAAACUUUAUGAAUUAAGUGUAAGACCAUCUACAAUGGGGUCCUUCCCCUAUUUAGCAUCAUGUUAAAUAGACACCUCCAUUAUAAUAUCAAUAAAUAUGGUACUUAUAAAGAUGGAUGUUUGUAUAGGCACCUUCUCUCUCCUAUUACUCAUGGGUCUCAUGUGUACAAUUAAUACUUCAAUAUUUUAUUUUAUUUUGGUCAAGUAUACUUCAAUAUUUUAAAAUUAUAAUUAAAUUACUUCAAUAUUUUUCUAAUUUAUAAUUAUUUUUUAUUUUUAUAAUUAAAUUUUUCCUCUCCUAUUUUAAUGUUUGUUUUUUUAAUAAUUUAUAAGUAAAUUACUUUAAUAUUUUUUUUAAAUUACUUUAAUAUUUUAAAAUUAUAUAAUUAUGAAUGGGUAUAUAAAUUAUUGUUAAAAUUUAAUGAUAUAGAGUUAUCGUUGGGAUCCAAUUAAUAAUUAUUUUGAGGUGCUGAGUUGGAGAGAUUGGAUGCUUAUCAAAUAGUCCAUCCGUUUCAAAAUGAGUGUCGUUUUAGUCCAUUACACACAUAUUAAGGAAUGGAAUAAAGUAGUCAAAUGUCAUAGCAAUUUUACAAAAUUAUCCUAAUUAACUAUUGAUUUGUUUUAUAUUAAAGAAAAAAAUAAUAUUUUUAAAGCAGUGUAACAUAGUAUUAAUUGAAGGGUACAAUUGAAAAAAAAGAAGUUGUUAUUGCAUUGGAAACUGAAAGUAACAUUCAUUUUAAAACAAUUUUUUUUUUUUUGCUAAAAAAACAUUUAUUUCAAAACAGAGGAGAGUAUUAAUUAUAGAACGAAUGUACGGUCGGGAUCCGUUUAAGUACCCAAAUGGGAUGCUGCGUUGUAGAUGGCUUCUAAAUCAUGAUUUGUGAGCUAUAAACUUUGAGUAAUCCUGUAUCUUUUACUAAACAGCUUAUUUUAUUAUCUUGGAACCAACCAUGGCAUAACCGAAUUCCUCUCUUUCGCGGCUCUUUGGCCAUGGAAGCUCUGCACAUGAUACAGGGACACAUACUCCCACUUCGUCCCUUAUCACAAUUCCAACCAGACACCGACAAAAUUCGACGCAGCCUUAUUCAAAAAGGUGUCACUCCUACACCUAAAAUCAUUCACACUCUCCGCAAGAAACAAAUCCAAAAACACAACCGCAAACUCAAUCGACAAAACCAACUAAACCCACCACUCUCUAAAUCUCAAAAACAAACGUUAGAGGAGGAACAACACUUUCAGGAACUCAAACAUGAGUACAAACAAUUUACACAAAAUUUGGAGGAAAAUCAAGGAGGGAAUAAAGGUUUGUGUUUGAUUGGGAAGCCAUGGGAAGGGGUUGAAAAAGUUGAUUUUUUGGAGAGAAUUAAGGUGAAUUAUGAGCACAGAGGAGAGAAACUUAAGAGGGAGAGUUUGAUUGAGUUGAAGGAAAUGUUUCGUGAGAGAAAAAUGGAUGAAUUGAAAUGGGUUUUUGAGGAUGAUAUUGAAAUUAACGAGGUUUGGUUCGAUGAAAAUAACAAUGGGAAAAGGAAAAAGACGAGUAAGCGAAGUGAGGUUCAGGUUGUGAGGUUUCUUGUUGAUAGGUUUGUGUUCUGUUUUUCAUUUGCUGUCAAUUCUUUUGGGAGUUAGUUAGAAUGCAUUGUUGGUGUAAAAUUAUUUUACACAUUCAUCCAAUGACGUAUUGUCAUAUCAUUUAAUGUGGUUGAAAAAACAUGAGUAUCAUAUUCAUUAAUUGACAUGGAAACACAUCAUUGAGUGCAUGUGUAAAAUAAUUUUACAAUGUUAGUUUACGAAAAUUAAACUUGAUUGAUUUUUUUUUUUUGUGCAAGUUAUGGAGGGUUUUUUUGGUUUUUUUGUAGGUUGUGUGAUAAGGAAAUUAGGGCUAAGGAUUGGAAAUUUUCGAGGUUGAUGAAGCUGUCUGGAUUGUCUUUCACGGAGGGUCAGUUGAUGAUGAUUAUUGAAAUGCUUGGUGUUAAACGUUGUUGGAAGCAAGCUCUAUCUGUGGUUCAAUGGGUGUACAAUUCCAAGGAUCACAGAAAGUUUCAAAGCAGGUGAUUUGUUUCUGAAACAUAAAUUAUGUUUAGGGUAUUUUAGAUUUCAGACUGAGGAUUUCGGAUGGGAGGGUUUUGGAGAGCUAUGUUUAUAUUUUGGUAUAUAUUUAAGAUUUAAAAAAAUAUAUAUAUAUGAAGGAUUAACAUGAUCAGAUAAUAUUUCAAAUCAUAAAUUAGUCUACAUGAAUCAUAAUUAUGUUGUAGUGUCUUCUUGGAGGGAGGUAAAUGUAAAUCCCUUUGUGAGUGCUCUUGAGUCAUAAGGUCUUCCCUACGUUGGACUAGGACACCGUCCUCUCACACUAAAUUUUUUCAAUAAAAAAAAUUAUGUCUUAAUGAUUGGCAUUUUUGUUGUUUUUAGAUGCUUAGUGCUUUGCAUAUUUGGCUCUAUCUUAUGAUGAAAUUAAUAAUGAAUUUGUAGGUUUGUUUACACAAAACUUCUUGCAGUUCUUGGGAAGGCAAGAAGGCCGAAGGAAGCCCUUCAAAUUUUCAAUAUGAUGCUUGUAAGAAUCAAGUGCUUAGUUUGUUUUUCCAUGUGUUGGACUUGUCUUUAAUUUUUGUAUGUCGCUGGGUUGAUUUACUUUCAACUUGUUCAGGGAAAUAUUCGUGUAUAUCCUGAUAUGGCUGCAUAUCACAGCAUUGCUGUUACACUUGGUCAAGCUGGUCUUCUGAAAGAAUUGCUGAAUAUCGUGGAAUGCAUGAGGCAGAAACCUGAAACGUUAAAAUAUAUGUAUCGCAAGAACUGGGAUCCAACUCUUGAACCUGAUGUGGUUAUAUAUAAUGCCGUGAGAAAGCAACUAAAUAUCUUUCAUAUAAUAAUAACUUUCUAAUGAAUGCAAUUUUGCAGACUGAUUAAAGUAUUGAUUUUCUUCAAUUACUAUUAGGUACUUAAUGCUUGUGUUCCAUCAAAGCAGUGGAAAGGUGUGUCAUGGGUUUUUCAGCAAAUGAGGAAAAGUAGCCUGAAACCUAACGGAGCAACUUAUGGACUUGCAAUGGAGGUAAUUGCACAAUUACCACAUCUGACGCUGAGUAAUUUAUCUUGAAAAAAUUAGAUUUAUAUAACUUUGUGUCGCUAACAAAAAAUAAAAGGUGGUAGAAUAUAAGCUGUUUUUGGGGAAACUGUCUCGAAAGAUCUAUUUGACUGAUUUGCUAUGGUAAUACUUUCUUCAAAAUGUGAUCAAUGCUAUCUGCUCUCUAUGAUAGCAUUAUAUACUGAAUAGGAUAACCAUGCUUGAAUGGCGGCUAAGAUUUUCAUUUUAUUUACUAAUUGAUGAGCUUAUUUUAAGUUUUAUUCUAUUUGAGUCUUUAUGUAUGAACGGAAAAAUUGAUUCUUGAAGGAAACUAGAAAAGGCUGUUACCUCCAUAUUUUAUUACCUUUAAAGCAUGCUUGUAUUCAAGUCUUACAGGUGAUGCUUGUUAUAAGGUAAUGCUGCAAUCGGGCAACUACGACCUUGUCCAUGAGUUAUUUGAAAAGAUGCAGAGAAAUGGGGAAGUUCCAGAAGCCCUUACAUACAAAGGUGGUGUUUUAAAUCUUUCAUACCAUUUGCAACUGAUAUUUGGCAUCUGAUGGCCUAAUAUAUACUUUAUCUCUUCCUCAGUGAUGGUAAGAACUUUCUGGAAGGAAGGUAAAGUUGAUGAAGCUGUGAAAGCUGUCAGGGACAUGGAAAGAAGAGGCGUUAUGGGAACAGCCAGUGUUUAUUAUGAGCUAGCAUGUUGCCUUUGCAACUGUGGGAGAUGGCAAGAUGCUACUCUGGAGGCACUUUUCUUACUUUUUUAAUUGAAUGCCCAAAUUUGACCUGAAAAAUCUGAUGGCGGACUCGUUACUUCCCUAGAACUUUUAAGGCUAGAAUCUGCCCUUGUUCCCUAAGGAACCAUUGAUGUUGGCUACAUUAAGACAUAGACAAAUGACAUGUUAGACCUUGAGGAGGACUAAAGUGGCCGGCAUUUGUAGUUUCUUGGGGAAGAAUAUAUACAUUGCCAAAUAUUUUAGGGGUGUAUUUAGUGAUUUACUAUUUAUUUUUGCACUAAUGUGGUUAAAUGAGCGUGUAGCUAUGUGUAAGCCCUUAUUAAAAUGUAUAUUUUUCCUUGAAAUAUGGUGGCAGGUUGAGAAGAUAAAAAGACUUCCUCAUGCUAAACCUUUGGAGGUUACUUUCACCGGCAUGAUUAGGUCAUCCAUGGAUGGUGGGCACAUUGAUGAUUGCAUAUGUAUAUUUGAAUAUAUGCAAGAUCACUGUGCUCCUAAUGUAGGGACCGUAAAUACCAUGCUGAAAGUUUACAGCCAGAAUGACAUGUUUUCUACGGCUAAAGUUUUAUUCGAGGAAGUUAAGGUUGCAAAGUCAGAUUUACGACCAGAUGCAUACACAUAUAACUUGAUGUUGGAAGCGUCUUCCCGUGGACACCAGUGGGAAUACUUUGAGCAUGUGUACAAAGAGAUGAUUCUUUCGGGUUAUCAUUUGGAUCAAAAUAAACACUUGCCAUUACUUGUUAAAGCUUCAAGGGCUGGCAAGGUAGAUAAUAUACUUGUUAUUUAUAUAAGGUCUCAGUGUUUAUUUUAUAUUUCUGCUCAUAGUAUUAUAUCCUAUAAAAAUUGUUACAUCCAAACUAUGCUUACACGCGUGCAUACAUUUCAUCUGUCAACACACUAGUGAUGAAAAAAGACAAUCUAUUAUUUGGUGAUAGUGCAAUUUUGAUCAUUAUUUUGUACUGUUUCCAAGUGUAUGUAUAAAGCUCGUAUGCUUAGUCCAGCACAAACGCAAAUUUAUUUAGACUUGUGCUUGUGAUCUUGAUAGAAACCUUUGCAUUAGUUCUUGCCUUAUCUUUUAGAUUUCUCAAUUGUUGGAUGAUUUUCAGAAUCAGUUUAAUCCAACUGUGUUUUCUUACUUGUUAGUUGUUACUGGUGGCCACGGUACCACAAAAACACCCUUUACUUUUUAACUUAAUACAUCUAUUUUCUAAAUAUUGAAUUUGACGGCAUGUUAUGGUUUCAAUGCAGUUGCAUUUACUGGAGCAUGCAUUUGACAUGGUUCUUGAAGCUGGAGAAAUCCCUCACCAUCUUUUCUUUUUUGAAUUGGUGAUUCAAGCUAUAGCUCAACAUAAUUACGAACGAGCCAUCAUCUUACUCAGCACCAUGGCUCAUGCGCCAUACCGAGUAACAGAAAAGCAAUGGACAGAGCUGUUUAAAGAAAACGAAGACAGAAUCAAUCAUGAAAAUCUGAAGCGGUUGUUGGAUGAUCUUGGUAACUGUAAUGUUGUAUCAGAAGCAACCAUCUCGAAUUUAUCAAGGUCAUUGCAUGAUCUAUGUGGAUUAGGUUCAUCGAGAAACAUCUCAAGUAUCAUCCCUUUUAGAAGUGAAAAUGUUGAUUGUCUGAAUGAGACAAUUAAUGGUGGUGAAAAUGGAAAAGCGCCAAAUUUUUCAGGGAGAAUGAUGAUUGAAGGUGCUGAAUCUGGGAAUGAUAUUCUUUUUGGUGGUGAUCAAGCUGAACCUGAUAUGUUCACAUUUAACGAUGAUCAAGUCGACAGAGUAAACAAUAAUGAUGUGGUGGUUUGCAGGCCACAAAACCGUGUUAUUGAAGAUAAAUCAAGUUUUUGUGUUGAUAGACCGGAAUUUCUUGAUCGUUUGACACUUGACAAGUCUUCAGAUGAUUCAGAGGAUGAGCUAUCAGAUGAUGAAAGUUAUGAAGACGAUGAUGAUGGUGAUAAAGAAGUGAUUGAUAAGCCUUCAGCAUAUCAAAUAUUGGAAGCGUGGAAGGAAAUGAGAGAGGAGGAUAAGAGUUUGUUACACUCUGAAAUUGAUUGUGGCUAGUCAUUGCAAGUUGUUUUAGUUUGAAAUAUGCUAGCUGAACAAGGAAAUUACAUGGACGAGCUUAUUUUGAUAUCUGCAAUAAUGUUGUAUUGUAAGUGAUUGGAUAAGGAGGACUCAACUAAAACGUGUAAAGUUCAAAAUGAUUUCUUUUACUCAAGGUCAAAAUGUUAAAAAGCAUAUUAUUUUAGUAAUUUUUCUCUGCAUCUCAUAAUUUUUUGCCCGGAAGAUAUUCAAGUAUAAUCCAUGUAAUCCAAACAAAACAUAUUUUUUUCUGCUUGGAUGUGUUUCCAAACAAAACAUGGAUUUUUCAUUAUUAGGAUUUUAUUUGCAAAAUCAUGUGUGCCUUCACAGAUAUGUGGGGUGAUUAAUGUUAGCUAGAGCGCUGUGUAUAUUUACAACACAGGCAAAAUCAAACAAAGUUUACAUAACAAUACUCAAAUCCUCUUCCCUGAACAACGAUUCUUCCUCUAUUGUAAUCAUAUACACAACUGUUAAAAAAAUUACUAUUGGUCUAAAGGUUUUCCUAAAUUGCAUCAAUAUCUAACUUGUUCAUAAAGUACUGACCAUUUUAUAAAAUUGUACCAAGCAAAUGCCUCUAAACUUUAUCUGUGCACAUACAUCUCGGCAAAAGACAAAAUGAGCUUUGGUAUGUGUGUAAUUGUAAACAUAACCUUGACAAAUCUCAAAAGCAAGUCAAUAUAUUGUGUAGCAAGAGUUAUGUAACAAUAUCUUAGAACAAGCAAUGUAAACAUGGCCGCAUGUGCCAAUCGAAAUUGCAAUUGAAGGACUAAUGAAAAAUUGCUAUCUCUCAUUAGAACGAUUAAUAGCGUUCCAUUGCAUCGGUCUUCCUUGGUACUUUGUAGUGUUCCCUCGUUGUCUUCUUUUAAAAUAAUAAAAAGGAAAAGGUAAAAUAAAAGCUAUCGCUAACUCCUGAUAAAAUGUUUCAUGAAUCGUUCCGCAUAUUCCAGAUUUACAAGUCGAAAGUUAUGUACAUCUACAAAAAGAAUUGGCAGUAGGCGCAGCAGCAGAACCAUUAUCUCAAGCCAGCUUGGCCAAUGAUCAACAAGCGAAAAUCCACGACAUCUGCACAAUUCACAAACACUGAAUAAUCUUAAUCAAAAGAACUAAUAGAAACUACUACUACAUAGCAUCAAAAAAUAAAUAAAAAAUAAAAAAACAGCACUAAUUAAUAAAACUAAACUAAUCACUUGCAGAAAAAUCAGUGGCCACCUACAGAUCAAAAUCUAAUCCAGUAACGGGAACAAAAGCAAAAUAUAUAAGCAUGUCAAGAUUCUAAUAAAGCGACUGACUGAGGAAGCUACCAAAUAUGAAGCAUUUUGCAUUUGAGUGCCUUCAUCGCAGCUUUUGCAAAGACUUGAGCGGCCUCAGCUUCAGCUUCUGCAAUCUCCGCCUCCCUAGCUGCUGCUUCGGCCUGUGCAAUGGCAACUUCUGCCUCUGCAACUGCUUUUGCAGCUGCAGCAGCCGCCUCUUGAGCUGACAUCCCCCUCACUUUUGAUAGCUCUGCCUCAAUUUGGGAUUUUGAAAGGAUGUUGACAUCACACAUCUUCUCCACCUCCGGAGAAUCUUUGGACCUCGCUUCCACAAGCAUCAGAGAAGAGCUUCCUCUUUUCUCAGAGACUGCUGAACUUGGCAUAAUUUUGUACUUAUGCUUUUCCUGUCAACGUAUAUGUCAUUGCCAUGAUAAACUUAUCACAUACCGAAUUUUGUUUAUUAGUUGGGACAAUCUAUUAAUUCAAAUAAAACUUAUUUCUCUUGCUAAAGAAAAUGCUGAUAUCACGUUACUACUGCAAAAGGAAACACGUAUCUUAAUUUUUUUGACGAAAAACGCGUCUAAACAUGUUGUUAUAACCAAUUUAUUUAUCAUUGUCAACCAUUUUCUGUUGAUUACUUCCAGCAAGAUCAAAUGAUUUAUUAUAGUAAUUCUGUCAUAGAUGAAACACUUUAGUCUUUAAGGCCUUCAAAUAUUAUCCAGAUCAUUGACCAUGUCUAUUACAAAGGUUUACACAUAGAGCUUAAUGUAACAAUGACAAUCACAACAGCAAACAAGUUUUAUUCCACUAAGUGGGGUCGGCUACAUGGAUCAAACGACGCCGUAAUGUUCUAUCAUAUAUCAUAUCCCUAUCCAACUCAUUGAUCUCUAGAUCUUUCUUAACAGUUUUUCUUAUAGUUUUUCUAAGUCUUUAUUUGCCUCUAGUGAUUUGACUACCCUUCAUCUGAUCUACUACUAUAGAAUAUACAAGUCUUCUCUCGGCAUGCCCAAACCACAUAAGCCAAGUUUCUACCAUCUUUUUUACGAUAGGUGCUACCCCAAUUCUCUCUCUCUCUCUCUAAUGUUGUAUUUCUAAUUUACCACACAUCCAACUGAUUAUAAAAUUACCUGAACUAUUUUGCCACUUGUCACCAUCUGCUGCAAUUUUGCUGACAAUAACUUUCUAAGAUUUGGUGGACACUGAUAUUUUUCCUAUAGAGAUGAAAUGAAAAGUUUCAGAAUUACUUUCAAUGCAACGACGGGGUUAAGUAUGUAAACAAGCAUUGUAUUGCUAAUAGUGGCUGAAUUGACUAUACACUAAUGCUCCAAGCCUAAAUCACAGGUAACUUUUAAAGAUAAGAUAUGCAGCAAAUGCAUGGUAUGAUGCUAUGACUGAUUGCAUUAUGCUUUUUUCGGUGUACCAUUGUAAAGAGGGGGAAAUAACAGGUUGUUAAUUGCCAAGUGAGACUGCACAUAAAAGCUUAAACACACACACACAACGCGAUAUAGAAAUACCUCUAUGUAAGAAGCAAUGGCAGCCUUGUCAGAACCCUUUGGCUCCUUCAUAUUGACAAUAGCCUCUAAUACAUUAUUAUCUCCCAACCUGCCAUCAUUAAGACAUAAAGUGACAUAUGUCAAGAUUAAGAUGCAGCUUAGCAUGUAUUAAAUUGUGGUAUUUUCUUAUCACAAGCAUACAAGGAGUGCACGUAGACAGAGAAUCUCCAGAUAUAAUUAAAAAUAAGUAAAUAAAUAAAAGUAUGAGUCAUAUAACUUCAUUCAAACGCAAUGAACCAUUGCACAGUUAACAAGGUCUAUGAUCUUUCUAUUCUUUCUUUUUUUUUUCCUUCCCUUACUCUUUAUAGGUAACAAUUAAUAAACCUUUUGUCCCCUUAUAUCUUCAACAUGCUUACAGCAAAACUGCUAUGAGGUACUACAAAAAAUGAAGAAUCGCCAGAUACCUCACAAAGGUACUAUAAAAUGAAGGAUCACAAGAUAACUCACAUAGAAAAUAACAAAAAAUUCAGAUUCAAAUUAGGCUAUUUAUCGAUUCAUUUGUGAAAAUUUGGUAAACUAGCACACAAAUUUAUGCAAUACUAGACCUUAUUACUCAUAAGGGGUGUAACAUUUACACUCUGCAAUCUUUAGAUGUUAUUCAAGAUCAAAAUCACAAACCAAGCACCACAAUCAUGGAGAUAAUUUCUUUUUACUAGAUAAUAAUGGCAGAUGUAUUUAACUGAAAGUUCUUGAACCUUGAUACUUGUUCUUUUGAAUUAGGAGAUUGCAAUGUUCCACUACAAAUUGUUAGGGGCUUAGGAGAUUGAAAUGUUCCACCAGAAAUUGUCAGGGGCUUAAUAUCGAGAAAGUCUUCACGUUGAACUACUUUACCCAAGGCCAAUUGGUUAUUGUCAGUUUUGGGGGCUGGGGGACUGUUUUUAAGGGCAAGUUUUGCCUUCUGCCGGGAUCCCCAUAUUGCUGUGACAUUUAUAUUCCUCCAUUUAUCCUGUUCACAAUUCAAAGCAUACAAAUUAGUUCACCAAAAGUAUGCAAUAGCUUUAUCAAUUUGAUCAAAGAAAAAUUAUCUAUCUUUAUGUAUUUCUACUAGGCUGUGUUGAAAAGACUUACCUUGAGAUCUACAUUCGAACGCGUACGCAAAAUGGAACUGAACUCGGGAUCCAUAAGUAUUGUGCGCCAUUUUCCAGCCCCGUGUUUGACUACUCCAGCUUUCAGUGCUGCUUCUUCUUCUGCAGUCCAUUUCUGCUUAGGAGCACCCAUGGAAGGAAAUCCGACAGUUUUUUUGUGACAGUUUAAUCUUUGCUUCUAGGGUUGAGGAAAGCUUGGAAUUUCAGUACUCCCCUUCUCUAUAUGUGCAUCUUUGCAUUAAAAAAAAACUUUACAAUUAGUAGUUGACCAACAAUAAACAUCAAAAUGAAAAGAAAAGAAAAAGUCAAAAUGUGACUCUUCUAUGUUUAUAAUAACCAAUAAAUAUAAUUAAGUAAAUAUUACUCAUCCCAAACAUUGACCUUAGUUCCAAAUUCACUUCAAUCACAUCCACCAACAACCCAACCCAAUGUUAACCGAUAUAGCACCAACACGUCAGAUUGAAGGUGUAUCUGGUGUCUAACAUGUGCAAUACGAACACAUGUUGUUACUUUCAAUUACUUCUAUUUCUCAGAGUAUAGGUGUCGCCGCGUCGGUGUUGUGUUGGUGCUUCAUAAAUGUAAAAACAAGAGAAGAGAAGAUGUUAGGAACCCAAGAAUUGGAUUCCUAAGAAAGAACACUUUUAUUAAGAAAAAAUAGGAAAGAAUAGGGAGAUAAAUCUCUCCUUCAAGGGAUUCCCCUUCACAAUAGAGUUACUACUCGAUUCACACUGUUUACAAUAUUCAAUAAUGAUCAACUCUACAUUGUUUCUCCUAUUUAUACAAAUAGUCCUAUAACAACCUCAACUAACCAACUAACUACUCCCUCCUUCCUAAAUUAAGUGACCCAUUUGGUCAUUUCACACAUAUUAAGAAAAAUGUAUACUAAGUGAAUGAGAGAGAAAAAUGGUUUUGAAUGUUUUUGUCAAGUAUUGGUGCAUUUACCAUUAUCAUAGAUGCAAAAAAGAAUAUAUUAAAUUGGGAGUGAUGACAGUAGUAUUAAUUAGAGUUAUAAUUGAAAAAAAAGUAAUUAAUAUUGCAUUGAGAACUGAAAUGGGUCAGUUAUUUUAGGACAAUAUUUUUUUUACAAAAGAGUCACUUAUUACUGGACAAAGGGAGUAACAACCCUAUAACAAUCCCAGCUAACUAACUUCUAUAAGACUAUAACAACUUUUAACCAUCAAUCUAAAUAAUCACCAUUCUAUAUCUAUAUCCUAUGUUUGAGAGUUGGUUUUUGGUUUUGGAGGUUUUUAGAGGGCAGGGGUUUGGAGGGCUACGUCUAUAUCAAAUAUGUAUGAAAAUAUAGACAUAGCCCUCCCCCUUCAAAACCCUCCAAAAACCAACUCGCAAACACACCCUUACAUAACAACUCCACAGAUUCAAGCAACCAAUAAUUUGUAAUAUUUGGCUGGCAAAGAGUAACCUAAGUUAUAACAUUGUAAUAUGCAUAUAGAACAUUUUUACAAUCAGUAUUGAAAAAUGCAAUUAGCCCUUUAUGAAAAUAAAGGUAGAAAUUUGAACACAACCUGGAAAAACCUACAAUUAUGCAUUGCAUCAAAAUGCAAACGUUAGGGAUUUUAAUUUCUCAUUUUUAAAUUUCAUAAAUCAAUCAAACAAAAAUUGCAUUGAAAAAUGAAAAGCUUUUCCCUUUAAGCUCACCCAUUAAGAAAAAAACAACAUUGAGUUAGAAAAUCAGAAACACAUUCAAAACAACAAAACCAGCCACAUGCAUUCAAGUGGGGAAGAGAAAGAACAGAUUAUACUUCUAACCAACAAAAAAAAAAGGCAAAAAUUGAAACUUUCUUUGAGGGAAAACGAAAGGGUCAAAAAAUUAUAGAAGAAUCGGUUAGGUGUGUACCUAAUCACUGGGCGAUGAAGAGAAUUGCGAAAAGUUGAAGCAUUUGAGGAACAGAAAUCGAAAAAUCCGAAUGAAUUUGCAAAACGGCAGAGAAAGAGAAAGAAUGUGUUCUAUUCAACCCAAUUGUGUGUCUUCAUUUUGUUUUAUCAACUUAACCUCUGAAAAUAUUCUAUACCCUUGUCAUUUAUUCCGAAUAUAAUUUAUCCAAAUUGCAAGAAUGCCCUCUAAUAUCUCUUAUUUGGUCAAAUAAUUUAUCGGAUAGGAUUCACUUUUUAAAAUGAAUAAACGUGUGUUCGGAUUUUAAACACCGACACUUACAUAUAAUAAUGAUUUGUCUUUAUCAACUGAUAUAUUUCAUAGAUAUAGAUCUCUUGUUAGUUACUCGUAUAAAAUUACAACUUAGUAAAUUGAUGAUAAAUUGAUAAAUAAGCAGGAAAAAAAAUUGAUUGCAAACGAUGAAACAUACACACACAUAACAUAGUCUACUAUCAGAGAAGAAAGACAAAGGAACAAGUGCUAGAGAGCUACAAAAAUGUAACGAUGAAACUGUGAUAAGAGUAACAAGUAGCAACACAUGAUGAAUAUUGAGAAGCUUACCUCUAUCCACUUUCUUUUUUUUUUUCAGUGAUUCAGGUAGCAAAAAAAUUCGUCUCCAUUAUUCUGAUUUUGUCUCAUAUAUUUAUACCCAAAAAUUAGUAUAAAGUAGCUAGGAGGAAGAGGACAAAAAUGCAAAGUUGGUGAUUUUCAGAAAAUGUAGAGCAAUGAGCAAAGGUACAACGGCUCAAAAAGGGAAAAGAAAAGAGCAAUUGAAAAAAGAUAAAUUGGGAGGAGCCCUCAAGAGUCAAGAGGAAGGAUACGAUGCAUAUACUUUGCCAUAGUUUUUUAUCUUUGUUUUUUCUUUCUCAACUAGUGAGACAGUUUUUCUGUAUUUUGUUUUCAUUUUAUAUCUUUCCUAUUUUUGUCAUUUUUAUUUUUAUAUUAUAACUCUGUUUUAUCAUGAGAUUAUUAUUAAUACAAGAAACAGAGUAUUUUGAAUUUUAAUUUGUGACCUUGAGCUUGUAAUCCAAAAUCUUGUAUUUUUAUUGUACUUAAGUUGAAUCAAAACAAGAGACUUGUAUAAUAAAAUUAAUCCAAUGAAUGUUAUUUAUUUUAUGACUGAAAUCUAAUGAGUGUUAUUAUUUAUCAAUUUUUAUAAGAGAACAAAAUAGAUUAAUAUAAAAAAAUGAACAAAGUUAGGGUAUUACAAACUUGAAAUAAACUAAAAAUAACAGCAAAACAAAAGCAAAGAAACACAACGAUAAAAACACUAGCAAAUACAUUAGAUCUUAAACUGGUUGGCGAUGAAGUGACCAAAAUACAAAGAUAUCAUAGUGACUUUCGAUGGGGGCGUUAGACGACCAAUUUUGCAAGUGAGGUCGCAAUCAGUGGGGAAAGAUUUAGAGGCCGUGAUGCCUAAGGCAUGUUUACAUAGGCAUAAGUGAAUUCUUUUGUUGGUACGAGAACCUUUAAGACCAAGGAAAAACUUGAGAUUACCUACGUCUUUGAUGCAAAAGGAUGAAUAGAAAAGACUUUUAAUAACAUUGAUUUAUGUGGAGUUCAUUGUGAGAACAAUGUCGUCUACGUAAACUAGCAGAAUAGUGAAGGAAUGAGAAGAUGAUUUGAUUAACAAGGAGUGAUCAUAUUCUGAAUGAUGGUAUCCAAUAAUGAUAAUUGCAGAAGACAAUUUAAUAAACCAUUGCCUACUUGCUUGACAUAGACCAAAAGGGGGUUUGUUGAGACAACAUGCUUGAUUAGAAGAGGUAGGCAUGAGACCUGAUGCCAACUCCAUCCAAUUGUUGAAGAAUCCUUCCUUUAGCAACUACAAUGGAAAGUAAAAGACAUACAAUAGUUAUUUUAGCAACAAGUGAGAAGGUAUCAAGAGAGUUUACCCCUUCUUGUCGAGUGUAGUCUUUGACCAUAAGGAAUGUUUUAAAGCGUUCUAUAGUGCCAUUAACUUUAUGUUUGAUACGAUACUCCCAUUUGCAACCAAUCACAACUUUAUCUUUAGAUAAGGCGGUUAGUGACCAAGCAUUUUUAGUUGUAAUGGCUCGAAGUUUGUUGGUCAUGGCAUUAAUCCCUUUUUGUAAUUUGAUAGCCUACUUAUAGGUUUGCGUUCAAUAGCAUUGGAAAUGGAAAAUGUGUAAUGAAGAUUAGAUAGAAAUAAUUUAUGAUAAGAUAGUACAAAGUGUAAAAGAUACAUCAAAUUGGGUGUAUAAGAGGAUAGUUGAGUUUCACGAUGACAAUGAAAAUCUUAGAGACAGUUAAGAGCCUUUAUAGUUUUAGUGGAUCGUCUGAGUUUGGUUGUGUCAAAAGUUAGUUUUUGGUAAGGAUUGAGAAUAUUUUACGAUGAAAGGUCACAAGUUAUGGUAGGUCUGAAGUUCAAGGAUUAGAGAUGGGUUUAGUGUAAUUUGUUUUGGUGCAUUAUGCAGAAUCAACAAGGUCAUUGAACAGAAAAAUUGAAUAAUCUUGGAUUUGUACAAUCAAUACUAAGAAAAAUAAUCAAUAAUUUCAACAUAAGCAAAAGUAGAUUCAUGAAAAAAUAGCAUUUCUUGUAAUGAAAACUUAUCUAGUAGAUAGAUCAAAGACAAGAUAACCUUUUGUACCAAAUUUGAAUCUCAAGAAGAUCCAUUUUAUUGCUCGUGGAUCAAUUUUAGUACAAUGUUGUUCCAAGGUAGAAACAGAAAAGUCAGAGGUUUAUCAUACACCAUUUCAAAAGGAGUCUGAUUUUGCAAAAUAGGAAUGGGUAAUAUAUUGAUUAGAUAAACAACAUGAGUCAUUGCAUAAAGAUCAUAAAGCAAUUCGAAAGGAGUUUUAUGUUAUCAUAGUCGUUGUCUUUCGCGGAUGAACUACUCCGUUGUUUUUUUUAUUUUUCUUGAUUAAGACCAUUUUCUUCUUGUGGGCCUUCAUAUUAUACAUGGUGUUAUCUAGUGUUUGUUCUUUAUGACAAUGUCAUCGAGGCGGUGACGCGUCAUGGUUUUUGGGACCUUCUACUUCGUGUCUUCUUGGAGAUGGAAAACACCGAUAAAGGAAACUUUUGUAUCAGUUGACUUGCCUAUUGAAUGGUGAAUUUCUAGUUUAUGGAUCCACCAUGUUAGACAUUAGAGUCACCAUGUUAGACAUUUUGUAACCGGCAUAAUAAUGGGAUCCUAAUGCAUUGGUAAAUCUUACUGAGGGCUCCACAGUGGGCGUCAAUGUUCACGCGUGAACACACAAAAUGGAUCAUCAAAGUCGAUGAUGUAAUCUUCACAUCUCUAGUCAUACGCUCCUUCUUCAGGCGAGGAAGGUGUACUUGCAAAGACACCAUGAUGCCAAAGUAAGAUAAGACAUACCUUGACACGAAUAUGAAAACGGAUAACAAGUCAUCAUACUUAGGGGUGAACCCCUUAUUUAUAUAUUAUAUGCACUCAUAUACACUUAAUCUUGUUACUAUUUUCACUCUAGUGAUUGUUGAGGUCGUUACUAGAUAUGUGUUGUUUGUCACCGUAAAAAAUUAUCAAGAUAGCCACUUACACAUAUUUAUUUGAUAUACGCUCCUUGGUGUUAGAAGCAUGUCAGUGCUUAUAAACUCCUUAUAUGUUGGUGUGUUAGUUUUUUGGGAUGACAUUGGGGUUGUUUUCAGUUUCUACACUAUGUCAUUUUGUUAUGCUAAAAUGGACACAUCAUAAAUUCUCUUCAUUCAUACUUCACAAUCGGGUGUAUUUUCUCUUUUUAAAGUCGAUUUCCUUAGUGGAUAAUCCAUAAUGUUUUAGUUUGUCUUCUAAGGCCCGUAUCAUUACAAGUUAUAUAUGACAUAUUACACUUGUUGUGCAUUCCAAUGAUUUUAAGGCCAGCAAAGACCGACCUAGAACUUUAGAAAAAGAUGAAUAAUUAAUUGAUCAUGAAAUAUCAUAUUUUAGUUAAAUUUAGAAUCACUAACAUAUUUGUUAGUUAUAUACUUUUUUAUGUUAUUUAUUAUCAACCUAUUAACAAUACACAAUCCUUCAUUCAUACAAAGACGUUCUUUUAAUAUGCUCCCUUCAGACUCUAUUAUAAACAAAAAAUGAUUUUUUAGAUUUUUUGAAUAACUAAUAUAUUCGGUUUGUAAUAUAAAUCAAAUAUAUUAGUUAUACAAGGAAUUUAAAAAGUGAAAUGUUGAUCGGAGAGAGUUAUAUUAUGGUUAUAGUAAUUUUAAUAUAUUAUAAUAAUGUUUAAUAUAUAUUAUUGCUACCAUUUAAAAUUUUAAAAAGCACUCUUAAGAAAGGGAAAAUUUGUAAAAUGUAAAAGUAAAAGGGCCAAGCUAAAAAUUUAUCGGAACAAAAGCGAACGAGAAAGGCUCGGGAGGUUCAUUUUGUCUUUGGCACCAUCCUCCGCAGAAUCAAAAUUCCCAUCAAACGAUGACGAACAUCCUGCUACGCACGGCGAGUCGCGGUGGUUCCCUACGCGCCACCCUCAUCCGCCGGUUCUCCACUGAUGCAUUGGUUGAGUCCAAACCCGGCGAGAUCGGUUUGGUUUCUGGAAUCCCACAAGAACACCUUCGUAGAAGGGUAUUAUGCUUUAAAUUUUUCGUUUUUUUUUUUUCUUCCGGUUUUUCAUUCCCCAAUUUUAUUAUAUUUGUUUCAUUAUUAUGGUAGAAUAAAAGUUUUUAUUUUUUAUAUGUAGUAUAAUUGUUUUAGAUUCAAUUGAAGUUUUGUUUUGUUGAAAUUUUGCAAAAUAAUUGAUGCAUCAUUAGAUCCUAUGUAAUGGACUUAGCUUAACCGGCAAUGCCGAUAUUGUCAGGCUGGACACCUUCACCCGGGUUCCAAGCCGGGACUUUGCAGUUGUCUGCGUGAGUUUUAGGUGGUGUUUAUCACUUCAUUUAAAGACAAAAAAAUAAUUGACCUGUUAAACACCUGUUAACAAUUGAAAUUCAAUUAGGCGUUUAGCUUAUACUUGCAAUGUGAUGGCAGGUUUUGAUUUACUCACCUGCUAGAACUGCUGGUCAACAAGGAUCUGGGAAUGUUGGAAGAUGGAGGAUCAACUUCUUAUCAACCCAGAAGUAAAUUCUCUCUGUUUAUCAUUUUUCUUUCACUGCUUGUUUAGAUAUUGUUUUACUAGUUUUAGAACUCGAAUUAUUUAUUAUUUUUCCCUAACAAGUUUGAUGUUUCUGCGCUGGAUAUCUGUUGUCUGGAUUAGGAUUCUCUCAUGUAGGAAAAACACUAGGAAAUAAUGUGGAAUAUCUAUAUCAUUGAAAUAUAAUGGGUGAAGAGUUUUGAAAUUUAUAAUAAUGAAGAGUUGAGAUUUGAAACUUAAGAAAAUUUGAGAGAAAAAAAAUGGAGAGGAUGCAUUUCCCUGUUGUCCAUAUAUCUCGAUUUUUGACAAAUUUCUUAUCGAAAUUCAUUCAUAAAAGCGGAACUUAUGCUAUCAUUGACAUUACAUUUCCUGCACAUGUGGAAAUUUUCAGAGUUUUAAUCACUAUGUUAUUUUACAUAUGUUAUGAUUCUUCCUGGGCAUCUCUAAGUAGUUUAAGGAGUUGCUAGUUGUUUCAGUAUAAUAUCCUGAAUUUAUACUUUAAUUCUUUAACUGAUCUUAUUGUUAAAUUUGUAAUACCUAAUAAUAGUUUAAUUUGUACUGUGAACUAAUAUGUCUAUAGGUGGGAAAAUCCACUGAUGGGGUGGACAUCCACCGGAGACCCAUAUUCCCAUGUUGGUGAUUCUGCGUUGGAUUUUGAUACUGAAGAAGCGGCAAAGGAAUUUGCAGAGAGACAUGGUUGGGAAUACGUGGUAUGUUUUUGCCAUUCAAACAUAGGUCACAUAAAAUUUUAUGUUUUUCUAAGCCUUCAAAGUGCUCCAGUUAUGAUUCAUAAUUUCAUACUUGUGCUUAUUAAAGUAAACCAUUAUCAGAUGGAUUGGUUCACCUUCUCUUGCUCAUGUCUCGCCUAGGAUAUUAACUUAAAAUCACAAUCUAUAGAAUGAGGGUUUCAAUAUUGUCCGAGCAGUCUAACUUACAAGAAUCAGCAUAUCUUGCUUCUCAACUGAUAUGAAGAGUUUAUCAUUGAACUGUGGCUACUGUGUUUGUUAGUCAUUUAAUUUCGUUUAAAAUUUCAAGUAUUAGGCUGCUAAAUAAAAAAGUUCAAUUUAUAAGUCUAUUAUUUUCUGCAUGAGAUGAAGCCAGAUGCGCAAGCCUGCAUCUGUAACAGAUAUGGCCAGAUUGCAUCUGGAAUAGAAACAGAUGAGGGAUAGACUUGACCUGAGAUGGGUUUAAACUACUUCCAGGACUAGGACUGGUAAGCUCAAGCUGCAUCUAGAACAUAAGUUGGGAGUUGGUUUGCAUUCAAAUAACGACAAGGUAGAGCAUGUCUUGGACAAAGACUGAGCUCAUUCUGCAUCUAGGACUAGGAUGAGACUACAGCACUUAUGAAACAAAAGCCGAGGUUAGAGAGUGCCUGGGACGAGGAUUUAAGCUUGAGACCUUAUAACUUUCUCAUGUCAAUGCUAUGCUAGUAAUAGAAAAGACAGAAAUGCUAAAUACAAACGCGCAGACACUCACUUUUUAGCACACGCCUGUAUACACUGCGACGACCUUAUAACUUGUUAACUGGCUUAACCAGUUGGUGUAUUUUUAAUUUUUGUAUGACUUUGUUCCUGGAAAAAAGAGGCCAACGGUUGCUCGGGGUCUUUAGUCAUCCAUGUGUGACUGCAGGUCCUUGGACUCUAGAUCCCCACCUUUCUAGGUUCAACUUCUUUCCCAUUCUAUUCCAAAAAUAAAAUAAAAAAUCAACUGGGUUAUUGCUUCAGCAGAGCUACAACCCAUAACCAUAACUCCUUUAAAAACUACCAACCCCACCUAAGAUCCUCACUACCCAAAUCAAAUCCAAUCCAUGAAGAAGCCCCACCAUCACCAGGAGAGGAAUCCACGAAAGAAACACCCAUCUAAGAAAUUCGAAACAAUGAUUCCCAUUGUGGAAGUAGCAGAGGUUGUUUCUUCAGCAGGUCCUUGUACUCUUAAGCCACUCAAAGAUUUUCAAUUUAUGAAACCAUCGGAAUUGAUGCAAAUUGGCUUUGUCUUUGGUUUAUGCAACCUGUUAAUUUUUUUGUUAAUUUUAUAAUUAUUUGAUCUUACGUUGCAAAUUUGAACUUGAGUGGUUGUUGAUGGUGGUUUUAAUUAGAAAGAAUGGUGGAUAGUGGUGGUGGUUGGAUGGAGAAGACCCUUCAAAUUGCUACUGCUUCGUAACUGUGAAAUCCAAAGUAAAAAAAAUAAAAAUGUUAUGCGAAACUGAGUAACAAGUGGCCAAAUAAAUUGUUUGAAAUAUGGAUGACGUGGUCCAAUUAAUAAGAGUGUGAUCACGAGAGUUUGUUUUAGCAUUUGACGCCAGCAUUGCUCUAGAAAAGAAUGAACUGGACGAAUAACUUUACUGUAUGACUUCUGUGCAAUAGAUGUGAAGUGUUUUAAUCUAAGUAAUAGUUGUGCUUUAAGUUAUUUUCGGAUAAAGCAGAGGCUAGAUAAAUUGUAAGAUGGGAAGACUAAAGAUCUCAAUUGGUUGUGACUUCAAACAACCAGACGACAAUCGCUAGCCUAAACGAAGAAUGAGAUUGUAAACCUCCAAAGUGGAAUGAGGUCACAAAUAACUGUGUCUUCUAAGCCUUCAAAGUGCUUUAGUUAUGAUUCAUAACUGUUCAUAUUAAAGUAAACUAUUAUCAAGUGGAUUGGUUCACAUUCUCUUGCUCGAGACUCAGUUAGGAUAUUAACUUAAGAGAACUUCUACUGUGCACAAGCUAGUUUGGUUGUGCUUGGUACACAAUUUUAUUUAUUUAUUUAUUUAAUUUUUUUUUUACGAUUGAAUGAUAUAGAGGCUCACGAAAUCUAUCAUAAACUCAUCACACUGGAUUUUCUUCUCACGUACUCCCACCUCCUCAAAUGUUUGCCCCACUUGAUAACAUCUGAGUCCUUGAUAUUUGUCCAUCAUCCUCCUCGUCCCUUUUUGCAUCUUCUUCAGACAGACUCAUAACUUCAUGCCCAAAUCCUAAAACACGUUGCUCACAAAAAAUAUCACUUCUUCACAGUGAAACUAGUUCAAAUAGAGGAAACUGAGGAAGUGAGGGAGGGUCAUGUUUCUCCAACAAUUCAUCCUCAACAGAAAUUUAAAUGGUGUUUUUCUCACAAUUUACACCCUGAAACUAAAUUUCAAACCCAUUGACUGAAAGUGGGGAGACUCGAUUACAUUAAUCCCGCUUUAACAGAACCCAUUGAAGUGAGAAGGAAAGUUUGACUGGGGAGGUAAAAUGGAUGUCAGAGAUAAAGAAAAAACUCUGGUAGGAUAGGAAGAGAGAAAAAGAUUCAUUGUAGAGAGUGGACUAUUAAAUAUGAUGGAUUUCUUUGAUCCGAUGGUAAAUAUAUAUUAGGCAUGAUGCAACACUUAUUGUACUUGUGCAUGUUAGAAUUGGCCUUAACCUGAAAUCACAGUCUAUAGAACUGGGAUCAGCAGACCUUGUUUCUCAGAUGAUUGGGGGAGUUUAUUAUUGAACUGUGCUUGUCAGUCAUUUAAUUUUUUUUCAAUUUUCAAGCAUUAGGCUUCUCAACAGAAAAGCCCACUUGGUAAGUCUCUAUAUGUAGUUUUGUGAAUGAGAUGAAGCUGGACUGCAUCUGGAGCAGAUAUGACUCGAUGCAUUUGGAAUAGAAUUAUAGAAACGGGCGGGGGAUUGAGGGUCUAGACUGCAUCCAGGGCUCGAACUUGUAAGUUCAAGCUGCAUCUAGAGCAUAAGUUUGGGGUUGGUUUGCAUUCAAAUAAAGACAAGGCAGAGCAUGGAGGAGAUGCCAGUGAAGAUUAGGCACUGAAGUAAUGACUAAUAACCCAUUAUAUGAUGCAUGAAGGAUGGUAAUGCAUUGAUACCAUGUUGAAAUUAUAAGGAUUUAGGUACAAAAGGAAAGAAAGAACAGAAGCUGAAGACUCUGAAACUGAUUGAUUUGUUGUGAUAAGAUGCAGUAGAUGACACUUAAUUCUAAUUAAAUAAGAAAACAAAAUUAUGAAAUAUACAACAUAUGGAAACCGUUUCUAACAGAUUAUCCAUGAUAUGCUAACAGCGGUUAUUGUUAUUGUUGGUGUUGUGUUCUUUAUUAACAAAUGCGUUGAUCUUGUUGCAGGUCAAGAAGCACCACACACCAUUGCUGAAGGUUUGAACAUCAUUCACCGUUUUCAUUGUGAUUUUAGUAAUUUAAAUGAUAGUGGCAUUAUUAUCAGUUCCUUUCACCACUUCUUUUGUGCCUGCUUUGCACCCUUAUUGAUAAUAAUCGUUUAACUCGUGGUUUCAGGUUAAGUUAUACGCAGACAACUUUAAAUGGAAGGGUCCACCCAAGGCUGCUGAAGCUGAACAGUGAUUUACUGCUUGUGUUGUUCAUGUGUUUAAUCUUCACGAGUUUCUUAGUGAAGCAGUUUUCUCUGCAUCUUUUCGUGUGAAAGAAAAGGUCAAAAUGUGUAUUUCUGAUUAAAAUAAAUGGGACUCUGACUUGCCAUUGCCUUAGCUUUCCUUGUGAUGUAGAUAACUAUUCACCUGCAUCUAUUGAUGAUUAAUUUGGACCCUAGGAACUUCCUUGAUUAUAUGCAGUCCCCCCGGAAACGAGUAAUAAUUUUUAUAGGCUUUAUGAAAUACACUCGACAGCCUGAACUUAAUGAAUUUAACCAGCAAGAGACACUUGCAUUCACAUUAGUUACUCUUAUUUUUAUGUAUGUGUGCAGAUAUGUUGUUUAUAAACAAUCUGUUCUGUUACAUAUGGAUAAGCUUGUCUAUAUCCUAUAAUACGUCAUUGCAAGUUUUUUCGUCGUUGUUCAAGAUUGCGAAUAUAUAUUAAGCAAGAGGAGUUUAAUUGCGAGAGAUGAGAGUUAAAUCGUAAUCUAAAUAUUAAAGAUUCAGAUGAAAUUUGUAUAUUGAAAAUACAGUUUUUUCUCAUACAUGGCAAUUAUUCUUCCUCGGCGUUGCACCAAUCCAGUUACACUCCCUCGUGCACAACAAAAAGGUUGAGUAUUAUAAAAGUAAGCUGAGGAAAAAUGAUUAUAUGUAAGAUAAUUUGUCAAGAAACAGUGUAAUGGUGCAUCCGAAAUUAUUCCACCAUAAAAAAUGAAUCCAACCAAUCUUUUUCAUAUCUUAACUUUGCUCGUUUGUGCUGCAUAUGUUUCAGUAGAAAAUCAAAAGCACAUUAAAUUUCAUAACUUAGAGAUGAAUUGACUAGUAUAAAAAAAUCCAUUAUCCCAUAUUAAUUUUCAUAGUUUGAUCCACAAGGAAUGAUUUUUUUUUUUUAAAUGAAUACUGUUGAUACCACAAAAUGACCUUGUACAAGAACUCAAGAAGUCAAAUUUGAAAGAAAAAAAAAGCAACAGUGAAACACUCGAAAGAGAGGAUGCAAAAAGGAACGAGGGUGUUGAAAGAUGACGAUAAUUAUUAACAUUAACAUUUAAAUAUCAUGUAAGAUAUCUAUACUCGGUAGUUUCAAAGAUCUGGCAAAAUACUCUUCCAAACAAGUGUUUGAAUAUGAAAUUAAAAGUUGGUCUAAUAACUCUUCAAAAAAAAAGUUGGUCUAAUGAAUCCCUUGCUUGCCAUAUUUAUUUACCACAAAAAACUAGAACCAAACACUAUCGUCUAUAUUCCUUAGACUCCAACUCAGCAUCAUUAAGCAUGCCUUGUUUAUGAUGGAGAAAUUCCAUAAGUCAAGCAAAUUAACCAACCAACUAGCUUGUUUUGGCAACAUCAAGCUAUUUUACUUAAUAAGUUCAAUUAGUUUGAGUUAAGGGAUAAUAAGUUGAAGAUUCUAAAUUUAAACCCGAACAAAUGAGAUCCUGAAUCUUUUUAUUUGUUGUUCUCCUUAGGAGUUAAAGUAUUCAUAAUAGACAACUUACAUAAAAAUCUGCAUUUUUUCUUAACACACAAUAGUAACCAGAAGGGACCUUAGACAACUUACAUCUUCGUUGAGGAUGACGGUGGAAUGGUUGUUAUCGUUACACUUAAUAAGUCUCUCAAUAGAUGCGCCAUUCGAGAUUGAAGGGAAGCAAGUGGAGAAUGUUUCAUCCAUAUGUUCGAGGUGAGGUGAGGUGAGUGAUGAACAAGUUUUUAUUAUUCAAUCAUAUAAGAUUUUGAUGACACCAAAUCUACAAGACUAUAACAACAAAAAUAAAGGAAUGAGCUUCCCUUCACACUAGUCUUAAGUCAAUCAUAGUCAUUCUAGUUACGUGAAUAAUGCACAUAAUACACCUUUAAUAAAAACUUAUUAAAGGCGCAUCUAUAAUGGAUACUUACUUCCAAGUGGCCUCUUGGUUUGCGGUAUAUGCCUCAACUUUGAGGUCCUUGGUUCAAAGGUUGGGUAUCAAGAUGCAUUUGUAAUGGAUUAUAAAAAAGUGAUUUUUCCCUUAAAAAAAAAAAAGCGAUUUUGAUACUUAAUUAUUGAGUAAAUAGUCAAUUUCCCUCAGAAAUUGUAAGUUUCGUCAAUUACUCUCUCGAAAUUAACAAAACUUCAAUCACCCUCCUGAAAUUGCACAACGUUAAUCAAUUUACCCAUCCAUCAAAUUUUUCUGUUAACUGUUUACGGUUAUGAUCAAAUACCCCCCUGAAAUUUUGCACUUAUGUGCAAAAUGCCCCCUAAAUGUAAAAAUUUAGAUUUUUUUCUUACCAAAAAUCAUACAUUUAGUUCUUCAAGUAGUAUAUUGUACCUAUUGUCAUAAAAAUUUUAUUCACAAGAAAAUGAAUGAAUAUACGCCAAAGAAAUCAUGGUUUUGUCAUGUGGAGCCUUUUCAUUCGUAUUUCAUAUUUAUCAACAAGGACCAAAAUAAUUUUUUUACAAAGAAGGUAAAACUAAAAAUCAAACAUUAAAAAGAUAUCAAGCUGUUGAAAUAAACAAAGACAAGAAUGCCAUAGCAGUAGAAAAUUGAUAUCUAUCACAUAACUUUGUAGUACCAUGUGAUUUACCGGCUUCAUGCAGAAGGUCUAUGACAUAAUCUAUUUAACAUGUUGCAGCUAAUAGAUAUGAUAUUUCCUGCAUUAUAAAAAUUAUAUCAUUAAUUAAGUUGCAAAUUCACAAACCUAAGCUUUGUUUCUUCUUCCUUCUGCAGAUAUUAACCUAUGAAUUUUCUUUAUGGACACACAAUUAUCAAAGACUUGUGUACUUUAUGACUGCAUACUCUAACAUAAUUACCAACUUGUGUAAAAAAAAAGUCUUCUAUAUAUGUAUAUAUUUAAAACACAUGAGAGUAACAUAUCUUCCAUAAAGAUUUAUAUGACCAAUAGCUGCAUAAACAUACAUUCCAUAUAGAUUUAUAUGAUCAACAAUUGUUAAUUUGUUUGCCUUUAAUAUCUUUUGAGUUAAGGAUAAAAAUAUAUAUAAAUUUUCAAGUUUAUGGGGCAUUUUGCACAUAAGUGCAAAAUUUUAGGGGGGUAUUUGAUCAUAACCGUAAACAGUUAACAAAAAAAUUUGACGGAGGGGGUAAAUUGAUUAACGUUAUGCAAUUUCAGGGGGUAAUUGAAGUUUUGUUAAAUUCAGGAGGGUAAUUGACGAAACCUACAAUUUCAGGGGGAAAUUGACUAUUUACUCCUUAAUUAUUAUAAGGUCUAAUUAGUAUUUUAUUUUUUUCCUUACCAAAAUGUCUAAUUAUACAUAUGGUAAGAAAAAUUUAUUAAGGGCGAAUAAAGAAAAGUUAUUUGAUCCGUACCGCAUAAAAACAACCAAUAGGAACUAAACAACUAGAUUUCACAAUCCGCAACUCAUGCUAAGAUCGAAUCUUAACCGUUCAUUCAAAUCGAGAAAACACAACUCGCCACAUGACAAACCGUCAGAUCCUAACAGAGAAAGCACACGGAUAGUAUCUGGUAACCGUUGGAUCUCUUACCAACGCGCUAUAUAUAUACACCUUCACGUAUUCUUCUUUCAAAGUUUAGAAAGUUUCAGCUAACGAGUUUCCUCAAGAGAAGAAGAACAAAGCAAAAUUUACAGGUUCGUUUUUCUUUUUCAAAAUUUCUAGGAAAUUAGGGUUUAUAGCUUAUUUCGUUUUGAGCUUUAUUUUUCGUAUCAAUAUGAAUUGUUCUUAGGUUGAGUUUCUAUUUUCUUCUUCAAUUUAUGAAAUUAGGGUUUAUGAAUUUGGUUUCAUUGUUCGUUUUCUGAUUCAAUUCCAGCUAUUGUUCAAUUAUAUCUGCUAUUGACAAUUCACGUUGAACAUAGCUAUAAUCAAAUUAUUUCUGCUAUUGUUAGAUUUUUCUUCUCUAGUUUAUGCUAUUGUUCAAUUAUUUCUGGCCUAGGUUUCGAUAAUUUGCUUGUAAUUGCAUACAUUCAUAAUUGAUUAAGGAGAAAAAUAUGAUGAUUUGUUUCGUUGAUCUUGUGUUGUUUUGGUUUCUUAUAUCCAUGUUAUAGGAAAGAGAACUACAAUUAAAAUUAUGAUAGGGUAAUUCAUAUUAUUGCUAGGUUAAUUUGCUCAUUGUGAUUGUCAAUUAUUGAAGAUUAGGUUAAGCCAAGAUUUUAGGGGAAAAAUUUUGUGUUUUGUUUUUCUGUUUACUCAUAAUCUAAAAGCUGUUGUUGAUUGUGCUUAUGUAGAUGGCACGUACCAAGCAAACUGCUCGUAAGUCUACUGGUGGAAAGGCACCUAGGAAACCACUUGCAACCAAGGUGAGAUUUUGAAUCAUCAUAUUCAUAAUAUUGGUUGUUAUUUGUGUUAUGGUGAUUGAAUAUUUGGUUAAUUUUGUGUGUUUGUGUUUCCUUUAGGCUGCACGUAAGUCUGCACCCACUACUGGUGGGGUUAAGAAACCACAUCGUUACCGCCCUGGAACUGUUGCUCUUCGGUGAGUUUUUGGUGAAAUUUUCUCUAGGGUUAUGAUUCAAUGUGUUCUGUUUUUGUUAGUAAUUGUAUUGGGUUCUGUUUCUAAUGGUUGUUAUAUGAAUUGUUGUUUUAAACAGUGAGAUUAGGAAGUAUCAGAAGAGUACUGAGCUCUUGAUCAGGAAGCUCCCAUUCCAGAGGUUGGUUCGUGAAAUUGCUCAGGACUUCAAGGUAAUGUGUAAUUGCUGAUAUGCGAACUUGUGCUUUUGUUUUCAUAAUCAGCUUAGUUAAUAGUUUUGGUAGUUUUGGUUGUUUCUGAUAAUUUUGGUUCUUGUUUUUGCAGACUGACCUUCGUUUCCAGAGCCAUGCUGUGCUUGCAUUGCAAGAGGCUGCUGAAGCAUAUCUUGUUGGUCUCUUUGAGGACACUAACUUGUGUGCUAUCCAUGCCAAGCGAGUUACUAUUAUGCCCAAGGACAUCCAGUUGGCAAGGAGGAUCCGUGGUGAGCGCGCUUAAGGAGGAUGCUUUGCUUGGUGCUGUUUAGAUGGGUGGCUGCUGAUAGUGUUUUGUUAUUGGAAAUGAUUUAGUUUAUAGGGAAUUACCGUUCAUUCGUAGUUUGAUUAAUUGUGGUGAUAGAAAUAUACUGCUAUCUGAAUUUUAGUUUUUGGGAUGUAAUUUGCUUGCAAUGACUUUGGAUCUUUUAUAUGUUUCUCGUUUAUUUUGGGUAUGCAGCCGCCUUUGGAAUGUAAUGGACAACUAAUUGUUGCCAUCUAAUCUAGUAUUUCUAGCUUUUGUGCAUAUAUUCGCAAUUGUGAAUUAGCUACUUUCUUAAAACACGUGAAUUUGCUCUGCGAUGUAGCGACACUCUUCACAAAUACUACUAAUCUUAAAAUGUUUUCGUAAUGUUUAAAUGAUUUUGCUAUAAAUAGGUGAUUUUGCUAUAAAUAGGUGAUCGGAUAUCUCUAUUUAUCUUUUUAUAUAAAAGAGGGUAACCGUCUCUCAAUUAGGAAGAAACAUUUUUGUUAUAUUUUUUCAUUUCUAAAAUUCUCAAUGUAGUUUUGUUGACAUGCCCCUUCCGUGUCUAUUAUGCUAUGCUCUAAUAUUAUGUACGCCUGAAUUAACUGAAAUGCAAUAGUUACCCUUUAUCAAUUAUUGAGGGUUUAAUACUCAGACUAACUCUAGGUACAUGCAACCUUUAAUGGAUGUUUCAUUUGUAUACGUAUAAGACGUAUAAUGUACUCAACUCUAGGUAAAUGAGCCUCUGGUGGAUGUCUCGUUUGCAUAAAUUAUUUGUAAGACAUGAAUUGUGUACCAAAAGUUUUGUAUGCAAGUUAUGUUAUGAUUGGCUGUGAAACACAUUUGUAGCUUCCCAUGGAGAAUGCAUAGUAAGAAAAUUUACUCUGAAUUUGAGUUGAAGGUGUUGUCUGAUUGUAUGUGCCAAUUUGUCGAGGCAUCAUAAUAGUAUCAAAAUUUAGCCGCAUAUAUCAUAUAAUAUAUGAGUGGCAAUUCAAAGUCUAGAAUUGCACUCAAGAUGAUAAAAUCACUGAGGCAUCCAAACACUUGCAACAUUUAUGGGACAAAUAAUAUCCAUCAGUUCCUUUUGAGUUGAGUCAUCGAGGCAUCAUAAUAGUAUCAAAAUUUAGCCACAUAUAUCAUAUAAUAUAUGAGUAACAAUUCAAAGCCUAGAAUUGCACUCAAGAUGAUAAAAUCACUUAGGCAUCCAAACAAUUGCAACAUUUAUGGCACAAAUAAUAUCCAUAAAUUCCUUUCGAGUCAUCGAGGCAUCAUAAUAGUAUCAAAAUUUAGGCCCAUAUAUCAUAUAAUAUGAGUGACAAUUCAUAGUCUAGAAUUGCACAAGGCCGAGGCAUCCAAACAUUUUAACAGUUAUGGAACAAAUAAUAUCCAUUAAUUUCUUUCAGUCAUCGAGGCAUUUAUUAAUGUAUAAAAAUUCAUAUCAAUAUCACAUUUUAGGCAUCAAAAAACAAAUUUGCAACAUUUACGGGAUAAAUAAUAUCCAUCAAUUCCUUUCGGGUCAUUGAGACAUCAUAAUAGUUUCAAAGUUUAUGAGUGACAAUUCAUAGUCUAGACUUGCACUCAAGAUCAUAAAAUCACCAAAGCAUCCCAAAAUUGAAUUGUUCACAGUGUUUCCUUUAGGGUCAUCGAGGCAUCCAAGCACUUGUAACAUUUUUAAAACAAACAAUAUCCAUUAAUUUAUUUUCGGUCAUCGAGGCAUUUAUGAAUGAAUAAAUAUUCAUAUCAAUAUCACAUUUAAGGCAACAAGGCAUAAUGUUUGCUUUAGAGUCAUCGAGGCAUCCAAACACUUGCAACAUUUACAGGACAAAUAAUAUCCAUCAAUUCCUUUCGGGUCAUCGAGACAUUAUAAUAGUAUCAAAAUUUACGCCCAUAUAUCAUAUAAUAUGAGUGACAAUUCAUAGUCUAGAAUUGCACUCAAGAUGAUAAAAUCACAGAGGCAUCCAAACAGUUAACAUUUAUUGGAAAAAUAAUAUCCAUCAAUUCAUUUCAGGUCAUCGAGGCAUCAUAAUAGUUUCAAAAUUUAGCCACAUAUAUCAUAUAAUAUAUGAGUGACAAUUCAUAUUCUAAAAUUGCACUCAAGAUGAUAAAAUCACCGAGGCACCCAAACACUUGCAACAUUUAUGGGACAAAUAAUAUCCAUCAGUUCCUUUCGAGUUGAGUCAUGGAGGCAUCAUAAUAGUAUCAAAAUUUAGCCGCAUAUAUCAUAUAAUAUAUGGGUGACAAAUAAUAUCCAUCAAUUCCUUUCGAGUCAUCGAGGCAUCAUAAUAGUAUCAAAAUUUAGGCCCAUAUAUCAUAUAAUAUGAGUGACAAUUCAUAGUCUAGAAUUGCACAAGGCCGAGGCAUCCAAACACUUUAACAGUUAUGGAACAAAUAAUAUCCAUUAAUUCCUUUCGGUCAUCGAGACAUUUAUUAAUGUAUAAAAAUUCAUAUCAAUAUCACAUUUUAGGCAUCGAGGCAUAAUGUUUGCUUUAGGGUCACCGAUGCAUCAUAAUACACACUUGCAACAUUUACGGGACAAAUAAUAUCCAUCAAUUCCUUUCGGGUCAUUGAGGCAUCAUAAUAGUUUUAAAGUUUAUGAGUGACAAUUCAUAGUCUAGACUUGCACUCAAGAUCAUAAAAUCACCAAAGCAUCCCAAUAUUUACAAAAUUGAAUUGUUCAUAGUGUUUCCUUUAGGGUCAUCGAGGCAUCCAAACACUUGCAACAUUUUUAAAACAAACAAUAUCCAUUAAUUUCUUAUGGGUCAUCGAGGCAUUAUGAAUGAAUAAAAAUUCAUAUCAAUAGAACAUUUAAGGCAACAAGGCAUACUGUUUGCUUUAGGGUCAUCGAGACAUCCAAACACUUGCAACAUUUACGGGAGAAAUAAUAUCCAUCAAUUCCUUUCGGGUCAUCGAGGCAUCAUAAUAGUAUCAAAAUUUAAGCCCUAUAUCAUAUAAUAUGAGUGACAAUUCAUAGUCUAAAAUUGCACUCAAGAUGAUAAAAUCACUGAGGCAUCCAAACAUAACAUUUAUUGGAAAAAUAAUAUCCAUCAAUUCCUUUCGGGUCAUCGAGACAUCAUAAUAGUUUCAAAAUUUAGCCGCAUAUAUCAUAUAAUAUAUGAGUGACAAUUCAUAUUCUAGAAUUGCACUCAAGAUAAUAAAAUCACCGAGGCAUCCAAGCACUUGCAACAUUUAUGGGACAAAUAAUAUCCAUCAGUUCCUUUCGAGUUGAGUCAUCGAGGCAUCAUAAUAGUAUCAAAAUUUAGCCGCAUAUAUCAUAUAAUAUAUGAGUGACAAAUAAUAUCCAUCAAUUCCUUUCGAGUCAUCGAGGCAUCAUAAUAGUAUUAAAAUUUAGGCCUAUAUAUCAUAUAAUACGAGUGACAAUUCAUAGUCUAGAAUUGCACAAGGCUGAGGCAUCCAAACACUUAACAGUUAUGGGACAAAUAAUAUCCAUUAAGUCCUUUCGGUCAUCGAGGCAUUUAUUAAUGUAUAAAAAUUCAUAUCAAUAUCACAUUUUAGGCAUCGAGGCAUAAUGUUUGCUUUAGGGUCACAGAUGCAUCAAAAUACACACGUGCAACAUUUACGGGACAAAUAAUAUCCAUUAAUUCCUUUCGGGUCAUUGAGGCAUCAUAAUAGUUUUAAAGUUUAUGAAUGACAAUUCAUAGUCUAGACUUGCACUCAAGAUCAUAAAAUCACCAAAGCAUCCCAAUAUAUACAAAAUUGAAUUGUUCAUAGUGUUUCCUUUAGGGUCAUCCAGACAUCCAAGCACUUGAACCAUUUUUAAAACAAACAAUAUCCAUUAAUUUCUUUUGGGUCAUCGAGACAUUAUCAAUGAACAAAAAUUCAUAUCAAUAUCACAUUUAAGGCAACAAGGCAUAAUGUUUGCUUUAGGGUCAUCGAGCCAUCCAAACCCGUGCAACAUUUACGGGACAAAUAAUAUCGAUCAAUUCCAUUCGGGUCAUCGAGGCAUCAUAAUAGUAUCAAAAUUUAAGCCCAUAUAUCAUAUAAUAUGAGUGACAAUUCAUAGUCUAGAAUUGCACUCAAGAUGAUAAAAUCACAAAGGCAUCCAAACACUUAACAUUUAUUGGAAAAAUAAUAUCCAUCAAUUCAUUUCGGGUCAUCGAGGCAUCAUAAUAGUUUCAAAAUUUAGCCACAUAUAUCAUAUAAUAUAUGACUGACAAUUCAUAUUCUAGAAUUGCACUCAUGAUGAUAAAAUCGCCGAGGCACCCAAACACUUGCAACAUUUAUGGGACAAAUAAUAUCCAACAGUUCCUUUCGAGUUGAGUCAUCGAGGCAUCAUAAUAGUAUCAAAAUUUAGCCGUAUAUAUCAUAUAAUAUAUGAGUGAUAAAUAAUAUCCAUCAAUUCCUUUCGCGUCAUCGAGGCAUCAUAAUAGUAUCAAAAUUUAGGCCCAUAUAUCAUAUAAUAUGAGUGACAAUUCAUAGUCUAGAAUUGCACAAGGUCGAGGCAUCCAAACACUUAACAGUUAUGGGACAAAUAAUAUCCAUUAAGUCCUUUCGGUCAUUGAGGCAUUUAUUAAUGUAUAAAAAUUCAUAACAAUAUCACAUUUUAGGCAUCGAGGCAUAAUAUUUGCUUUAGGGUCACCGAUGCAUCAAAAUACAAACUUGCAACAUUUACGGGACAAAUAAUAUCCAUCAAUUCCUUUCGGGUCAUUGAGACAUCAUAAUAGUUUCAAAGUUUAUGAGUGACAAUUCAUAGUCUAGACUUGUACUCAAGAUCAUAAAAUCACCAAAGCAUCCCAAUAUUUACAAAAUUGAAUUGUUCACAGUGUUUCCUUUAGGGUCAUCGAGGCAUCCAAGCACUUGUAACAUUUUUAAAACAAACAAUAUCCAUUAAUUUCUUUUGGGUCAUCGAGGCAUUUAUGAAUGAAUAAAAAUUCAUAUCAAUAUCACAUUUAAGGCAAAAAGGCAUAAUGUUUGCUUUAGGGUCAUCGAGGCAUCCAAACACUUCCAACAUUUACGGGACAAAUAAUAUCCAUCAAUUCCUUUCGGGUCAUUGAGAUAUCAUAAUAGUAUCAAAAUUUAGCCGCAUAUAUCAUAUAACACAUGAGUGAAAUUUCAAAGUCUAGAAUUGCACUCAAGAUGAUAAAAUAACCAAGGCAACCAAACAUUUGCCACAUUUAUGGGACAAAUAAUAUCCAUCAAUUUCUUUCGGGUCAUCGAGGCAUCAUAAUAGUAUCAAAAUUUAGCCGCAUAUAUCAUAUAAUAUAUGAGUGACAAUUCAAAGUCUAGACUUGCACUCAAGAUGAUAAAAUCGCUGAGGCAUCCAAACACUUGCAACAUUUAUGGGACAAAUAUUAUCCAUCAAUUCCUUUCGGGUCAUCGAGGCAUCAUAAUAGUAUCAAAAUUUAGCAGCAUAUAUCAUAUAAUAUAUGAGUGACAAUUCAAAGUCUAGAAUUGCACUCAAGAUGAUAAAAUCACUGAGGCAUCCAAACAAUGGCAACAUUUAUGGGACAAAUAAUAAUCAUCAAUUCAUUUCGAGGCAUCAUAAUAGUAUCAAAAUUUAGGCUCAUAUAUCAUAUAAUAUGAGUGACAAUUCAUAGUCUAGAAUUGCACAAGGCCGAGACAUCCAAACACUUAACAGUUAUGAGACAAAUAAUAUCCAUUAAUUCCUUUCGGUCAUCGAGACAUUUAUUAAUCUAUAAAAAUUCAUAUCAAUAUCACAUUUUAGGCAUCGAGGCAUAAUGUUUGCUUUAGGGUCACUGAUGCAUCAAAAUACACACUUGCAACAUUUACGGGACAAAUAAUAUCCAUUAAUUCCUUUCGGGUCAUUGAGGCAUCAUAAUAGUUUUAAAGUUUAUGAGUGACAAUUCAUAGUCUAGACUUGCACUCAUGAUCAUAAAAUCACCAAAGCAUCCCAACAUUUACAAAAUUGAAUUGUUCAUAGUGUUUCCUGUAGGGUCAUCGAGGCAUCCAAACACUUGCAACAUUUUUAAAACAAACAAUAUCCAUUAAUUUCUUUUGGGUCAUCGGGCAUUAUGAAUGAAUAAAAAUUCAUAUCAAUAUCACAUUGAAGGCAACAAGGCAUAAUGUUUGCUUUAGGGUCAUCGAGGCAUCCAAACACUUGCAACAUUUACGGGACAAAUAAUUAAUAUCCAUCAAUUCUUUUCGGGUCAUUGAAGCAUCAUAAUAGUAUCAAAAUUUAGCCGCAUAUAUCAUAUAAUACAUGAGUGAAAUUUCAAAGUCUAUAAUUGCACUCAAGAUGAUAAAAUCACCGAGGCAUCCAAACACUUACAACAUUUAUGGGACAAAUAUUAUCCAUCAAUUCCUUUAUGGUCAUCGAGGCAUCAUAAUAGUAUCAAAAAUUAGGCCAAUAUAUCAUAUAAUAUGAGUGACAAUUCAAUAGUCUAGAAUUGCACUCAAGAUGAUAAAAUCACUGAGGCAUCCAAACACUUAACAUUUAUGGGACAAAUAAUAUCCUUCAAUUUCUUUCGGGUCAUCGAGACAUCAUAAUAGUAUCAAAAUUUAGCCGCAUAUAUCAUAUAAUAUAUGAGUGACAAUUCAAAGUCUAGAAUUGCACUCAAGAUGAUAAAAUCGCCGAGGUUACCAAACACUUGCAACAUUUAUGGGACAAAUAAUAUCCAUCAAUUCCUUUCGGGUCAUCGAGGCAUCAUAAUAGUAUCAAAAUUUGGCCCCAUAUAUAUAUAAAUAUGAGUGACAAUUCAAAGUCUAGAAUUGCACUCAAGAUGAUAAAAUCAUUGAGGCAUCCAAACACAUGCAACAUUUAUGGGAGAAAUAAUAUCCAUCAAUUCCUUUCGGGUCAUCGAGGGAUCAUAAUAGUAUCAAAAUUUAGGCCAAUUGAACUCCAUGAUUAAUCUGUGACUUAAGUUAUUAGAUCCAUAAAAGGUUCUAUGUGGAUAGGUUUAUUGUCUCAAGUUUGUGUUUGAAAUGCAAGAAACGUGCAAAGUUGAAUAAAUUGUAAAGAUAUAAGAACAUCAGUACUAAUGAUAAAAAAUGCAUAAAGGUGACAAGGAAAUGGUAUUCAAACUUGCAACAACCAAUUUUGUCAACGUAUGCGUUCUCUUGUAGAUAAAUUUACAAAACAAAAAUAACUCUUUAACUUGAAGAGCCAAUCACCUAUUUAUAGCAAAAUCAUGUAUGACAUAUGUCUUUCUAACUACUGAAAACCUUCUUUUACAUGUUUGCCCUUGCCUUUGAAUUGAAACUCUUGAUGGCUUUUACGCUUAUUUGUAUUUGUUGUAACCAACUCCUAAACCUCUCUUACAUGCUUCUGAUAAAGAAGUUUUUUUUUUUUUUUGAAAGAGAUAAAGAAGUUAUUUGGAUGUGAAUGACUUAUGCAUUGUUUGGGUCUGCAUUUAAAGCUAAAUUAUCGCGUCCGUAGGCAAUUUUGCCAUGAAAAUAGGAAGCUACAAAAUAUAGCAUCACAUUAACGCAUGAUCGGUGCACAUUUAGACGUGAAAACAAAAACAUACUCAGAUACUUAAAAUACCAUUAAAUAAGUCACCUUUUCGAGCACGGCUCUGACGAUCUUCGAGAAUGUCCUUUGAGUGUAAAUGCCACGUUAAAACAACACCUUUAUUUUUGAGUGUGCAAUUUCCAAGUAUAUUUCAAAUGCUCUUUGUUUGUCUAAACAACUGACUCGAAACUAACAUGCAAAUUUCACCUAGUAGUAUAACAAUGAGCACCACAUUAUUUAACAUGUCCACGAUAUAUGUGCUGAUGUGAACUUUUGCAUGUCUAAUAGUAAUAACAACCAUGUGGUAAGUGAAAGUGAUGAAUAUGUGAAUGAUUUAUCGUAUGGGAAACUAAAUUGAAUGAACUAUGAAAAGACAUUUUCUAGAAACACGAUAACCCAAACAUCGUUGUUUGUGGUCUUGUCCAGUGUUGCCCCUAUUAAUAGAAACAAUAUGUACCGUCAGAUCGUAACUGAGAAAGCACACGGAUAGUGUCUCGUAGCCGUUGGAUCUCUACCGACACGCUAUAUAUAUACGCCUUCACUUCUUCGCCUUUCGAAGUUUCAUAUUCUUUUCUCCAAAUUUCAGCUAACGAGUUUCUGAAGAGAAGAAGAAAGCGAAAAUUUCCAGGUUCGUUAUUUUUCUUCUGAAUUUACGAAAUCAGGGUUUAUAGCUUUUGUGUUUUUGAUCUUAAGCUUCCAUUUUUGUCUGAAUUUGAACUUAUUUUAGAUUUCGUUUUCAUUUUUCAUCUCCAAUUUACGAAAUUAGGGUUUACGAAUUCGGUAUACGUAUCUGGUUUCAUGUUUUUCUUCCUUUCUAAUUCGAAUGUUUAUUAUGUUGCAUUUUAUAUUAGAAUAAAUGAAUGCUAUUGUUCAAUAUCUUUUUAUCAAAAUUGUUUCUGGUUUCAUAUAUUCAUGUUUGAUUAUGGAGGAGAAGAAACCAAAAAAUUGUAUUUUUGUUACAUUCAUCCAUGUUUUAGGAAAAAGAAGUAGCAAUUGAAGCUCAGUUAGGCUAAUUUAUCUUAUUUUUAGGUUGAUUUGCUUGUGAUUAUUUGUUGAAGAUUAAGUUUUAGUUAUUAGGUUAAGCUAUGAUUUUAGGGGAAAUUGUUCUGAUUAUCUUGUUUGGGUUUUAAGUAGAUGGCACGUACCAAGCAAACUGCUCGUAAGUCAACAGGUGGAAAGGCACCAAGGAAGCAACUUGCAACCAAGGUUUGCUUUUAGUUGAUUAUCAUUAGAAAGACAAUGAUUUUAAUCUGUAUUAAGGCUGUUGAAUCUUAUGUUAAUGUUAUCUUGUUUUUCUGUUACCUUUAGGCUGCACGUAAGUCUGCACCAACUACUGGUGGAGUUAAGAAGCCACAUCGUUACCGCCCAGGAACUGUUGCUCUUCGGUGAGUUUCUGUUGAAAAUUUUCUUUUAGGGUUGUAAUUCAAUGUGUUCUGUUCAGUUUUGAUUUCAAUUUGCUUUAAUUGAAUUGAAUUGGUUUGGUUUCUAAUAAUUUGUCAUUUGGAUUGGUAUUUUAAAACAGUGAGAUUAGGAAGUACCAGAAGAGUACUGAGCUCUUGAUCAGGAAGCUCCCCUUCCAGAGGUUGGUUCGUGAAAUUGCUCAGGACUUCAAGGUAAUGUGUAGUUAAAGUGUGAGAUAUUGUGUAUUUGUGUUCACAAUCAGUUUAGUUAAGGUUGUGGUUUCUAAUAAUUUUGGUUUCGGUUGCAGACUGACCUUCGUUUCCAGAGUCAUGCUGUGCUUGCAUUGCAAGAGGCUGCUGAGGCAUAUCUUGUUGGUCUCUUUGAGGACACUAACUUGUGCGCUAUCCAUGCCAAGCGAGUUACUAUUAUGCCCAAGGACAUCCAGUUGGCAAGGAGGAUCCGUGGCGAGCGUGCCUAAGGAGGAUGCUGCUUUUGGUGCUGUUUAGAUGGGUGGCUGCUGAUAGUGUUUUGUUAUUGGAAAUGAUUUAGUUUAUAGGGAAUUACCGUUCAUUCGUAGUUUGAUUAAUUGUGGUGAUAGAAAUAUACUGCUAUCUGAAUUUUAGUUUUCGGGAUGUAAUUUGCUUGCAAUGACUUUGGAUCUUUUAUAUGUUCUUGUUUUUACUGGGUAUGCAGCCACUCUGUAUUCUAUUUUGUGGACAACCUUUUGUUGCCAUCUAAUCUAGUAUUUCUAGCUUCUGUGCAUAUUCUUUUGGAAUUGGGAAUAAUUUUUUAAAACAAGUGAUCUGCUUUGAAGUAGCUAAAAGCCGAUCUAAAAUGCUGUUUGAUAAAUAAUUUAAAUGGCUG
Molecule: long non-coding RNA, 98039 nt
Filed under: Medicago truncatula (barrel medic)
Lineage: Eukaryota; Viridiplantae; Streptophyta; Magnoliopsida; Fabales; Fabaceae
Description: long non-coding RNA (MTRU_LNC002284)
Source: RNAcentral